AGGGUCCCGCUUAUCAAAGCCUGUUGCUAUUCUAGCAAAGGGAAGGUGUUUUUUCGGACCUUCGGCUCAAAGCCUCCGUCCAUAUCGCAAUAUAAAUUUAUCAUUACAGCAAAAUUAAUAUUGCGAGGGGCUACUGUUAGGGACCUUCGGCCUCCGAAGGUCCUCAAAAACGUGAUUUGACAAUGUUUUCUAAGUAUGCGAGCAGGUAUCUUCGGAAUCAGGUUGCGGGUAUACAGAAGCAUGGUCAAGACGAAGCUUGACUGGGACGGCGAUCACGACGAAGGAUAAGAUGAUCACGAAGUUAUAUGCAGAGGAGCUUCGGCAUUACGGCGGGAAAGGGAAACCGACUUAAAGAUGAAAAGCCAAACUAGACCUCGAUGAAUUACUAUAGAGUUAUUGAUAAAUGUAAAGGGCAUUAAUGUAAUUUUGCAUGGGCUGUGACCCGUGCCUAUAAAUAGGUGAACAGUAUUCCCAUACUGGGGACGCUGACUUAGCAUUGACUUUUGCGUCACACCUGUAUUUUCUUUCCUUCGAGUCGAAGGUACAUUUGUAAUUUAUCUUUGUUUACAUAAGUAAUAUAAAUAGAAAUAGAUUAAUAAUAAGAUUUACAGAAAUUAUAUUAUUUUCUGUAUUUUGUUUGAAUGUUUUCCAUUUUUUUAUCACGAUCAUGAAGGUACGUCCUUCAUGACCUUCGUCUUAAAUUCAUUACAUCCGAAGGGAAAUAAUGAUUUGAAGGAAGAAGGACUUUUGAUAUUUAACAUUUUAUGUUGCCUUGUUCUUGAUUCAUAGCAUUUGAGAACAAGUCCCCAACAACACCUAUAUGAGUUUGACUGCUAGUCACAAUCUAUGAUAUGUGGGCAAUAUUUAUAUACUCAUGAAAGGUCUCGGAGUUUGACUUAUAUGCUUCAAACCAAGGGGAUUCUUGUAAUAGUCUAGUACUAGAUAAGAACUUUGGUGAAACUCACUUCAUACAAAACUGUCAAUUCAAGAUAUAGUCUAUUGUUCAGAUGUGAAUGUGUAAUCCCUGUUCUAGAUGGAUGGUCAACUUAACAGCCUCCACCAAAACCCUUAUAUAUCAAAGAGUAGUGGAUUUAAAUUUGUCUAAUAUGUAGUUUAUGGGCUUGGCUCAUUUAAAGUAUUUAAUAAUUCUGAAAGACAAGAUUAAACUAACUAUGUAUGAUCCUUUAGCUCCGUACAGACGGUCGAUGGGACAGUUACAUGGUUUAUGUAGAUGGACCUAUCUAUAUUCCUUCAGUGGUUGAGAGAAAGGUAAAGGUGCGUCACACUCACGCGUGCGCCGCCUCCGCCAAGACAAGGCGUGGCGUUGCAAGGUGAGGCAUGGUAUGGUGCAGCAUGAUCGCAGUCAUGGUCGUGGUACGAUGUAGCAUUGUUGUGGAUAGAUAGAUAAACUAUUGUUGUAGUUAGAGCGCAUGAGUUUUUGAAUGCAACACUAGAAUUUUCACAAUUUAACUUAAUUAAGAAGUUAUAUCUUGAUGACACAGAGUUACCUGACCAUUGAUCUCACAUGCCAUUUUAGCUCUCUUGUUCUCCAGUCUCACCCUAACUAUUUAGGUCUCCUGACUCGCCAAUAUAAACACCAUCCUCUCAUUUGCUCUCCAAUACUUCUCUGUCACAACUCAACUAUCAGAUGAGUACUCCAUUACAGCACUUACGUACACGAGUUCAUGAGAUCGGGCCUCCAAAAUGAAUAUCGGCUAAGUGUUUAUCUACUCAGAUGAAGGACGAUAAUCGUGUUCUUGGGAAAUAUCAGCGACAUAACUCCUUACUUCCUCCGCUUCUUCCUAGUGUUUUUGUUGUUGUGAUUGAGUCGACAUAGCAACAACGCUGCACUAUUACAACCAGUACGAUUAUAUCAACUAACAAUGUAUUCCUUAUAUGUUACUAUUUAUUUUUCUCAUAUUCAUUAUGCUUAAAUCACAUGUGCACCUUUCUAUUGACAUCAAAAAAUAGUAUCAACUUUCUAGAUUAAAAUGCAACUAAAAGUACCUAAAUUUCUAUCAGUGGGGAUUGAGUGAUUCUUUAAACCGAUUAUUACAUAAGUUAACCACACUAAAAUUAACAUUGGUGAAUCGUGCCAUGAUUUUUUUCUAGUGCAAAAUAGCCAAACCAAGCAACACAUAUGUGGCUAUCGUUACACAUGUGUAAAGGACAUCACACCAUUGUCACCCAUGUAUUUGGACAAUAACGAGAGGAAAAACCACUUAUUUAUUGUAUUUUAUCAAGUUUGUCUUGCUUACGUAUAAAUUAUAACCCAACAAAGUAAUCACUAAAUGUCAAAACCAACUAGAUACCAUGUCAUCUCUACCUUAUCUUACUAAUGUUCUUUUUGCAAAAUCCAAAAGUAAUCUUGCACAAGCACAAGGACUGAUAUGUGUAUAAAUAUCUCUUAGAUUAGUAGCUAAUACAUCACACAUAUUAUUGAGACCAACUAGCAACAUAGAAAGCACAAUAGUGUACCAACAAUGGCAGCCAAAAUAUUUUGCUUCCUUAUGCUCCUUGGUCUUUCUGCAAGUGCUGCUACCGCAACCAUUUUCCCACAAUGCUCACAAGCUCCUAUAGCUUCCUUUCUUCCCCCAUACCUCUCACCAGCGGUGUCUUCAGUAUGUGAAAACCCAAUUCUUCAACCCUACAGGAUCCAACAGGCAAUCGCAGCAGGCAUCUUACCUUUAUCACCCUUGUUCCUCCAACAACCGUCAGCCCUAUUACAGCAGUUACCUUUGGUGCAUUUGUUGGCACAAAACAUCAAGGCACAACAACUACAACAACUUGUGCUAGGAAACCUUGCUGCCUACUCUCAGCAACAGCAGUUUCUUCCAUUCAACCAACUGGCUGCAUUGAACUCUGCUGCUUAUUUGCAACAACAACUACCAUUCAGUCAGCUAGCUGCUGCCUACCCCCAGCAAUUUCUUCCAUUCAACCAACUGGCAGCAUUGAACUCUGCUGCUUAUUUACAACAGCAACAGCUACCACCAUUCAGCCAGCUAGCUGAUGUGAGCCCUGUUGCCUUCUUGACACAACAACAGUUGUUGCCGUUCUACCUGCACGCUGCGCCUAACGCUGGCACCCUCUUACAACUGCAACAAUUGCUGCCAUUCAACCAACUUGCUUUGACAAACCCAACAACGUUCUACCAACAACCCAUCAUUGGCGGUGCCCUCUUUUAGAUUGCUUAUGAGUUAUAGUUCAAUAAUGAAGUUUUUUGGAUGAUGUUUGUGGCUUCCCAGAAAUAAGAAAGUACAUUUCUAGAUUCUUAUGUGCUUCUAGCCUCCAAAUGUGGUUGAUAGUUAUUUUGCUCUAAGAUCGGGAGUAAUGAGGUAUAAAUCAUCGUUGUGGUGUGCUACUCGGUUAAUUAAGCAUUAACACACACAAACAUGACGAGGAUGGUAUGACCUCCAGGGCCAGUAACACGCCGGCACCAGCAAGAUAUCGUGUGAUGGUUAUUGGCGCGUGUUGUUUGUUCGACCCAUUGCUGCAACGCAGACCGCCGCUAACUACCAUCUCCAAGAGACUCCUUCAAUUAAGUCCUAAAAAUCAAAAUAGGACAUGGUUUAAAUUAUUUAAAACCCACCAAUUCGUUUUACUCCAACCGUGAGUCUGAGAGCACCUAGAGGGGGGGGGUCGAAUAGGUGAUCCUGUAAAACUUGAAAUUUAACUCACAAAACUUGAUUAGGAGUUAGCACAAAUAAUGCCAAGUGGCUAGAGAGGAGUCUCAACAAAACACAAUAACCACAAGAGAUCAAUCACAGAGAUGGCACAGUGGUUUAUCCCGUGGUUCGGCCAAGACCAACGCUUGCCUACUCCACGUUGUGGCGUCCCAACGGACGAGGGUUGCAAUCAACCCCUCUCAAGCGGUCCAAAGACCCACUUGAAUACCACGGUGUUUUGCUUGCUUUACUAUAUCCCGUUUGCGAGGAAUCUCCACACUUUGGAGCCUCUCGCCCUUACACUUAGAUGAUCACAAAGAAGCACAGAGUAAGGGAGGGAUAAGCAACUCACUCAAGACAAGAAAUCACAGCAACACCACGCACACAAGUCGCAACAAGAGCUCACAACACAACUCAAUGAGUUCACAACUCAACUAGAGCUCUAACUGCUAUCGCAAGGAAUCAAAAGCGCGGAAUCGAUGUCUUAGUGCUUAGGAAUGCUUAGAGAAUGCUUGGUGUAGUCCUCCAUGCGCCUAGGGGUCCCUUUUAUAGCCCCAAGGCAGCUAGGAGCCGUUGAGAGCAAUCCGGGAAGGCAAUUCUUGCCUUCUGUCGCCUGGCGCACCGGACAGUCCGGUGCACCACCGGACACUGUCCGGUGCGGAUUUCCUUCCUUAUUUGGCGAAGCCGACCGUUGGCAGCCUUGGAGCCGUUGGCGCACCGGACACUGUCCGGUGCACACCGGACAGUCUGGUGCCCCCUCCCGACCGUUGGCUCGGCCACGUGUCUCGCGCAGCCGACCGUUGGCCCGGCCGACCGUUGGCUCACCGGACAGUCCGGUGCACACCGGACAGUCCGAUGAAUUAUAGUCGUACGUCGUUAAUUUAUUCCCGAGAGUGACAAGUUCGCCUGUGCCAGCCUGGCACACCGGACACUGUCCGGUGCACCACCGGACAGUCUGGUGCACCCAGACAGAGCUGGCUUUGGCUGAACAAGGCUAUCUCUUUUCCAAUUCGAUUUCUCCUGUUUCCAGCACUUAGACACAAUAAAUUAGUCACUAAAACAAUGUACUAAGUCUAAGAAACAUACCUUUAUACUUGAUUUGUACUUUGUCCACCAUUUGACACUUAGGCACUUGUGUUGGACACUAGAUCACCAAAACACUUAGAAAUGGCCCAAGGGCACAUUUCCCUUUCAAUCUCCCCCUUUUUGGUGAUUAAUGCCAACACAACAUAAGGCAAGUAGAACAAGUACGAAAUCAAUUCAAAUAAGAACUCAAAUUUGUUUUGAAUCAAAUUUGGCAUAUAUGGAUCAUUCUUUGCCACCACUUGGUUUGUUUUUGCAAAUCAACCUCAAAUUCCUAUCUCUAAGUCAAAAACACUUGUUGAGACAUAACAAGAGUUGUUCCAAGAGAAAUUGAUCAGAGAUUUCAAAAACUCCCCCUUUUUCCCAUAAUUAAGCCUUCUCCCCACAAGAGACCAACUUUUGACAAUAAGAGGCAAACAAGAGUAUUUUGACAAACAAAAACUCUAACUCUAUUUUUUUAAAAUUCUCAAGUGGUAGCUGAUCUAUUUAUUGCUUUGGCCUUAUUUUCUCCCCCUUUGGCAUCAAGCACCAAAACGAGAUCAAUCUUGGCCCUCGAACCCCAUUGCCUCACCAAAAUCUUCAACUAAGAGUUAAAAAAAGGCAAUAAGAGUACAAAGAUGAACUUGGAAUAAGUUACUCGUUCAUCGGAGUGCAGUGGAAGUCUUGCAUAGUCCAAGUCCACCUUUUCCCUUUCAAUCCUCCUUUGAGACUAAAAUAAGCAAACUCACGCACAUGGUUAGUCUCAAAGGGUCAAGUUGUAGCACAUCUCCCCCUAAAUUUGUGCAUCACUUGCAAAUGAACUUGUAAGGUCCGGGGAGUGCUUGUACAACUUGAGCACCAUAAGUAAACAACAAAAUGCAUAAGGAACAUGAUCAAAGGCAUAAACACAUGUAUGCUAUAAAUCAAUCCAAGUUCCGCGAAUCUAAGACAUUUAGCUCACUACGCAACUUGCAAAAUGUCUGCUCAUCUAAAGGCUUGGUAAAGAUAUCGGCUAGCUGGUUCUCAGAGCUAACAUGAAACACUUCGAUAUCUCCCUUUUGCUGGUGGUCUCUCAAAAAGUGAUGCCAGAUGUCUAUGUGCUUUGUGCGGCUGUGUUCAACAGGAUUAUCCGCCAUGCGGAUAGCACUCUCAUUAUCACAUAGGAGUGGGACUUUGCUCAGAUUGUAGCCAAAGUCCCUGAGGGUUUGCCUCAUCCAAAGUAGUUGUGCGCAGCACUGUCCUGCAGCAACGUACUCGGCCUCAGCGGUGGAUAGGGCAACAGAGGUUUGUUUCUUAGAACUCCAUGACACCAGGGACCUUCCUAAGAAUUGGCACAUCCCCGAUGUACUCUUCCUAUCGACCUUACAUCCAGCAUAGUCGGAGUCUGAAUAUCCAAUCAAGUCAAAGGUAGACCCCUUUGGAUACCAAAUCCUGAAACAAGGUGUAGCGACUAAAUAUCUAAGAAUUCGCUUCACAGCCACUAAGUGACACUCCUUAGGAUCGGAUUGAAAUCUAGCACACAUGCAUACACUAAGCAUAAUAUUCGGUCUACUAGCACAUAAAUAAAGUAAAGACCCUAUCAUAGACCGGUAUGCCUUUUGAUCAACGAACUCACCUCCUUUGUUGAGGUCGGUGUGUCCGUCGGUUCCCAUUGGAGUCUUUGCGGGCUUGGCGUCCUUCAUCCCAAACCGCUUGAUCAAGUCUUGCUUGUACUUGGUUUGAGAGAUGAAGGUUCCAUCCUUGAGUUGCCUCACUUGGAAGCCAAGGAAGUAGAUUAACUCGCCCAUCAUCGACAUCUCGAAUUUCUGAGUCAUCACCCUGCUAAACUCUUCACAAGACUUUUGGUUAGUAGAACCAAAUAAUAUGUCAUCGACAUAAAUUUGGCACACAAAGAGAUCACCAUCACAAGUCUUAGUAAAAAGAGUUGGAUCGGCUUUCCCAACCUUGAAAGCAUUAGCAAUUAAAAAGUCUCUAAGGCAUUCAUACCAUGCUCUUGGGGCUUGCUUAAGUCCAUAGAGCGCCUUAGAGAGCUUACACACGUGGUCGGGGUACCGUUCAUCCUCGAAGCCAGGGGGUUGCUCCACGUACACCUCCUCCUUGAUUGGCCCGUUGAGGAAAGCACUCUUCACAUCCAUUUGGAACAACCUGAAAGAAUGGUGAGCGGCAUAUACUAGCAAAAUGCGAAUGGACUCUAGCCUAGCCACAGGAGCAAAAGUCUCCUCAAAGUCCAAACCUGCGACUUGGGCAUAACCUUUUGCCACAAGUCGUGCCUUGUUCCUUGUCACCACCCCGUGCUCGUCUUGUUUGUUGCGGAACACCCACUUGGUUCCCACAACAUUUUUCUUGGGACGAGGCACCAGUGUCCAAACUUCAUUUCUUUUGAAGUUGUUGAGCUCCUCCUACAUGGCCAACACCCAGUCCGGAUCUAGCAAGGCCUCUUCUACCCUGAAAGGCUCAAUAGAAGAGACAAAGGAGUAAUGCUCACAAAAAAUUAACUAAUCGAGAUCGAGUAGUUACUCCCUUGCUAAUAUCACCCAAAAUUUGGUCGACGGGAUGAUCCCUUUGAAUCAUCGCUCGAACUUGGGUUGGAGGUGCCGGUUGCGCUUCUUCCUCCAUUGCAAGAUCAUCUUGUGCUCCCCCUUGAUCACACGCCUCCUGCUCAUCAUCUUGAGUUGGGGGAUGCACCAUUGUUGAGGAAGAAGGUUGAUCUCGUUCAUCUUGUUCCUGUGGCCGCACAUCUCCAAUCGCCAUGGUGCGUAUUGCGGCCGUUGGAACUUCUUCUUCAUCUACAUCAUCAAAAUCAACAACUUGCUCUCUUGGAGAGCCAUUAGUCUCAUCAAAUACAACGUCGCUAGAGACUUCAACCAAACCCGAUGAUUUGUUGAAGACUCUAUACGCCUUUGUAUUUGAGUCAUAACCUAACAAAAAUCCUUCUACAGCUUUGGGAGCAAAUUUGGAAUUCCUACCCUUCUUCACUAGAAUGUAGCAUUUACUCCCAAAAACUCGAAAAUACGAAACAUUGGGUUUGUUACCGGUUAGUAGCUCAUAUGACGUCUUCUUGAGGAGGCGAUGAAGGUAGACCCUGUUGAUGGCGUGGCAAGCCGUGUUCACAGCUUUCGACCAAAAGCGCUCGGGGGUCUUAAACUCUCCAAGCAUCGUCCUCACCAUGUCUAUAAGCGUCUUGUUCUUCCUCUCUACCACACCAUUUUGCUGUGGUGUGUAGGGAGCGGAGAACCCAUGCUUGAUCCCUUCCUCCUCAAGGUACUCCUCCACUUGAAGGUUCUUGAACUCGGACCCAUUGUCGCUCCUUAUCUUUUUCACCUUGAGCUUAAACUCGUUUUGAGCUCUCCUUAGGAAGCGCUUGAGGGUCCCUUGGGUUUCAGAUUUAUCCUGCAAAAAGAAUACCCAAGUGAAGCGGGAAAAGUCAUCAACUAUAACAAGACCAUACUUACUUCCUCCUAUACUUAGAUAAGCGACGGGUCCAAAGAGGUCCAUGUGAAGCAUCUCCAAAGGUCUUGAUGUGGUCAUCACAUUUUUGGUGUGAUGAGAGCUUCCCACCUGUUUGCCUGCUUGACAAGCUGCACAAGGUCUAUCUUUUUCGAAUUGUACAUUAGUUAAACCUAUCACGUGUUCUCCCUUUAGAAGCUUGUGAAGGUUCUUCAUCCCCACAUGUGCUAAGCGGCGAUGCCACAGCCAGCCCAUGCUAGUCUUAGCAAUUAAGCAUGCAUCUAGACCGGCCUCCUCUUUUGCAAAAUCAACUAAGUAAAGUUUGUCGUCUAAUACACCCUUAAAAGCUAGUGAACCAUCACUUCUUCUAAAGACAGACACAUCUACAUUUGUGAAUAGACAAUUAUAUCCCAUAUUGCAUAAUUGACUAACAGAUAACAAAUUAUAUCCAAGAGACUCAACUAAAAACACAUUAGAUAUAGAGUGCUCGGAUGAAAUAGCAAUUUUACCUAACCCUUUUACCUUGCCUUGAUUCCCAUCACCGAAUAUUAUUGAAUCUUGGGAAUCCUUGUUUUUGACGUAGGAGGUGAACAUCUUUUUCUCCCCCGUCAUAUGGUUUGUGCAUCCGUUGUCGAUAAUCCAGCUUGAACCCCCGGAUGCAUAAACCUGCAUGGCAAAUUUAGGCUUGGGUCUUAGGUACCCAACUCAUGUUGGGUCCUACAAGGUUAGCACAAAUAUCCUUAGGGACCCAAAUGCAAGUUUUGUCUCCCUUGCAUUUUGCCCCUAAUUUUCUAGCAACUAUCUUCCUAUCCUUUCUACAAAUAGCAAAGGAAGCAUUUAAAGCAUGAUAUAUUGUAGAGGGUUCAUUAACUUUCCUAGGAACAUUAACAACAUUUCUCCUAGACAUAUGAACAAAAUAUCUCCUAGACAUAUCUCUACCAUGCAUAUAGGAAGAACUAGAAGCAAACAUGGCAUGAGAGUUAAAAGCAUCAUAAGCAUUACAACUCCUAUAAGACUGUCUUCUAUCAUGGUACAUAAAAGCAUGGUUCGUUUUAGCACUAUUUGCCAUAGGGGCCUUCCCUUUCUCCAUGAUGGAGAUGGGUGCCUUAUGGCUCGUUAAGUCCUUGGCUUCCCUCUUGAAGCCAAGUCCAUCCUUAAUUGAGGGGUGUCUACCAAUCAUGUAGGCAUCCCUUGCAAAUUUUAGUUUAUCAAAAUCACUCUUGCUAGUCUUAAGUUGGGCAUUAAGACUAGCCAAUUCAUCAUUCAGUUUGGAAAUUGAAACUAGGUGUUCACUACAAGCAUCAAUGUCAAAAUCUUUACACCUAUUGCAAAUCAUAACAUGUUCUACACAAGAGUUAGAUUUACUAGCUAUUUCUAACUUAGCAUUCAAACCAUCAUUUAUGCUCCUUAAGCUAGAAAUUGUCUCAUGGCAAGAAGAUAGUUCACAAGAAAGCAUUUCAUUUCUUUUAACUUCUAAAGCAUGAGAUUUUUGUGCCUCUACAAAUUUGUCAUGCUCUUCAUAUAAAAGGUCCUCUUGUUUUUCUAAAAGUCUAUCCUUUUCAUUCAAGGCAUCAAUCAAUUCAUUAAUCUUAUCUACUUUAGUUCUAUCCAAUCCCUUGAACAAACUAGAGUAAUCUAUUUCUUCAUCACUAGACUCAUCAUCACUAGAAGAAUCAUAAGUGGCAUUGUUUCGAUUACAUACCUUCUUCUCCUUCGCCAUGAGGCAUGUAUGACGCUCGUUGGGGAAGAGGGAUGACUUGUUGAAGGCGGUGGCGGCGAGUCCUUCAUUGUCGGAGUCGAAUGACGAACAAUCCGAGUCCCACUCCUUGCCAAGGUGUGCCUCGCCCUUAGCCUUUUUAUAUGCCUUCUUCUUCUCCCUCUUAUUCCCCUGUUCCUGGUCAGUAUCAUUAUUGGGGCAGUUAGCGAUAAAAUGACCAAUCUUACCACACUUGAAGCAUGAGCGCUUCCCCUUUGUCUUGGUCUUGCUUGGCUGCCCCUUGUGACCCUUUAGCGCUGUCUUGAAGCGCUUGAUGAUGAGAGCCAUCUCUUCAUCAUUUAGCCCUGCCGCCUCAACUUGUGCCACCUUGAUAGGUAGCGCCUCUUUGCUUCUUGUUGCCUUGAGAGCAAAGGGUUGAUGCUCAUUGAUUGGACCAUUCAAUGCGUCGUCCACGUAUCUCGCCUCCUUGAUCAUCAUUCGCCCGCUCACGAAUUUCCCAAGAACUUCCUCGGGCGACAUCUUGGUGUACCUAGGAUUUUCACGAAUAUUGUUCACCAGAUGUGGAUCAAGUACAGUAAAGGACCUUAGCAUUAGGCGAACGACGUCGUGGUCCGUCCAUCGCGUGCUUCCGUAGCUCCUUAUUUUGUUGAUGAGGGUCUUGAGCCGGUUGUAUGUUUGGGUUGGCUCCUCGCCCCUUAUCAUUGCAAAUCUCCCGAGCUCGCCCUCUACCAACUCCAUCUUGGUGAGCAAGGUGACGUCAUUCCCCUCAUGAGAGAUCUUGAGGGUGUCCCAGAUCUGCUUGGCAUUGUCCAAGCCGCUCACCUUAUGGUACUCGUCCCUGCACAAAGAGGCUAACAACACAGUAGUAGCUUGUGCAUUCUUAUGAAUCUGUUCAUUAAUGAAUAUAGGACUAUCCGAGCUAUCAAAUUUCAUUCCAUUCUCAACAAUCUCCCAUAUACUUGGAUGGAGAGAGAACAGAUGACUACGCAUUUUGUGACUCCAAAAUCCGUAGUCCUCCACAUCAAAGUGUGGAGGUUUGCCAAGAGGGAUGGAAAGCAAAUGUGCAUUUGAGCUAUGCGGAAUACGGGAGUAAUCGAAAGAAAAGUUCGAAUUAACCGUCUUUCGUUUGUCGUAGUCGUUGUCGUCGUUGUCCUUUUGGGAAGAAGUGGACUCAUCGCUGUCGUCGUAGUAGACAAUCUCCUUGAUGCGUCUUGUCUUCUUCUUCUUCCCAUCUUUGCAUUUGUGGCCCGAGCCCGAGUCGGUAGGCUUGUCAUCCUUGGGCUCAUUGACGAAGGACUCCUUCUCCUUAUCAUUGAUCACAAUCCCCUUGCCCUUAGGAUCCAUCUCUUCGGGCGGUUAGUCCUUUUCUUGAAGAGAACGGCUCCGAUACCAAUUGAGAGCACCUAGAGGGGGGUGAAUAGGUGAUCCUAUAAAACUUGAAAUUUAACUCACAAAACUUGAUUAGGAGUUAGCACAAAUAAUGCCAAGUGGCUAGAGAGGAGUCUCAACAAAACAUAAUAACCACAAGAGAUCAAUCACAGAGAUGGCACAGUGGUUUAUCCCGUGGUUCGGCCAAGACCAACGCUUGCCUACUCCACAUUGUGGCGUCCCAACGGACGAGGGUUGCAAUCAACCCCUCUCAAGCGGUCCAAAGACCCACUUGAAUACCACGGUGUUUUGCUUGCUUUACUAUAUCCCGUUUGCGAGGAAUCUCCACACUUUGGAGCCUCUCGCCCUUACACUUAGAUGAUCACAAAGAAGCACGAAGUAAGGGAAGGAUAAGCAACACACUCAAGACAAGAAAUCACAGCAACACCACGCACACAAGUCGCAACAAGAGCUCACAACACAACUCAAUGAGUUCACAACUCAACUAGAGCUCUAACUGCUAUCGCAAGGAAUCAAAAGCGCGGAAUCGAUGUCUUAGUGCUUAGGAAUGCUUAGAGAAUGCUUGGUGUAGUCCUCCAUGUGCCUAGGGGUCCCUUUUAUAGCCCCAAGGCAGCUAGGAGCCAUUGAGAGCAAUCCGGGAAGGCAAUUCUUGCCUUCUGUCGCCUGGCGCACCGGACAGUCCGGUGCACCACCGGACACUGUCCGGUGCGGAUUUCCUUCCUUAUUUGGCGAAGCCGACCGUUGGCAGCCUUGGAGCCGUUGGCGCACCGGACACUGUCCGGUGCACACCGGACAGUCCGGUGCCCCCUCCCGACCGUUGGCUCAGCCACGUGUCUCGCGCAGAUCGCGCAGCCGACCGUUGGCCCGGUUGACCGUUGGCUCACCGAACAGUCCGAUGAAUUAUAGUCGUACGCCGUUAAUUUAUUCCCAAGAGCGGCAAGUUCGCCUGUGCCAGCCUGGCACACCGGACACAGUCGGGUGCACCCAGACAGAGCUGACUUUGGCUGAACAAGGCCAUCUCUUUUCCAAUUCGAUUUCUCCUGUUUCCAGCACUAAGACACAAUACAUUAGUCACUAAAACAAUGUACUAAGUCUGAGAAACAUACCUUUAUACUUGAUUUGUACUUUGUCCACCAUUUGACACUUAGGCACUUGUGUUGGACACUAGAUCACCAAAACACUUAGAAAUGGCCCAACAACACAUUUCCCUUUCAGAGUCAUAUAAUCAUGUUACUUAGUUAAUUCUUCGCUUCACCGCAACAAUGUCGUCGUCGCUCUAUCAUCGUCCAUGUUCGGUCAGGUGAGGUGAGGUGAGGUGUAGUCUCUAAUAUACUUAAAGCACCAGUUUCAACGGUCGUCCUACGCCAUCUUUUUACAAAAAGUCCCUACAUUUCUUUUAAAUCAAUUCAGCGUAAAAUGUUAAAAAGCGGCGCCAGAGACAAUCUUUCACAUGAUCAUGUUGUCCUGCAGAUGGAGUAGUAGGCCUUCACGUGAUCAUGUUGUCCGAUAGAUAGGGUAGCGGGCCAGCGGUUGUUGGUUACUCUCCACCAACAAGAGAGAUAGGAAUCUAUUAGAAGCCAGAGCUCCAGCUUGCUAGUUCGAUUUGAUGGCAGCAACUAACAAGACAAUGACGCUCAGCAUGAUAUGAAGAUUGCCAUCGAUAGGAAGGAUCAUCACCUGCUGUUCGCGGAGGCGAGAAAGGAUGUGGUCGACUUCUUCUCCCUACUCGUCCUACUCGUCGGCGCGACCGUCAAACUGCUGGGGAAUAAGGGCAUGGCCGACAACACCUGACCAUUGAUCUCACAUGCCAUUUUAGCUCUCUCAUUCUCUAGUCUCACCCUGACUAUUUAGGUCUCCUGACUCGCUAAUAUAAACACCAUCCUAUCAUUUGAUCUCGAAUACUUCUUUGUCACAACUCAACUGUCAGAUGAGUACUCCAUUACAACACUUACGUACAAGAGUUCUAUGAGAGCAGGCCUCCGAAAUGAAUGUCGACUAAGUGUUUAUCUACUCAGAUGAAGGACGACAAUCGUGUUCUUCGAAAAUAUCAGCGACAUAACUCCUUACUUCCUCCGCUUCUUUCUAGUGUUUUUUGUUGUGAUUGAGUCGACACAACAACAACAUUGCACUAUUACAACCAGUACGACUAUAUCAACUAACAAUGUCUUCCUUAUAUGUUACUAUUUAUUUUGCUCAUAUUCAUUAUGUUUAAAUCACAUGUGCACCUUUCUAUUGACAUCAAAAAAAUAGUAUCAACUUUCUAGAUUAAAAUGCAACUAAAAGUACCUAAAUUUCUAUCGGUGGGGAUUGAGUGAUUCUUUAAACCGAUUAUUACAUAAGUUAACCACACUAAAAUUAACAUUGGUGAAUUGUGCCAUGAUUUUUUUCUAGUGCAAAAUAGCCAAACCAAGCAACACAUAUGUGGCUAUCGUUACACAUGUGUAAAGGUAUUGCAUCACACCAUUGUCACCCAUGUAUUUGGACAAUACCGAGAGGAAAACCCACUUAUUUAUUGUAUUUUAUCAAGUUUGUCUUGCUUACGUAUAAAUUAUAACCCAACAAAGUAGUCACUAAAUGUCAAAACCAACUAGAUACCAUGUCAUCUCUACCUUAUCUUACUAAUGUUCUUUUUGCAAAAUCCAAAAUUAAUCUUGCACAAGCACAAGGACUGAUAUGUGUAUAAAUAUCUCUUAGAUUAGUAGUUAAUACAUCGCACAUAUUAUUGAGACCAACUAGCAACAUAGAAAGCACAAUAGUGUACCAACAAUGGCAGCCAAAAUAUUUUGCUUCCUUAUGCUCCUUGGUCUUUCUGCAAGUGUUGCUACCGCAACCAUUUUCCCACAAUGCUCACAAGCUCCUAUAGCUUCCCUUCUUCCCCCAUACCUCUCACCAGCGGUGUCUUCAAUGUGUGAAAACCCAAUUGUUCAACCCUACAGGAUCCAACAGGCAAUCGCAACAGGCAUCUUACCAUUAUCACCCUUGUUCCUCCAACAACCGUCAGCCCUAUUACAGCAGUUACCUUUGGUCCAUUUGGUGGCACAAAACAUCAGGGCACAACAACUACAACAACUUGUGCUAGCAAACCUUGCUGCAUACUCUCAGCAACAUCAGUUUCUUCCAUUCAACCAACUGGCUGCAUUGAACUCUGCUGCUUAUUUGCAACAACAAUUACCAUUCAGCCAGCUAGUUGCUGCCUACCCCCAGCAAUUUCUUCCAUUCAACCAACUAGCAGCAUUGAACUCUGCUGCUUAUUUACAGCAGCAACAACUACUACCAUUCAGCCAGCUAGCUGAUGUGAGCCCUGCUGCCUUCUUGACACAACAACAGUUGUUGCCGUUCUACCUGCACGCUAUGCCUAACGCUGGCACCCUCUUACAACUGCAACAAUUGCUGCCAUUCAACCAACUUGCUUUGACAAACUCAACAGUGUUCUACCAACAACCCAUCAUUGGUGGUGCCCUCUUUUAGAUUGCUUAUGAGUUAUAGUUCAAUAAUGAAGUUUUUUGGAUGAUGUUUGUGGCGUCCCAGAAAUAAGAAAGUACAUUUCUAGAUUCUUAUGUGCUUCUAGUCUCCAAAUGUGGUCGAUAGUUAUUUUGCUCUAAGAUCGGGAGUAAUGAGGUAUAAAUCAUCGUUGUGGUGUGCUACUCGGUUAAUUAAGCAUUAACACACACAAACAUGACGAGGAUGGUAUAAUCUCCAAAAAUAUGUACUUUGUUAGGUGGGACCCUAUAGCCAUGCAGAAUGUGCUAUGUUAGGCUUGCCGAUGGAAACGUGUGACGCAUACGUUUUGUGAACCUGUUGAUAUUAUAUGUGCUUUUAUAUUAUCAUAUUUUAUUAAAAUAUUAAUAUUUAUUACUAGUAAGAUAUAACAUUCUAUCUAACUUAAAACUUACCAUAAAUAUUCCAUCAUAACUAGAUUUACCAAACUAAUAAACUAAAUAUACAUAAUAAAUACAAAAUUAACAAGACAUUAAUCAAUAUUUACGAGCUUAAUAAAUUUAAACAUUAUGGUUUGUCGACGAUAAUCAUACUAACUUUCUGUAAUUGCUUGAUUGUAAAUAUGCUUAGACUAAUGCCUCUUUGUUCUACAUGGCAAAUAGGGACCGCUCUAGAAGACUAGGAUGUCCCUUGAGACGAAAAUGUUAUCAUUGGUGUAGACUAAUUUCUAUCGGUCGCUGACUUCACUAUUGUAACCAUUAUCUCUUGGGUAAAUCAUAUACGAUUAUCCAGCCAAAGGGCCCAGAUGAUAAAAAACAAUUUUAAUUGCUAUUUCAGGACAAAUGAAUUAGCAUGGUUCGAAGGAUUAUGACCUUCCCCCAUGACCUUUGUCAUACUGCUUUAGUCUAAUCGACAAAACCAAGAUUAGAUUUCAUCGAAGAAGUUGAUAAGCGAAGCUGUGACGAUGAAAGGAACAUGGUGGCAAUAGGACGAACGACAAUUCCUUUGUCUAAGAAUGACAUCUAGAAGAAAUCUCAGACAAAAUAGAACAUGAAUGGCUUGUCAGUACAACGAAAAUACUGAAACAUGCACCCUUGAAUAUGAAACAUUUAUAUGUAAGAGGAAGGGCUAAAAAACUAAUUUCUCGUGCCUAAUGAUUUUAUUGAGAAUUUUAAGGCGAGACUUAUGGAAAAGGGUUAUACCCAAAAAAAGGAGAGAUUAUUUCGAUACUUAUUAACUUGUUGCCCUUCUAAUGACCAUACAUGUGUUACUUUUUUGGUUGCCUCGCAUGGUCUUAUCGUUCAUCUGAUGAAUGUUAAGACUUCUUUCCUAAAUGGAGAGCUUAAGGAACAGAUCUACAUUGACUAGCUUGGUGGUUUUAUAUCAAAUGAUAAAGAGAAAAAGGUGUUUAAAAUAUUACAAUUGUUUGGUUUAAAACAAGCACUAAAGCACAUAAGAAAUUUGGUAAAGUUCUGACUUUGGCUAAAUUUGUUGUAAAUGAAACUGAUAAAUGUGUCCAUUACCGAUUUGACAGGGGCGAAGGUAUGACCCUUUUUAUAUGUGGACAAAAUAUUAACCUUUUGUAACGAUGUUAAUAUGAUCGAGGAAGUAAAGUACUUUUUGUCUAGUAACUUUGAAAUAAACAAUCUGGGAGAGGCUAAUGUUGUUCUUAACAAAGAGAUAUUGAGAGAAGAAGGAAAUACGGAGUUACUCUUGUGCAAUCCUAUUAGGUUGAAAAGUCGCCGAGUCACUUUGGAUAUAGUGAUUACACGUCUCGUCCAACAACUUAUGAUCCAAGCGUGCUAUUAUGGAAAAAUCAUAUUAUCGCAUAUGAUCAAUUGAGAUACUGUCAAAUCAUGGUCUUCUCAUAUAUUUGGCUAGCCCAGCGAUGUCUGAUAUCUCAUUUGUUAUGAGCAAACUCAGUCAGUUUGUAUCCAAUCUAGGGGAGGAUCAUGGUAUGCCCUAGAGAGGGUAUUGCACUUUCUCAAAGGGACUAUGAGUAAUGGCAUUUAUUACACUAGGCACCUAAGAGUACUAGAGUGUUAUAGUGAUGCAAAUAGGAUAUCUGAUGUUGAUUAGGUUUAAGCCACAAGUAGACUUGUGUGCUUUCUUGGAGGUGUGAUUGUUUCAUGGAAGUCUUGUAAGUAGACCAUCUUAACAAGGUCAACAAUAGAAGUAGAACUCACAAUAUUAGAUACUACCAAAGUUGAAGUUGAGUGGCUCCAUGAACUCCUUAUGGAUUUAGCAGUAGUUGAAAAAUCAAUACUGGUUAUCUCUAUGAGAUACAAUAAUCAAACAUUUGUAAUCAAAGUAAAUAGUCCUAAAGUUAACAUGAUGUCUACAAAGCACGUAAAAUGGUUGAAACUGUUAAAACACUAAGAAACUCUAGAUUAAUUAUGUUGGACUAUAUCCAUACAUCUAAGAAUUUGGUAUGCCACUUUAUAGAAGAUUUGUCACAUAAUAUGAUUCAAGGUGCAUCGAGGAAUAUAGGCUUGAGACCCACUUAAUGUCAAUCCAUAGUGGUAGCAUUUUCUAUGUGAUUGGAGAUCUCAUGAAGUAGAAUGGUGAAACAAGGUAGAGAAUGACUGAUGGAGAGACUCCUUAAAUAAAAUCUUGGUAAUUUGAGAUGCACAUUUCUCAUUUGAUGUAUUGUAGGCGAACUAAAAUCUUAAUAUAAUUUGAGUGACUUAUCUAAGUAGGGAUGUUAUCUUACAGAACAUCCUAGAAAGAACACACCUAUAUGAGUUUGAAUGUUAGUCAUAGUCUAUCAUGUGUGGGUAAUCUUUAUAUACUCAUGAAAGGCCUCGAAGUUUGACUUAUACAGUUCAAACCAAGGGGGUGCUUGUAACAGUCUAGUACCAGAUAAGAACUUUGGUGAUACUCACUUAACACAAAAAUGUCAAUUCAAGGCAUAGUUCAUUGUUUAGAUGUGAAUGUGUAAUCCCUAUUUUAGAUGGAUGGUCAACUUAACAGCCUCCACCAAAACCCUGAUAUCUCAAAGAGUAGUGGAUUUGAGUUUGUCUAAUAUGUGGCUUAGAAUUUGGUGGGGAUUGUUAAUAUUUUAUGGGCUUGGCCCAUUUAAAGUAUUUAAUACUUUUGAAAGCCAAGAUUAAACAAACUAUGUAUGAUCCUUUAUCACUGUAUAGAUGGUUGAUGGGAUGGUUACAUUGUUUAUAUAGAUGGACCUAUCUGUAUUCAUUGAGUGGUUGAGAAAAAGGUAAAGGCGCGUCACACCCACGUGUGUGCCACCUCCACCGAGACGAUGUGUGGCGUGGCAAGGUGAGGCAUGGCAUGGUGCAGCACGGUUGCAGUCAUGGUCGUGGCGCGGUGUAGCGUUGUUGUGGAUAGAUAGAUAAACUAUUGUUGUAGUUAGAGCACAUGAGUUUUUGAAUGUAACACUAGAAUCUUCGCAUGUUAACUUAAUUAAGAACUUAUAUCUUGAUGACAUAGAGUUACCUGACCAUUGAUCUCACAUGCCCGUUUAGCUCUCUCGUUCUCUGGUAUCACCCUGUCUAUUUAGGUCUCCUUACUCGCCAAUAUAAACAUCAUCCUAUCAUUUGCUCUCGAUUCACUUCUGUCACUACUCAACUGUCAGAUGUGUGGCAGAACCUCCCAAGUUAUUGGGCCCACAUGCACCUGCCCUUGUCUCAAAGACCUCAGACGACUAUGCAUGUGCACCAGAUAACUUAACAGGAUCCGUCUGAGUGUCCCAAGGACCCCGGAUAAACCACUUACAACCAGGACCACAAGAUUAAGUAAACACAAAUCACACACUAACGUUUAGCAGCGGAAUUUCUUUAUUACAAAAAACUUACAAGUUACACCAAAUUUACAUUAUGUUUAUCGGAGUGGUUACAAAAGUGUUUCAAAGGAAUAAACUUUGAAGUGUUAUAAAUUAUUUAUAAGUUUGAAAUAUAUGCUAGCUUAGUGACAAUCCUCAACAAGAAGUAUAAUAGAGGUACUUAGACUUAUAAGAAGGUCGUGCCCACCGGCGGUUAACACCAUCCAUAGCAGCACAAACCUAGUACCUGCAACAACAUGGGUUCGAAAACCCUUAGUACGAAGUGUACGUUCGCAAGUCUUACCCGUCUAAGGAAAAAGACUCUCAAGGAUAUGCUGGCUAUUGGGAAUCAAGGUAAAGCUUAUCAAGAAUCAAAGAUUGUUUGCAGAAAAGCUUACUAUAAGUGAAUCCUUAAAAAAUCAUUUUACUUGUCAGGUUAAGUAAAGUUACCUGCAUCUAGAGUUCUUUCUAUCCUAGUUCAAUCACUUGGCCUAUACUAGCUGUCUUUUUAUCAUCCCAUCAGUUCACUGGAUUGCUACGUGUAAGUCAGUGACCAAGUCUUCAUGUCCGAGAAGUAACGGCGAUCCGAAUCGAUUAAUACUCAGCUAAGGAUCUCUAAUCACACGACAUAUGUAGCACUUAACCCUUGCAUAUGUCAACUCGCCACUGGGUUUCUCAAGACCAGACCGGGUUCACGCUAACCGAGAGCACAGAUACACCACCGUCCAGCCUCUUGCCACGGAGGAUACACACUACUCUCGCCAUCUCUCCACUCCCAUUGCGUGUUGGCCUUUCUGGUAUUGGUCUGCCCGAGGCAAAGCUUACCCAUGACGAGGCAUGUGACUAGUUAAAGGGUCCUCGGUCAGCAGACCCACAUCGGUACGGUCCUUAAUCGACUCAGAUGGAGACACUACACCGAGACUCCCUUCUUGUGCAAGUCAACUGCCCGGUCUCAGCUUUAUUAUUUAAAACCCAAAGUUUGGUACUUGGCAGAAGUACAUCUUUUCAGAUGUUGAACCCAUCAAGGCCCUGAUGGAUCCACCAUCAUAAGUUUUUCUUUGUAAAAAUUCCCAUCCAAUCUGAAGCAUCACCUUUUUUUGUAAAACAAAACAUUUUGUUUCUCUAAAGCAAUGCUAAGCAUCAUAAAAUCCUUUUCAUAAAAGGGAUAUCAAGGGUAAUCAAUUUUUCAAGGAAGAAAAUGCAUCAAUUGUUUAGCACACAACUUCUAUCACCUAAUGCAUCAAACAAGGCGAUAAAGAUUUUAAAACAGCAAGGAGGUGGCAAAUGCACUGGGACUUGCCUAGAUAACACUAGGUUAGUGUUGUUAGGUGGCAACCAGCCUUUUGUGUUGGCACUUAUUCAGUCUGCCAUCUUCAGGUUGAUCCCCCAGCAUCACCUUGGGGAGAAGCCCACGCUUAACAUCAUCUUGUGGUCGACUCAGCUCUGGUCCUCCAUAUCACGUGAUCAACUAGCGUACCUCAUAAGAUGCACGAUGCACAUGUAUGAGUAUCAAGACGAAUAUCGCAAGAUAAUAUUACGAUUUUACAGAAUGAAGAAUUAAACACUUAAUGGUAAAGCAUCACGACAUUUCAUAGGCAACCCGCAUGGAUCUAACGAUAUCACACAACGUAAUAUAACUAAACAAUUCAAAUCCGCGAGGACGACGACGAAUCCAGUCCGAGCAAUCCACCGAAUACUCGAUGAACGUCGCAUGGAUCUUACUUCAUCAAAGCAAAGGUCACCACAAAAACAUAACCUUAACAGUCUAACGUAUUUAUACAAUCUUAGUACAUAGUUUCUUAGAUUUCGAUUAAAAUCGGCUCACCGACACUACUCGUUUCCAAAUAAUUUUAAGCUACGACCCACAUUUAUCCCCCGAAUAUCGACUUAAGUGAUCAGCAUUCGUCUAUGACACCUAGCCGAUUAACAACAUAAUACGGCACUAUUAAAGCAAAUCACUACUUCACCACUACUAUUCAAGUAGAAACUAUUGGCUGGCUGAUUAAAAUCCCAAACCUAUUUUACAUGUUAUGAACUAGCCAAAAUAUAACAUAUAUAUCUAUCAAUAUCUUCAACAUAAUUAACACCCCAAGCCUAUGCUUCAUCACACAAAGACGAAGUGUCAACUCUACAUUUAUGAGCAUCGCCACAUACUACAUGUGAUACAUUUUAACAAUCAUUUAAUAUAACCACACGCACCUGUGCAACUAACAAAAGAAUUCGUCGUGACCAACAAACUAACUCAAUCUACUCCAUGAGUCGGCUAGCGGGAGUAGUGAAAUAGCUCACCACACCAUAAACGACUCGGAUCUGCGAAAUCGACGAUGAAUCCUAGCUCAAGCAUUUCAUUAGACAUUUGGCAAGUGUUGCGUUGAACUACGGUUUCUUUUCCGCACAAAACCCUGGGAUUGCUUUCCUUAAAUCAGGCGCCCAAACUCACGACAUCGACCAAUUCACGGGUACGCAUGGAACAGUGGCGACAACGAGUCAAUGAUAGUUGACCAAACUUUACAUUACCUCGAGCAGUUGGCGAAUGCUGCGGCACGGAAGCAGUAGCGUGCGCAUAAAGGCAGUGAAUGUGGCGAGGGCCCGGUUUGGACAUUUCGUUGAGCGCCUAGCUUGUACCGACGGCGCAGGUGCUGGGCCGAGAGACAACGACAAAAUCCGAUUAUCUAUACUACCUAUUAAGGCUCUAAGGGGUAGGCUGCCUCUGCUUGUUCUGCCUUCCGACGAUCUCAACCGUCCAAUACGCUCUAGAGUCUCUCAGCCGUCCGAUGCGCGCACUCUCACCCCCCACGCAUCGCCCCGCCCCCACCCGAUCGUCCAACCGUGCGCUACCCUAGCUUUGCCUCUACACUCCUCCCGCCGCCUCCUACCCUCCUCCGCGCGACGGCGCGAGCCGCAGCCGGCCCCCGCUCGAGUUGUCCACGAAUCCCACCGCUUGACGCCGUCCAUGCCGCGCCGCACGCCCGCAACCGCCCGCGAAUCCCGCCGCGACCCGCACGCCGUCCCUACGCCCGCCGCUAAACCCCCGUCGUGAAAUGCCCGCACGCACACCUGCUAGCCGCUGCGCACGCCCGCCGCGCGAUGCCGUCCAUGCCGCACCGCACGCCCGCAACGGCCGCCUCCCUACGCGCUUGGGAACCGCCCGCACAGCCCGCCGCGACCCGCACGCCCACGCGCCCAAAUCCCGUCAUGGUCUAGGGCUUCCCCACAACGCCCUCCUUCCCUGCGGCCGUAGAGGCUCCCGCGGCCCCCGUGGCGUGCGCCAGGUGCGGCGCGGACGGGUGCACGGCGGCCGGCUGCUGCGAGCUCGUCGCCGGGUCCAGCAGCGACAGCGACGACGCAGGGUGCUUCGGGACCCGCACCAACGGCGGCGGCCUAGGCCUAGGCCUAGGCGCGGGCAAGCGGAGAGGGAGGGGAGGGGGAGGAAGGUGAGCCAGUACAGGGGCGUGCGGUCCAAUUUUUGGGUAAAUUUCUGGGUCUUCAUCGUGUAUUUUAUGGUUCGUUGAUGGGUUUCCUGAUGGUUGAUGCACGCCUGCUUGGUGGAGGCGGGAAUGGUGAUCGAUGAUUCGUUGGGUGGGUGGGGGGACUGGCUGACAGCUGACAGCUGACUGUGUAUUGUGGUUUGGAUGGCAGGUUUAGCGUCAGUAAUAGCUAGGAUUAGGGUUCAGGCGAUGCUAAGAUUUUGGGGCGCCAAUUGCAGAAUCACUGGAUUGAUUCAUCUUUUAGGGGUUUCCUCGUACUCGGAGUACGAGGGCACCGUUUUAGUUGAAUGUUGCUCUGGUGUCUAAGCGCCAGGUAGUCAAUUUUGCAGUUUCAGUUGGGGAUUGUACGCUGGCAUCAGUUUUUACCUUCUACUCGUUUCAUCUCUUAACAACUUUGUGGUUUGCAGUGGGCACAACAAUUUGUUGCUGCAAACUCUUGUGCUCCGUGGGGCGUGGGCUGUGCAGCAGUUGUGCAGUUUAAUUGUUCUGUUUAUCAUAAUACACAAGGAGUUAGUGUUUGAGCAGAUGUCAAGAUGUUAAUUGUUUAGCAGAUCUCUAGAGGUAAGGGGUUUAUUUAUUUGUUUUUGUUGAACAUAGGGUUUAAGCAGGUCUAAGACUUCAGAUUUUGUGUGGUGACAGUCUUAGGGAUUGCUAAUUUGCUACUAAGAUCGGGAUGCCCACAAUUGUAAUUGUUUUUCGAUCAGAUACUGUUGGUUUUGCAUGGUCCUUGUAUGAGGAUUACUUCUCUAUGACAUUUUUUCUUCUGCAGAAUAAUCUGUCCUUGAAAUAGUGGUGAUAUGUAUUUCUUUUCAGUGCUGUUUUUGUAACUGUGUGAUGGUUAAUCCAUUGGAUUCAUAUGUUCUUGUGUGUCAUAUUUAGGUUGUGUUGGAGGAAUUUAAAACCCUAGCCUAUUGAGUGAGCUGAGUCCUGAGUGUUACAUGUAUUAGAAUUAGGCUCAUAACACUUGUCAUGGCUAGAAAAUUUAGAUCCAGUCUAAAGUUUUUAUUACGGAUCUCACUACUCUAGCAUGGGAAUCGUUCUUCAUUACAUGCUUAGGCUCGAGCCAUUUACAUCUCUGUAUCUAAAUUUUCAGGUUGUCAUUUUGCUCAUAGCUAUCACUGUUUCCUUAAAAUUCGAGCACAUAGCUAUUAUUUUCAAAACAUUAUUCAUGAAUUUGUCAAAACAUAAUUUCUCUUGUUGUAUUUCACCACAGUUCAAAAUAAGGGAUCUUAUCAUAUUAUUUACAUUUAUGUCUGUCUGACACUUGUGCAGGGUGGCAAGUUUGACCAUGCAGAUCAUUUGUUCCAAAGCAUUGAGAGCGCUUACAUAAAUAGCUUAUCAAAUACAAGUGACGUCAAAGAGCUUAUUCCAGAAUUCUUUUACAUGCCCGAGUUUCUUGAAAAUUCAAAUUCAUAUCAUCUUGGUGUCAAGCAGGAUGGGGAACCUAUAGGCGAUGUUGCUCUCCCUCCAUGGGCAAAGGUAACAGUUCCUCUUGAUGUUAGUUAUAUUUGUAAUAAUAGUUUUCUUGAGGAUGGAUUGUUUGUCUACCAGGAUAGUUCUGUUGCUUUUCUAAUGACAGUUAAUUUAGCUUUACAACUGUGUUAGUAAAAACCUUACUAUUCUCAGAUACACAGGGUAUAUCUAGCUUUCACAUACAUGUUACAUUUCCUAUCCCAUCUAUCAACUACAGACGGCAAGAAGUUUGUUGACUGCUUGAAGGAUCAGAAUAUCAUGCCUGGCAUCAAGGUUGACAAGGUAUGCAUGCCAUGAUCUUAUAACAUCAUGUUAGCCCACAAUUUGCUUCUAUCAUUAUGAUUCUCACUGCCUGAUUGCUUUGGUUUCAUGAAUCAGGGUUUGGUUCCAUUGCCUGGAUCCAACAAUGAAUCAUGGUGCCAAGGUCUUGAUGGUUUGGCUUCAAGGUGUGCUGAGUACUAUAAGCAGGGGGCGCGCUUCGCAAAGUGGUCUGUUCAUACUUCCCUUAUUCAUGUGUCAACUAAUCUUAUUUGUGCUUCCUUUCUAAAGUUGCUAUGAUUAUCGAUCUUCUCUAGGAGGACUGUUGCUAGCAUCCCUUGUGGUCCAUCUUCAUUAGCAGUCAAGGAAGCAGCAUGGGGACUUGCUCGAUAUGCUGCUAUUGCUCAGGUAACAAAAUAAACUGCAACUGUGGAAACAUCUUGCAAUAAUUUUUUGAUGACUCAUGGAGCUUUGGUGAAGAACCUAUCUGCAUUCGUAUGGGCACGCAUUAGUCGUGCUGCAGUUACUGUGGAUAGAAAGACGUAUUUUAAUGGGGCUCAGGAUUUGUUUGUUGUUCAACCUGAGGUGUUUAUAAACAUCUAAUACCCCCUGUUCCAAACUAUACUAUGUUUUGACUUUUAUAGAUUCAUAGCUUUGUUGUGUUCUUAGAUAUACACUAUGUCUAUAAUAGUAUAAUCUAUAUAUAUAUCUAUACUACCUAUUAAGGCUCUAAGGGGUAGGCUGCCUCUGUUUGGUUCUGCCUUCCGACGAUCUCAACCGUCCAAUACACUUUAGAGUCUCUCAGCCGUCCGAUGCGCACGCUCUCACCCCCACGCAUCGCCCCGCCCCCAGAUCCCGCAUCCCCCACGGAUCCCGCAGCCGCGCCGCUGUCGCUCCCUCCCGUGCUCCCUUCGCGCCCGCCCAUGGAUCUCCGACAUCGAGCGCUGCCGCCGCUGCCUCGCCUCGGCAAACCCGGCUCCAGGGCGACAGCUCCCGCCGGUGGGACCUCGUGUUCAGCGUCGUGAAGCCGUCCGUGAUCCAGCUGCGGGGGCCCACCAAGGUCAGUGUCUUCAUCGCCAGCAACGACGGCAGCGCUCGCUCCCUCCGUACCAUCCAAUGGCCCGCGUUCGUCCCCUGCCCCGGCAACCCAGCUUAACCCUAGCUCGCUCCCUCCGUAGCCGCCUCUUCCUGCUUCGCUCCUCUCGCGUAGCAACCGCUCCCUCCACUCCCGAGAUCGUGGCCCGACGCCAUGCCGCUCCCGAGACCGCGCCACAAAGCCGCGGAACGUCCUCACCGAUGCACCGACGCGCCCCCGAGCCUGCUUCCCGACGCCACCCUCACACAACCUGCCCCCUGUCACCCUCUGGACGGGACGACACAGGUCUGGAGAAGGGUCCAGAAACCGGCGCGAGUCCACCGCGAAUCCACACGAUCGAUGUCGUCCUCCCGCUCGUUUCGCCGUCGACCUUUCUCCAGUGGUUGAGUGCGACAGGGUUGGUGGCUAGGUCGUGCGAUGGCGAAAUCGAGUCCAGAGUAGCAGAGCAAGGCUGGUCCCAGCGGGCUGCCGGUGUUGUGACCUGCGUGCGUGGUCGUACGCCUGGCCGUUGUGCCGCUAGCUGCGGCGGGCGGGUGGCUGGCGGCGUCGCAUGGCGGACCCAACGCCCAUACAACCUCCAGGGAUUGCUUCCUCCCCAUGGCGUGGAUCUAGAUGGUCUUCACGGCAGAGGAGGAAGAGGUGUCACAGCAGCUUCCGAAGACAUCGUCGACGUCCCUUACCACCUCGAUUGGCGAUGGCAUCGACAGCCCCCAGCCACUGCCCGCGCUAACGGUGGCGUGGACCUCACUGUCUUCAAGCAGUUCGAGCGGAUGGUGUGUUGGCUUCUGCAUGCUUCGUGUUUUCGAAUACGUUGCUAAGCUCAGCAUUGGUUGGUGAUGGUUUUGGUUUGCCAUCUUAAAGAAUCCUGAGCCUGCCAAUGGCGACGACGAUGGAGCUUUGUCACUGCCAGAGACAGGAUUGGGGCUUAGCUUGAAUACUGACGGGGUGCUCAAGGCGUGGUGUGCAGAGGCUCUGCGUUUGCUGAUGGCAAUGGGCCUGACUUGCCAUUGUCCCCUGCUCAUGUGGUAGUAAGUAUUUCCAGCUUAUCUAAAAAUUAUAAAAGAUCUUACAUUUCCAGUUAACAAUUAAAGAUGGCUAGAGCUCUUGGAACCCUGAGUUAUACCUGCUAUUAGUUCAUAUCGUCUGGUAAGUAGAAUCUAUUUCACUUCAGUAGAAGUACAGAUCGUCUGUUGUUUUCUAUCAGCAGUGAUCAGAAAAACUUGGCAUGCAUUACUUUGUUUCGGUCCCUUCGCAUUUCUUGUCAAUGGCAGAUUUCUCCCAGAAGAAAAUCUGUGUCUGAAAUUUGCUAAUAUGAAAUAGUACAGUAUGCCCACCAGUACUUGACUUUACUGACUCAAUGGGCCAGGCAGAAGGAAAUUCCAAUUGGUUGUUUUCUUUGAGUUGAAUCAUUAUAACAAACUUAGCCCUCAUUAUGAUGUAUCUGCAGUUUUUGAAUUCAAUUGAAGUAAAAGGAAAUAUCAUAGUUUGGUCCUUUCGUGAAAUUUUUUUGUCCAAUUUUUUGUCCUUGUAGGUUUUUACGUUGCAUUAGAAAACAUUGUAGGCAACUGAUUUUCUAACAUGUCCCUAUCAGAACUUCCUCCGAGACCAUUUCUUGAGAUCUUGGCACGAGAACUACGACGACGACGACUGGUAAUGUGAUUCUUGCGCCUUCGUUUUUCCCCUGUUUAGACUUUAGAGUGAAUUAGUAUCAUUUUGCUUUUUCCUUUCACCUGAUUGGCAGGGUCUUAGAUUAUUCAACAUUGAUAUGAUUAGGGAGCACCCCCCUUGUCAAGCAACUCACACCAUUACAAGAUCUACACGACAUGGCAUCUGCAUCGCCAAGGCCUCGCUCAACUCAGCGCGGUGAGUAGCACAUGAACAAAAGUGCCCUUUUACCAGUUUUUUAUCAGGGUGCAAUUCUGGAAGCUCAUUGUUUCUAUAAAGAAUUCAAGCUCACUGCAGUUUACUUUGUGUAACAGGAAAGGUGCAUCGAUGACAACCCGGUUCUAUUGUAACAAGAUCAGUGUGGUCCUGGUUGCUUGAUGCUUGUUUGGUUUAAUUGUAUAGCAAAAUUAGGUGUUGACUGCCGAUACCUGGAGAUGUGACACCGCCAGAUGUGUCGCUCAGGCCAGUCACACUGCUCUGCUGUUUUUCAAAGAACAACCUCUUGCUGCGUCAUCAAGGGGUAGACCAGUCUCUGAUGAUUCGUGUAAGAAUCCUUGGGAGAAAGCAAGUGGUCCUGGAAAUGUUACCAGGACAUCUCUGGCCCCACAAGGGCUGCAAGCACAAGUAGGUAUUUAUGUGUUUCACUGAGGAGUGCUACUCAUACCCACGAUGGGAUUUUUUAACCUUAGUCUAAAAUUCGCUCCCAUGGGCAGUCGAACUCAGGACACUGAGGAGUGCUACUCAUACCACAACCAAAACCAAGUCAGCCCUUUCGCUAUACUCUUAAAGGGUUUCUUCAUUUUUUGUUUUCAAUGUUGAUUAUCAUACCUAAAAUGAAAAGAAUGUAGAUUAUGGUCGUAUGGCUGAAAUACUCGUUCGGAGGGCAGGCUCUACUGAUGAAUUCACUCGGUUGACAUCUAUCACAUGGGUAAUUUGUCUUUCAUGUUUUCCUGUGAUCUUAAAACCUAGAAUCUAGACUGCAGAAGCUGGUUUAGUAUUUGUAAGAAUGCUUGACUUAUGACUUAUCCUUUGAAGUGUAGAUCAACGAGUUUGUGAAGCUUGGUGGGGAACAACUUGUUCCCUACUAUGCAGAUAUAUUGGGCGCUGUCUUACCAUGCAUAUCUGACGAGGAGGAGAAAAUCCGAGUGGUACUUUCCCAUCAUGAUUCAUACACUUACUGCAAUGUGAACUGCGUGGUGUGUGCAUGUUCAGGAAUAGCAUUUACUUUAGUUACUGAUUUGUUUGCAAGGUUGCACGCGAAACAAAUGAGGAACUCCGUGCUAUAAAAGCUGAUCCAGCUGAGGGAUUUGAUAUCGGAGCAAUUCUUUCAAUCGCAAAAAGGUUCUCUAUAAAGUCCCUUGGAAAUGAAACUAUGUAGAACUGUUAGGCAUCUAUCUGUAUGCUCUGCCUAUGCUGGUAUUUGAUAAUUAUAUCAACAUGAAAUUUGUGACAAGGCAUUGACCUUUUGUCCUUCAUUUCCAGAGAAUUGAACAGUGAACAUGAGGCCACUCGAAUCGAAGCAUUGCAUUGGUUCUUCACUUUGCUGGAUCGAUAUUGUGCUGAGGUACUAAAAGAGCGAUGGUUUUUGGGCUGCAUUUUGAUAAAUUUCAACAUGUAUCUAAAUGUUUUUAAGCUUUUACAUUGCUGUGAUUUUAUUUUGUCAACUUAGAGUUGGACAUAUGAGAGUUGCAAUUCAUUUAGAUUAACACAAGUCUAUUUGGACCUAUGGUUUAUUUACAUAUUUUCUGGAACAGUUCUUGGCUUACCUGAACGAUAUUUUUGAUCCACUCCUAAAUGCACUUUCUGAUCCUUCGGACGCGGUGAGUUUUCUUUGAAAAGCCUUCCAAACUGCUCUGCUUGUUUCUAGAAUUUGAAACUACAUCCUGUUGUGGGCUGUGAUUAGCUGAUAUUAUAUUGUGCUAUUUGUAUGCGAUGACUUAUAAAGUUAUAGUUUAGUACCAUUUCACAACUCAAUCAAGGUUUGGAUCUAUUUGGAGGGCACAAGCUGCAACUGUUGGGCCUGGUACUGUAGAACCACACCCCAGCACCAUUGGAGUAAUAAUCUUAGAUGAUAAGUUAGAUUCACAUAAUCUCUACUAUAUUUAAAUGGGAAUAAUCUCUCUUCGUGCGUCGCCACGCGUCUCCGCUCCUCCCGCCUGCCUAGCUGAAUUAAUCAAAAAAGGAGAAAAGGAAGAUGGCUCCAGGAUUCAAACCUGGACUGCAAGGACCAAAGCCACGCCCCUUAACCACUGCAUAUAAUGUUCCUUUGUGUUACAGAAGGAUAGAUAUUAUAAUUAAAAGGUAGAUAUUAUCACUACACCUUUAAAGCUUGUGCAAAAAAGAUGCGGGAUGAAAGAUUCGAACCCUGGUCUCUCAAGAAGGGUACAAAGACUUCGCCUGCUAACCAAUACACCUCAUGUUCUGUUAUGUUUUACAAAGGAUCAAUAAUUUUAAUAUAAUAAUACGUAUAAACAGCGCCUGCCCAGGGUGGGUGGUUGCCAUGCUCGUAGCGAUCGGCAGACUGGAUGUUCGCUGUACGUGCAAGGAACAACCUCCAACCUGACCAGUCACAGCAUUGAAGAGAACUGUGACUAUUUCUGCUGGCCCUUGAUGACAGUUCCCCCCCCAGUUAUUUGCUACAAGAAAACCUUUUUUCAGCAGAGUAGCUUUUGGACACCUUGUAUAUGCCUUCAAUUAAAGCGUUUGAAACUCUUUGCAGCCUGCUCACGAGAAAAUCGGUGUCGUUGAUUCCCAAUGGAUUGUACACCAAGUGAUUCCUUCUCUCGGGAACCAGGUAAGGAAGAAAAAAAAGAAACAAAUGUGUACAAUCAGAUUCUACUGUAGCGCCUGAAUAGCAUCUUCCAAAUGCACAGGGGCAGUCGGAGAAUGGGAGGGCGCCAUGGGAAGGGGUAUGAAUCUGACGACUUUGAUAGAUAAUCUCAUGAUGUUUUGUGAGUGUGUGAGGUGCUGUGAAUGAUCUUUAUCUUGGUUGCUGUGUAUGCAGUUAAGAGAGCGUUGCCGGAAAGAGUGGGGGCUUUUCCAGACAAGAAUGGCAGAAGCUGAGAAAGCAUAUUACGAGAUGAUGGGGAUUACACCUCCGAAUGUAAUAUUUGUCUCCUAGGAUAAAAGUUUCAACCCACAUUUUUUUCCUUUGUGUCCAGCAGUGGCUCUUCGAAUAGAGUUAGAUAUUGAUGAAUGGUACAAGUAGAUCAUACGUGACGAUAUAUAUAUAUAUAUAUAUAUAUAGAUCCUUUGAUCCUUCUUCCUGUGUAUUUAUCGUGGGCUGUUCUCACUAGGGUUCUGGUGAAAUGAGAAUGAUAUGUCUGUUCAGUUUAGAGCUUAUAUUCUCUGAACAUGAACAUUCAGAAUCGACAGCAUUGUGCGCACACGAAAAUUCUGCAGAAAACAUUUCAGACGGACAAGGAUGGCCAAAGUAUGACACUUCAUUGUAUACUAGGUGAAUGCCCGUGCGUUGCUACAGAGCGAACAUGUUACAAUAAGAUACAUUAAAAUUCAAAAUACUAAUUACUAUUUUAUGUUCUUAUUAACAUAUUUUAAAAGUUAAGAUAUUUUACAUACCUUAAAAUUCCUACACAUCAAACAAAUCCAUCAUGUGCAGUAAAAUGCAAUAGAGAAGCAUGCAGAUACUGAUGAGGGACGCAGAUUUUUUGGGGACAAAAUGAGGGAGCUGUUGGAGCAUAGAUAAUCACUAGGUAGGGGCUCGUGCGAUGCCACGGAACAUAAAUCUCGAUUUGUAUAUCAGCUAUGCUUCCUGUGAAGCAAGGAAGCGAACGCAAGCCAGCCUUUUGUAUUAGUGCAUUAUGUUCAGUUCUUACUUGAUCAUCCCGUGUUCUCGUGUGUGCCAUUGCCGAGUGGCAAGCUCAACACUGGUAUUGUUGUCUUGUCUCAAAUGAAGUCCGCUUCCACAAGUUAAUCGGAAAUCUUCAUGGGUGAUAGCUGUGUCAGAUUCUUCCGCGCAUAGGGCAAGUAAUGCAAGUGAUAGCUGUGUCAGUUUACCCCCAUUUUUUGGGCAUCUCAAAUGAAGUCCAUUGGAGGUUCGCAAUUUAUGUUCCGUGGCAUCGCACGGGCACCUACCUAGUUAUUGUAGACGAGGAGGACAUGGAAAAUCCUGAGCGAGCACCAGCGUGGAGCUGGGGACCGAGCAGAGGAGGUCUAGGCUAGAGUGGCGCCCAAACACACGACCAUGCAAUCGGUAAGGACUGGGAGCUCAUUUUCGGAUCUGGGCGACAGCGCAGUCCAAGACGGCUAUGACCAGGAACCGAGCUGCAGGACGAGGUCAAACGGAGACCAGAGCUGGCUCACAACGAAGUUGGAGUCGACGACCGGCGACAAAGGAAAUAGGGGGGCGCUCCUCCGACAACUAAAGCCCACGCCGGACCGAGCAGAGAGCGCAGGACCACGGCAAAGUGAGCGCUCCCACGAAAGAACACAACCACACAGACGCGGCCACCGGUGAGGAACCUCGACGUUGAAGCUGGAGUAAGCGAGGGCGUCCGAUCUGCAGAAACUGAGAAGGGGAAAAAUGGAGAAGGGUCGACGGCGUCCUGCGCAGGGAGAAAGCGCGCGCGACCAGGGACUCGGGCAACGCAGUGACUGCGAUCUGUAGACCGGCCCAACAGCGAGGACAAGCAGAGAGGGGCGAGCUGGAGCAGAGGGCAGGGCCGAGCUCGGCGUUGGGGGCGAGUGCCGGCCAUGGAAGAUGAGCAGUCGGCGCUGGGGAGCAGGGAGAUGGGAACUCGAGCUGGGGAAAGGGACUCGGCGACCUCAAUCACCAGGAGGCGCGGCCAAGUGAAAUACGAGCAGGGGCCAGGAGCGCGCGGAGGGAGAGGAAGAAAGCUGAGCGCCAUGGAGACGGGCACGGCAGGGAGGAGCGCCGGCAGAGGAGGAGCUCGGCGCGCAGAGGGGCGAGCCAGGGAGCUCCGGCCGGGCGCAGUCCGAGCAGGGUCUAGGGGCGUGUGGAGGAGAAGCCGGGGAGGAGCGCCGGCGAGCUCGCGGCACCAGGGAGCAGGGCGCGCGGCGAGCAGCAGAUGAUGGAAGUUGCCGCAGGGAGAAGCCAAGGUGAGGGCGCGUGAGGAAGAAGGAAAUUGUGGCUGGGCGUCGAUGGUGAGAAGGGAGGAUAAGGACGGCUGAAGCCCAAGCGGUGGAGAGAUAUUUUUCCUUUUCUCCCUUUUCUUUCUUUUAAUUAGGGAAUACACUGCUAACCGAAUUUAAGAAUUAAACGAGACUAAAAUGGAUCAAUUUAUGAUUUUAGGAUUAAGAUUUUAGGGGGUCUAAAAGAUGUAUAAAAGGAUCAGCCAAAAACGAGAUCGACAACAAUAUUUAGACAGGUUUUGAUGUGGUGAAUACUCCCGGUGUCAAUGAAUUCUUACCCUUUAUUUAUAUUUGAAGAUUUAUAUCGAGACAAGAAACAAAUGGACCAAUCCAAAAUGAUAUGGACGACGAUAUUUGAGACUAUUUGAGACUGCAUUAAUUUAGUUGAAAUCGGAUAAAAAUUUAUCCGAUAUCUAAACAUGGUUGAUUUUAUUAUCUUACAGAGUGUGCUGAAUAAUAAAUUAGAUCAUAACCUCGCGCACGAUUUUUCUCGGACAAUGUGUGAUUCAGAUUAUUUUGCCCCGAACAUUUUUUUGUCGUCGAGUUCUACUUAAUCUGUUUGAGAGGAAAUCGGAGGACUGAACUAAAUUUCCAAAUUCGUAUUCGCUUACUGAUGAAUUUUAAAUAGGCACAUGACUCGCAAACUUUCAGAACAAUUACGUUCCGAAAUUCGCGAAAACUUUAGGAAGAGUCUAAAUAGACAGAAACAUAUACGAUAUUAAAGUCGCGAUAGACAAAAAUGAUUAAAAUUUAGCAUCUAUUUUAUCCAACGCUAUCACGUGUUAAAGUCCGCACUCGUGGUCGAGCAGACAAUAAACACCUGGGGUGUUACAAGAUGAGUACUCCUUUACAACACUUACGUACAUGAGUUCUAUGACAGCAGACCUCUGAAAUGAAUGCCAGCUACAUGUUUAUCUACUUAGAUGAAGGAAGACAAUCACUUUUUGUGAUGUCUCGGCGACAUUACUCCUUACUUCCUCCACUUCUUCCUAGUGUUUCUUUAUUGUGAUUGAGUCGACACAGCGACUACACUGCACUACAACAACCAGUACGACUAUAUCAAUUGGCAAUGUCUCCAUUAGGUUUGAGUCUUAUGAGGGGCUUAAAACUAUGUCACAAUUUAUUUUGUUCAUUUUUAUUAUGUUUAAAUUACAUGUGCACCUUUCUACUGACAUAAAAAAAUUAUCAACUUUCUAGAUUAAAAUGCAACUAAAAGUACCUAAAUUUCUGUCGAUGGGGAUCGAGUGACUCUUUAAACCGAUUAUUACACAAGUUAACCAAACUAAAAUUAACAUUGGUGAAUAGUGCCAUGAUUUUUUUUAGUGCAAAAUAGCACAACAAAGCAACACAUAUGUGGCUAUCGUUACACAUGUGUAAAGGUAAUGCAUCACACCAUUGUCACCCAUGUAUUUGGAAAAUACCAAGAAGAAAAAACAACUUGUUUAUUGUAUUUUAUGGAGAUUGUCUUACUUACAUACAAUUAUUACCCAACAAAGUGGUCACUAAAUGUCAAAACCAACUAGAUACCAGGUGACUUUAUACCUGAUCAAGGUCGGAGGUGACCAAGCGACGGGGAGAGACACCGAAACCGUGGAGACUUCGACUCGAUCUCCGAACGACCGCAGAAUCACAACCGGAGCUAAUUCACACAAUGCGAGGCAGCCGUACUGCAACUCACAAGGCACGAACUAGUGGAUCCCAGAGGAAUCUCUUCACAAGUCCAGGAGAACAAGGAAGAACAGGGGUAGAGUAAACACUCAGCAACUUGGCUGCGGUACUCACUUGGAUUAUCAAAUCAUCAAAUGUUAUCAAAAGUUGUUUUACAUCAUAGACAUAGGGGGUAUUUAUACUAGUGAAAGGGAAAUGUGCCCUUGGGCCAUUUCUAAGUAUUUUGGUGAUUGAGUGCCAACACAAGUGCUUAAAUGUGAAUCUAUGCUCUUGGAUGGACAAAGUGCAAAUCAAGAGUAAAGGUAUGUUUCUAAGCUUUAGUACAUUGGUUUUGUGUACUAAUAUACUUGUCUAAGUGUUAGAAACAGAAAGAAGAAGAAAAGAAAAGAGGUGAAAAAGGCUUGGCUGUGUACAGCCAAGACUGAGCUCAGUCUGGCACACCGGACUGUCCGGUGGUGCACCGGACAGUGUCCGGUGCGCCAGGCUGACUCGGCGUGAAGUGGCCGCUCUCGGGAAUUCGCCGACGGCGUACGGCUAAAAUUCACCGGACUGUCCGGUGUGCACCGGACUGUCCGGUGAACCAACGGUCGGCCGGGCCAACGGUCGGCAGCAGAAUCUGCGCGCGACACGUGGCCAGGCCAACGAUCGGAAGGGGGCACCGGACUGUCCGGUGUGCACCGGACAUGUCCGGUGCACCAACGGCUCCCAGAUCUGCAACGGUCGGCCGCGCCAUUUUAGGAAGGAAAUCGGGCACCGGACAGUGUCCGGUGUGCACCGGACUGUCCGGUGCACCCGACGACAGAAGGCAAGAUUGGCCUUGCAGAUUUUCUCUCAACGGCUCCUAGCUGCCUUGGGGCUAUAAAAGGGACCCCUAGGCGCAUGGAGGAGAGAACCAAGCAACCUUAGAGCAUUCUUGAUCAUCCACACUCAGUCUUUGCGCAUUCGUUUGUCAUUCUCAGUGAUUCGAGCUCCGUUCUAGUGAGAACUUUGAGAUAGUCUUUUGAGCUCGACUCUUGGCCGUGUGUGUGCGCAUUUUGCUGUGGAUUUGUGUGUGUUGCUUCCCCCCUUACUCCGUAUUUCUUUGUGAAUCUCAAGUGUAAGGGCGAGAGGCUCCAAGUUGUGGAGAUUCCUCGCAAACGGGAUAUUGAAAGGCAAAGCAAAACACCGUGGUAUUCAUGUUGGUCUUUGGACCACUUGAGAGGGGUUGAUUGCAACCCUCGUCCGUUGGGACGCCACAACGUGGAGUAGGCAAGCGUUGGUCUUGGCCGAACCACGGGAUAAACCACUGUGUCAUCUCUGUGUUUGAUCUCUUGUGGUAUUGUGUUUUGUUGAGACUCCACUCUAGCCACUUGGCGAUUAUUGUGCUAACACUUAACAAGUUUUUGUGGCUAUAAGUUUAAGUUUCACAGAAUCACCUAUUCACCCCCCCUCUAGGUGCUCUCAAUUGGUAUCGGAGUCGUUCUCUUCACAAAGGGACUAACCGCCCGAAGAGAUGGAUCCUAAAGGGAAGGGAAUCGUGAUCAACGACAAGGAGAAGGAGUCCUUCGUCAACGAGCCAAGGGAUGACAAGUCCAACGACUCGGGCUCGGGCCACAGACGCAAAGAUGGGAAGAAGAAGAAGACAAGACGCAUCAAGGAGAUCGUCUACUACGACAGCGAUGAGUCUACUUCCUCCCAUAAGGACGACGACCACAACGAAUACGAGAGAAAGAAACCGGUCAAUUCGAACUUUUCUUUUGAUUACUCUCGUAUUCCUCAAAGUACUAAUGCUCAUUUAUUAUCUAUUCCACUUGGUAAACCUCCCCAUUUUGAUGGAGAGGACUACGGAUUUUGGAGUCAUAAAAUGCGUAGUCACUUGUUCUCUCUCCAUCCUAGCAUAUGGGAGAUUGUAGAAAGUGGAAUGCACUUUGAUAGUACGGAUAGUCCCAUGUUUAUUAAUGAACAGAUUCAUAAAAAUGCACAAGCUACUACUGUGUUGCUAGCCUCUUUGUGCAGGGACGAGUACCAUAAGGUGAGCGGCUUGGACAAUGCCAAGCAGAUCUGGGACACCCUCAAGAUCUCUCAUGAGGGGAAUGAUGUCACCUUGCUCACCAAGAUGGAGUUGGUGGAGGGCGAGCUUGGACGGUUCGCAAUGAUAAGGGGCGAGGAGCCAACUCAAACAUACAACCGGCUCAAGACCCUUAUCAACAAAAUAAGGAGCUACGGAAGCACGCGAUGGACGGAUCACGACGUCGUCCGCCUAAUGCUAAGGUCCUUUACCGUUCUUGAUCCUCAUUUGGUGAACAAUAUUCGUGAAAAUCCUAGGUACACCAAGAUGUCGCCCGAAGAAGUUCUGGGGAAUUUCGUAAGCGGGCGAAUGAUGAUCAAGGAGGCAAGAUAUGUGGACGAUGCGUUGAACGGUCCUAUUCAUGAGCCUCAACCCAUUGCUCUCAAGGCAACGAGGAACAAGGAGGCGCUACCGAGCAAGGUUGCGCAAGUUGAGGCGACCGGGCUAAAUAAUGAGGAGAUGGCCCUCAUCAUUAAGCGCUUCAAGACGGCGCUUAAAGGUCGCAAGGGACAGCCAAGCAAGACCAAGACAAAGGAGAAGCGCUCGUGCUUCAAAUGUGGUAAGAUCGGUCAUUUCAUUGCUAACUGUCCCGAUAAUGAAAGUGACCAGGAAAAGGGGAACAAAAGGGAGAAGAAGCAUUACAAGAAGGCCAAGGGCGAGGCACAUAUCGGAAAGGAGUGGGAUUCGGAUUGCUCCUCAUCCGACUCCGACAAUGAAGGACUAGCCGCCACUGCCUUCAACAAGUCAUCCCUCUUCCCCAACGAGCGUCACACUUGCCUCAUGGCAAGGGAGAAGAAAGUAAGCACUCAUGAUACUAGUACUUAUGCUUCUUCAAGUGAGGAUGAGUCUAGUGAUGAUGAUGAGACAGAUUACUCAUGCUUAUUCAAGGGAUUAGAUAGAUCUAAAUUAAUAAGAUUAAUGAGUUGAUUGAUGCUUUGAAUGACAAGAAUAGAUUACUAGAAAAACAAGAAGAUCUUUUAUAUGAGGAGCAUGAUAAAUUUGUCAGUGCACAAAAUUCUCUUGCUCUAGAAAUUAAAAGGAAUGAAAUGCUCUCUGGUGAAUUAUCUACUUGUCAUGAAACCAUUUCUACUUUACAAGGUGUUAACAAUGAUUUAAAUGCUAAAUUAGAAGUAGCAAAUAAAUCUAAUUCUUGUGUAGAACAUGUUAUAAUUUGUACUAGGUGUAAAGAUUUUGACAUUGAUGCUUGUAGUGAACACCUAGUUUCAAUUUCCAAAAUUAAUGAUGAAUUAGCUAGUCUUAAUGCUCAACUUAAGACUAGCAAGAAUGAUUUCGAUAAGCUAAAAUUUGCAAGGGAUGCCUACACGAUUGGUAGACACCCCUCAAUUAAGGAUGGACUUGGCUUCAAGAGGGAAGCCAAGAACUUAACAAGCCAUAAGGCUCCCAUCUCCGCCAAGGAGAAAGGGAAGGCCCCUAUGGCAAGUAGUGCUAAAAAGAACCAUGCUUUUAUGUACCAUGAUAAGAGACAAACUAGAAAUGCUUACAGGAGUUACAAUGCUUAUGAUGAUUUUGAUUCUCAUGACAUGUUUGCUUCUAGUUCUUUCUAUGUGCAUGAUAGAAAUGUUGGUAGAAGAAAUGUUGUUCACAAUAUGCCUAGGAGAAAUCUUGUUAAUGUUCCUAGGAGAGUUAAUGAACCUUCUACAAUAUAUCAUGCUUUGAGUGCCUCCUUUGCAAUUUGUAGAAAGGAUAGAAAGGUGAUUGCUAGGAAAUUAGGGGCAAAAUGCAAGGGAGAUAAAACUUGCAUUUGGGUCCCUAAGACAAUUGUGACUAACCUUGUAGGACCCAACAAGAGUUGGGUACCUAAGUCCCAAGCCUAAAUUUGCCUUGCAGGUUUAUGCAUCCGGGGGUUCAAGCUGGAUUAUCGACAGCGGAUGCACAAACCAUAUGACGGGGGAGAAGAAGAUGUUCACCUCCUACGUCAAGAAUAAGGAUUCCCAAGAUUCAAUUAUAUUCGGUGAUGGGAAUCAAGGCAAGGUAAAAGGGUUAGGUAAAAUUGCAAUUUCUAAUGAGCACUCUAUCUCUAAUGUGUUUUUAGUAGAGUCUCUUGGAUAUAAUUUGCUAUCGGUUAGUCAAUUAUGCAAUAUGGGAUAUAACUGUCUAUUUACAAAUGUAGAUGUGUCUGUCUUUAGAAGAAGUGAUGGUUCACUAGCUUUUAAGGGUGUAUUAGACGACAAACUUUAUUUAGUUGAUUUUGCAAAAGAAGAGGCCGGUCUAGAUGCAUGCUUAAUAGCUAAGACUAGCAUGGGCUGGCUGUGGCAUCGCCACUUAGCACAUGUGGAGAUGAAGAACCUUCACAAGCUUCUAAAGGGAGAACACGUGAUAGGUUUGACUAACGUGCAAUUCGAAAAAAGAUAGACCUUGUGCAGCUUGUCAAGCAGGUAAACAAGUGGGAGGAGCACAUCACAGCAAGAAUGUGAUGACCACCUCAAGACCUCUGGAGCUGCUGCAUAUGGACCUGUUCGGACCCGUCGCCUAUCUGAGCAUAGGAGGAAGUAAGUAUGGUCUAGUUAUUGUUGAUGACUUUUCCCGCUUCACUUGGGUGUUCUUUUUGCAGGAUAAGUCUAAAACCCAAGGGACCCUCAAGCGCUUCCUAAAGAGAGCUCAAAAUGAGUUUGAGCUCAAAGUGAAGAAGAUAAGGAGCGACAACGGGUCCGAGUUCAAGAACCUUCAAGUGGAGGAGUUCCUUGAGGAGGAAGGGAUCAAGCACGAGUUCUCCGCUCCCUAUACACCACAACAAAAUGGUGUGGUAGAGAGGAAGAACAAGACGCUAAUCGAUAUGGCGAGGACGAUGCUUGGAGAAUUCAAGACCCCCGAGCGUUUUUGGUCGGAAGCCGUGAACACGGCUUGUCACGCCAUCAACAGGGUCUAUCUUCACCGCCUCCUCAAGAAGACUUCGUAUGAGCUACUAACCGGUAACAAACCCAAUGUAUCUUACUUUCGUGUAUUUGGGAGCAAGUGCUACAUUCUAGUGAAGAAGGGUAGAAAUUCUAAGUUUGCUCCCAAAGCUGUAGAAGGGUUUUUGUUAGGUUAUGACUCAAAUACAAAGGCGUAUAGAGUCUUCAACAAAUCAUCGGGUUUGGUUGAUGUCUCUAGCGACGUUGUAUUUGAUGAGACUAAUGGCUCUCCAAGAGAGCAAGUUGUUGAUCUUGAUGAUGUAGAUGAAGAAGAUGUUCCUACGGCCGCGAUACGCACCAUGACGAUUGGAGAUGUACGGCCUCGGGAACAAUUGGAGCAAGAUCAACCUUCUUCCUCAACAACGGUGCAUCCCCUAACUCAAGACGAUGAACAGGUUCAUCAACAGGAGGCAUGUGAUCAAGGGGGAGCACAAGAUGAUCAUGUGAUGGAGGAAGAAGCGGAACCGGCACCUCCAACCCAAGUUCGAGCAGUAAUUCAAAGGGAUCAUCCCGUCGACCAAAUUUUGGGUGACAUUAGCAAGGGAGUAACUACUCGAUCUCGAUUAGUUAAUUUUUGUGAGCAUUACUCCUUUGUCUCUUCUAUUGAGCCUUUCAGGGUAGAGGAGGCCUUGCUAGAUCCGGACUGGGUGUUGGCCAUGCAAGAGGAGCUCAACAACUUCAAGCGCAAUGAAGUUUGGACACUGGUGCCUCGUCCCAAGCAAAAUGUUGUGGGAACCAAGUGGGUGUUCCGCAACAAACAGGACGAGCACGGGGUGGUGACGAGGAACAAGGCUCGACUUGUGGCAAAAGGUUAUGCCCAAGUCGCAGGUUUGGACUUUGAGGAGACGUUCGCUCCUGUGGCUAGGCUAGAAUCAAUUCGUAUCUUGCUAGCAUAUGCCGCUCACCAUUCUUUCAGGUUGUACCAAAUGGAUGUGAAGAGCGCUUUCCUCAAUGGUCCAAUCAAGGAGGAGGUGUACGUGGAGCAACCCCCUGGCUUCGAGGAUGAACAGUACCCCGACCACGUGUGUAAGCUCUCUAAGGCACUCUAUGGACUUAAGCAAGCCCCAAGAGCAUGGUAUGAAUGCCUUAGAGACUUCUUAAUUGCUAAUGCUUUCAAGGUUGGGAAAGCCGAUCCAACUCUUUUUACUAAGACUUGCGACAGUGAUCUUUUUGUAUGCCAAAUUUAUGUCGAUGACAUAAUAUUUGGUUCUACUAAUAAAAAGUCUUGUGAAGAGUUUAGCAGGGUGAUGACGCAGAAAUUCGAGAUGUCAAUGAUGGGCGAGUUGAACUACUUCCUUGGGUUCCAAGUGAAGCAACUCAAGGACGGCACCUUCAUCUCCCAAACGAAGUACACGCAAGACUUGCUAAAGCGGUUUGGGAUGAAGGACGCCAAGCCCGCAAAGACUCCGAUGGGAACCGACGGACACACCGACCUCAACAAAGGAGGUAAGUCCGUUGAUCAAAAGGCAUACCGGUCAAUGAUAGGGUCAUUACUUUACUUAUGUGCUAGUAGACCGGAUAUUAUGCUUAGCGUAUGUAUGUGUGCUAGAUUUCAAUCCGAUCCUAAGGAGUGUCACUUAGUGGCAGUGAAGCGAAUUCUUAGAUAUUUAGUUGCUACGCCUUGCUUCGGGCUCUGGUAUCCAAAGGGGUCUACCUUUGACUUAAUUGGAUAUUCAGACUCCGACUAUGCUGGAUGUAAGGUCGAUAGGAAGAGUACAUCAGGGACGUGCCAAUUCUUAGGAAGGUCCCUGGUGUCAUGGAACUCUAAGAAACAAACCUCCGUUGCCCUAUCCACCGCUGAGGCAGAGUAUGUUGCCGCAGGACAGUGUUGCGCGCAACUACUUUGGAUGAGGCAAACCCUCCGGGACUUUGGCUACAAUCUGAGCAAAGUCCCACUCCUAUGUGACAAUGAGAGUGCUAUCCGCAUGGCAGAAAAUCCUGUUGAGCACAGCCGCACAAAGCACAUAGACAUCCGGCAUCACUUUCUGAGAGACCACCAGCAAAAGGGUGAUAUCGAAGUGUUUCAUGUUAGCACCGAGAACCAGCUAGCCGAUAUCUUUACCAAGCCUCUAGAUGAGAAGACCUUUUGCAGGCUGCGUAGUGAGCUAAAUGUCUUAGAUUCGCGGAACUUGGAUUGAAUUGUAGCAUACAUGUGCUUAUGCCUUUGAUCAUGUUCAUUCUGCAUUUUGUUGCUUAUUGUGGUGCUCAAGUUGUACAAACAUUCCCUGGACCUCACAAGUCCUUGUGUAAGUGAUGCACAUAUUUAGGGGGAGUUGUGUUACAACUUGACCCUUUGAGACUAACCAUAUGCUUGAGUUUGCUUGAUUUAGUCUCGAAGGAGAAUUGAAAGGGAAAAGGUGGACCUGGACCAUGAAAGACUUCCACUACACUCCGAUGAGAGGGUAACUUAUUCCAAGUUCAUCUCAUGAACUCUUAUUGCCAUUUGCUCUUAAUUGAAGAUUUUGGUGAGGCAAUGGGGUUAUAGGGCCAAGAUUGAUCCCGUUUUGGUGCUUGAUGCCAAAGGGGGAGAAAAUAAAGGCCAAAGCAAUAAAUGGAUCAGCUACCACUUGAGAAAUUUUGAAAAUAGUAAAAUAGAGCUUUUUGUUUUGUCAAAACUCUUGCAUUGUCUCUGUUGUCAAAAGUUGGCCUCUUGUGGGGAGAAGUGUUAAUUAUGGGAAAUAGGGGGAGUUUUUGAAAUCCUUGAUCAAUCUCUUUUGGAAUGACUCUCUUUAUGCUUCAACAUGUGUGUUUGACUUAGAGAUAGAGAUUUGAGUUUGGUUUGCAAAAACAAACCAAGUGGUGGCAAAGGAUGAUCCAUAUAUGCCAAAAUUGAAUCAAAAUAAAUUUGAGUUUUAUUUGAAGUGAUAUUGCACUUGUUCUAGUUGCUUUAUGUUGUGUUGGCAUAAAUCACCAAAAAGGGGGAGAUUGAAAGGGAAAUGUGCCCUUGGGCCAUUUCUAAGUAUUUUGGUGAUUGAGUGCCAACACAAGUGCUUAAAUGUGAAUCUAUGCUCUUGGAUGGACAAAGUGCAAAUCAAGAGUAAAGGUAUGUUUCUAAGCCUUAGUACAUUGGUUUUGUGUACUAAUAUACUUGUCUAAGUGUUAGAAACAGAAAGAAGAAGAAAAGAAAAGAGGUGAAAAAGGCUUGGCUGUGUACAGCCAAGACUGAGCUCAGUCUGGCACACCGGACUGUCCGGUGGUGCACCGGACAGUGUCCGGUGCGCCAGGCUGACUCGGCGUGAAGUGGCCGCUCUCGGGAAUUCGCCGACGGCGUACGGCUAAAAUUCACCGGACUGUCCGGUGUGCAACGGACUGUCCGGUGAACCAACGGUCGGCCGGGCCAACGGUCGGCAGCGGAAUCUGCGCGCGACACGUGGCCAGGCCAACGGUCGGAAGGGGGCACCGGACUGUCCGGUGUGCACCGGACAUGUCCGGUGCACCAACGGCUCCCAGAUCUGCAACGGUCGGCCGCGCCAUUUUAGGAAGGAAAUCGGGCACCGGACAGUGUCCGGUGUGCACCGGACUGUCCGGUGCACCCGACGACAGAAGGCAAGAUUGGCCUUCCAGAUUUGCUCUCAACGGCUCCUAGCUGCCUUGGGGCUAUAAAAGGGACCCCUAGGCGCAUGGAGGAGAGAACCAAGCAACCUUAGAGCAUUCUUGAUCAUCCACACUCAGUCUUUGCACAUUCGUUUGUCAUUCUCAGUGAUUCGAGCUCCGUUCUAGUGAGAACUUUGAGAUAGUCUUUUGAGCUCGACUCUUGGCCGUGUGUGUGCGCAUUUUGCUGUGGAUUUGUGUGUGUUGCUUCCCCCCUUACUCCGUAUUUCUUUGUGAAUCUCAAGUGUAAGGGCGAGAGGCUCCAAGUUGUGGAGAUUCCUCGCAAACGGGAUAUUGAAAGGCAAAGCAAAACACCGUGGUAUUCAAGUUGGUCUUUGGACCACUUGAGAGGGGUUGAUUGCAACCCUCGUCCGUUGGGACGCCACAACGUGGAGUAGGCAAGCGUUGGUCUUGGCCGAACCACGGGAUAAACCACUGUGUCAUCUCUGUGUUUGAUCUCUUGUGGUAUUGUGUUUUGUUGAGACUCCACUCUAGCCACUUGGCGAUUAUUGUGCUAACACUUAACAAGUUUUUGUGGCUAUAAGUUUAAGUUUCACAGGAUCACCUAUUCACCCCCCUCUAGGUGCUCUCAACUAGCUACAACCAGCCUUAGAUAGGUAUAAACACAAAAAUAAGUAUUUUAACGUGCUAAUGUGAAGGGGCCUCUUCGGAAGAUCUCCAGAGCUGAAUUCCGCGUGGCUGUUUGACUUCUUCACAACCUUUAGGGCAUGUACAACCUAGACACUGCUGCACGGUACUCCAAGUAUAAGACACAACUAAAACACAACAUAAUACAGUGGUCAUGUAUAAAACAUGUGUCUUACUAUAUUCAUUGUACCAAUCAGAGCAUUCAAUAAGUUAAAGUGACCAACCAGAUAGUCUCAUGUCUUGAAUAUAGAGCUAAGACACUGUGUCUUCGUUAAGAUACAUGUCUUGAGAUUUUUUACAUUCACCCCCCUAGACACACUCUAAGACACAACUUAAGACACCCAUUGUACAUGCCCUUAGUAUUUUGAUAAUAACUCCUCCUAGGAAUCUCCAAAUGGCGUGGGGCUGGAUGCGUUGGAAAGCUAACUUGAUUUGCUUUCUCACCAUGUAUAGCAUGCUUAAUGAAACUUUGUAGAAUGAUGCAGUUUAAUACUAAAACUUGGUCAUCAAGCAGACUGUUGACCUUAUGACAGUCAGAACUAAAGUAGGUCGGUUACCGUGUUGGGUGAUCCGAUUAAGUCGGUCCUAGAAGCAUUGGAAACUAGACUUCAAUAGCUUUCCAAAAUGUACUUAUUGGCCUUCAUAGCUUUUGGGAAUCAAAAGAUAUGAUUGUUUCUUCUGGAUGGUUCUAUCACGCUAGACUGACUCGAACAUAGUUCUCUCUGAUUCGCCCUUGAUAUGUUUUGUCCUUCCUCUUUGGUGGACCUAAGAAAAAUCAACAUACACAACUUAGGUAGAAUAAAGUUGUCAUUAGUGUUUAAUUUAAAUUCAUAAAGUAGCGCGUGCACCUCUUGUUGUAUCUGUUUCACCCGGCUUCGAGUGAUAGGUCCAGUAAGAAUGGUCGGCAAGGUUGACGAUGCUGGUAUGGUCACAUCACACUCCCCCCUUGAAAAAUGAGUCGUCCUCAACUCUUCCAAUCCAAAGCAAGGAGAGAGGUCGGCCACAUUAAAACUAGAACUCACACCAUAAGUAUCUGACAGAUUAAUUUCAUAAGCAUUUUCGUUGAUCUUGCAAAGCACUUUGAAUGGACCAUCAACUCGUUGUUGUAAUUUGCUUUUGCGUUGUUCAGGAAAUCUUUCUUUGCAUAGAUGUACCCAAACCAUGUCUCCUGGUUCGAACAACAUCUUUCUUCAACCCUUGUUGGCACACUAUUCAUAUUUCUUGGUCAUUUUCUCAAUAUUUGCUCGAGCUUUUUCAUGAAGGUUCUUGAUUAACUCGACUCGCUUGCUAGCGUCAAAGUUUACUCGUUCCUGCACAGGCAAUGACAAAAUAUCUAUGGGAGUUGUGGGUUUGAAGCCAUAUACAAUUUCAAAUGGACAAAAUUUAGUAGUCGAGUCUACAGCUCUGUUGUAUGCAAACUCGACAUGUGGUAGACUUUCUUCAGAGAGUUUUAAAUUUUUCUUGAGGAUAGCUCGCAGCAGCAUUGAUAAUGUUCGGUUUACAACUUCAGUCUAUCAAUCUUUUUGUGGAUGGCACGUUGUAGAGAAUAGUAGUCGUGUUCCAAGUUUUCCCCACAAAGUUUUCCAAAAGUAACUCAAAAAAUUAGUGUCACGAUCAGAAACAAUGGUUCGUGGAAUCCCAUGUAAACGAACAACUUCUUUGAAAAAUAAUUCAGCAAUAUGUGAAGCAUCAUCACUCUUGUGGCUUGGAAUAAAAUGUGCCAUUUUGCUAAAUCAAUCAACCACAACAAAAAUGGAAUCCCUUCCCUACUUUGUUCAUGGUAAACCAAGAACAAAAUCCAUGGAUAUGUCUUCUCAAGGCACACUAGGAAUAGGUAGUGGAGUGUAUAAGCCUAUGAGGGUUUAAACGAGACUUAGCUUUAUGACAUGAUUCACAUCGAAGGACAUGUCGCUCCACAUCCCUUUUCAUUUUAGGCCAAAAGAAAUGAUCGGCAAGCACUUGCUCCGUCUUCUUGGCGCCAAAAUGGCCCAUAAGUCCUCCUGCAUGAGCUUCCUGCAAUAUUAAAAUUCGAACAGAACAUUCUGGAAUGCACAUUUUGUUAGCUCGGAAUAAAAAACCAUCAUUAACAUGAAAUUUUACCCAUCCUCUGCCAUCACAACACUUAGAAUAUGGUUCAACAAAGUUUAAGUCAGUCGGUUAUAAUUCCUUUAUACUUUCUAAUCCAAGAAUUUUAGCAUCGAGUUGUGUUAGCAAAGCAUGUCGUCGAGACAAAGCAUCUGCUACAACAUUAUCUUUUCCUUUCUUAUAUUUGACAAUAUAAGGAAAUGAUUCAAUAAAUUCACACCAUUUUGCAUGCCUUCUAUUUAGUUUUAGAUGUCCUUUAAGAUGUUUUAAUGAUUCAUGGUCUGAAUGUAUCACAAAUUCCUUAGGAAAAAGAUAGUGUCGCCAAGUUUCCAAACUCCGAACAAGAGCAUAUAAUUCUUUAUCAUAAACUGAAUAAUUUAGAGUAAGACCACUUAGCUUUUCACUGAAGUAGCCAAUUGGUCUUUGUUCUUGCAUGAGCAUGCCUCUAAUCCCAAUUCCACUGGCAUCACAUUCUAUUUUAAAUGUCUUACCGAAGUCUGGGAGUGCAAGAACUUGGGCUGUUGUUAACUUCGUCUUUAAUUCUUCAAAUGCCUUCUGUUGUGAUUCUCCCCAUUUGAAAGGUACUUCUUUUUUGGUCAAUUCAUUGAUGGGAGCAGCAACAGUACUGAAGUCUUUUUCAAACCGCUGGUAGAACCCAGCGAGCCCAAGGAAACUUCUCACUUGGCUCACAUUCUGUGGAGGCAUCCAGUCGCGUACAACUUUGAUAUUUUCUUCAUCUACCUCCACACCUUGUCCUGAUACAACAAAUCCAAGAAACACUACCUUGUCGGUGCAAAAGGUGCACUUCUCAAGGUUAGCAUACAAGUUUUGUUCUCGAAGGACAACAAGUACAUAUCAGAUAUGUUCAACAUGUUCAUCAAGGCAUUUACUAUAAAUUAGUAUGUCAUCAAAAUAGACAACAACAAAUUUGCCAAUGAAAGUUCUAAGAACAUGAUUCAUUAUCUCAUAAAUGUACUUGGUGCAUGUUAACUCGAAGGGCAUCACCAACCAUUCAUACAACUCAAAUUUUGUUUUAAAGGUUGUUUUCCAUUCAUCUCCCUCUUUCAUACGAAUAUGAUGAUAGCCACUUCUUAAGUCAAUUUUAGUGAAAAUUAAAGCUGUUGGGUCUAUGCUUCGUCGCCGAAGGUCUUCAAGGGAGAAGCGGCUUUAUAAUGAGUGAGCAGGUAUCUUCGGACUUGUAUCAGAAAGGGAGAAGCUCAAAAGAUACAAAGGUUGACACAGCGCCGAAGCUGUGAAGCAGGAAAGCUUCGGCAUGUUCGCAGAAAAGGGAACCGACUUAAAGAUGAAAAGGCCAUUUAGACCUCGAUAGAGUGCUAUAGAAUUAUCACCAAAUGUAAAGGGCAUGUAUGUAAUUUUGUAUGGGUUGUACCCCGUGCCUAUAAAUAGGUGAACAGUACCCCCGUACUGUUCACGCUGACUUGGCAUUUGCUUUUGCGUCACACUUGUAUUUUCAUCUCCUUCCAAGCCGAAGGUACAUUUAUAAUUCAAUAUUGUUUCUAUUUUUCUAUGAUGAUAUAAUAAAGUGAAAUAAAUGAUGUUAUAUGAUUAUUUGUGUUAUCCUUUAACUUUCAUAUACUUCGUCUUUCAUUAAUGUAUACUGUAAUGAUGAAGGUUUGUCCUUCAUAACCUUCGUCCGGAGAUCGUUAUAUCCUAAGGGAAAUAAUGCCUCAAAGGACGAAGGACUUUAUCGUUUAACAUUUUCUAUGUUGCCUUGUUCUUAACUCAUAGCACUUGAGAACAAGUCCCCAACAUUGGCGCCCACCUCCGGUGAACUCACUUCCACUUUUUUGAGCUGAUGGCUUCGUUCAACGAUCAAGCUGGAGCUGCUUCGGACCCGAAGCUGGUGCUCCCGAUCACAGGUGGCUCGUCCUCAGAGCCAGCUAACAAGAAACAGAAGAAGGAAGCACAGAGAAGGGUACAGCAUGUUGGGGUGCAAGGACCCUUCAUCAAGACAAGAUGGUCUCACAUUCCUAUUACCUUCUCCCAAGAGGACCUUCAGCUCAAAGAUUACCCACACAACGAUGCCAUGGUUAUCUCUUGUGUUAUCAAAGGAUUUCUGGUCCACAAUGUCUUGGUUGACACAGGCAGUGCAGCUGACAUCAUAUUUGCUAAAGCCUUCAGACAAAUGCAAGAGCCAGAAGAUAAGAUUCAUGAUGCUACACAUCCUCUCUGUGGCUUCGGAGGAAGACAGAUUGUAGCACUGGGCAAGAUCACCAUGUUAGUGACCUUCGGAUUCAUCAACAACACUAGAACUGAGCAAGUUGUGUUUGACAUUGUUGACAUGGAAUAUCCUUACAAUGCAAUUAUUGGUCGUGGUACUCUUAAUGCCUUCGAAGCAAUCCUUCAUCCUGCUUAUCUUUGCAUGAAGAUACCUUCGGAUCAGGGACCCGUUGCUAUCCAUGGAAGUCAGGAAGCCGCAAGAAGGGCCGAAGGUAACUGGACUGACUCAAAAGCAAUCCAUAAUAUAGAUGGAGCCGAAGCUUGUGCACAGUACAAAUUCAGAAGGGAGAAAGCAGCUUCAGCAGAUCAGCCGAAGCCUAUGCUCUUAUGUGAGGACAUAGCAGAGCAGAAGGUGCUGUUAGGCUCUCAACUAUCCGAAGAGCAGGAAAAAACCUUGAUAAGAUUUUUGUUCAAUAACAAAGAUGUUUUUGCAUGGUCAGCCAAUGAUCUAUGCGGAGUUAAUAGGGAUGUUAUUGAGCACUCGCUCAAUGUCGAUCCAUCCUUCAGACCCAGAAAGCAAAGGCUUCGGAAAAUGUCAGAUGAUAAGGCCGAAGGUGCUCGCAACGAAGUCAAAAGACUCCUCAGUGCAGGAGUUAUUAGAGAAGUGAAGUACCCAGAAUGGCUGGCUAACACUGUUAUGGUAAAAAAGGCCAAUGGUAAGUGGCGAAUGUGCAUCGAUUUUACAGAUCUUAACAAGGCUUGUCCGAAGGAUGAAUUCCCACUACCAAGGAUAGACUCUUUAGUUGAUGCAGCAGCUUCGUCAGAGCUCAUGAGUCUGUUAGACUGCUAUUCAGGCUAUCACCAAAUUUGGAUGAAGAAGGAAGAUGAGCCGAAGACUAGCUUCAUUACUCCAAGUGGCACAUGUUGCUAUCUUCGGAUGCCUGAGGGGCUCAAAAACGCUGGAGGAAGUUUCAGCCGAAUGACUGUGAAGGUUCUUCAAUCUCAAAUAGGCAGAAAUGUGUUAACUUAUGUUGAUGACAUCAUUGUCAAAAGCACGAAGCAGGAGAAUCAUAUUGCUGAUCUGCAGGAGACCUUCGCCAGUUUCAGGCAAGCUGGCUUGAAGUUAAAUCCAGAAAAAUGUGUCUUCGGAGUGAAGAAGGGGAAAUUUCUUGGAUGCUUGGUUUCAACAAAGGGAAUUGAAGCCAAUCCAAGUAAAAUUGAAGCUAUACUUCGGAUGGAGCCACCAACUACAAAGAAGGGGGCUCAAAGAUUGACAGGAAGGUUGGCAUCUCUCAAUAGAUUCAUAUCCAGAUCAGCAGAGAGAAAUUUACCAUUCUUCGAAGUGCUGAAGUCGGCCGAAGUCUUUCAAUGGGGACCAAUCCAACAGAAGGCUUUCGAAGAACUGAAACAAUAUUUGAUAGAUCUAACAACAUUGACUCCACCAAUGCAAGGGGCUCCUUUAUUGUUAUAUGUGGCAGCUUCGCACUCAGCGGUAAGUGCAGCGCUUGUUCAGGAGAAGCUUGAUGGUCAAGUCAAAAGGCAGGCCCCAAUAUAUUUUGUUUCCGAGGUCCUUAGUUUAUCAAAGAAAAAUUAUACAGAGUUGGAGAAGAUACUGUAUGCUGUCUUGAUGGCCUCCAGGAAGCUUCGGCACUAUUUCCAAGCUUACAACAUAAUUGUUCCUUCGUCACAACCUCUGAAGGAUAUUAUGAGGAACAGAGAAGCUACUGGAAGGAUUGGAAAAUGGGCUGCAGAGCUCAAUGAAUUUUGUAUUGAAUAUGUUCAUAGAUCUUCGAUUCAGUCGCAGGCACUGGCAGACUUUAUUGCUGAUUGGACACCAGGGGCUCAGGAGGAGGAAACAAAUAAAGAUAACGAAGCCUGGAUAGUGUUUUGUGAUGGAUCUUGGGGAACCUUCGGAGCAGGAGCGGCUGCUGUGUUGGUUUCACCUUCCAAAGUCAAAACCUGUUAUGCGACAAAACUUGAUUUUAAUUGCACAAAUAACAUUGCUGAGUACGAAGCAUUGAUUUUAGGUCUUCGGAAAUUAAAAGCAAUGGGAAUCAGAAGGGCCAUACUUAAAACUGAUUCCCAGGUUGUUUCGGGUCAUAUUGACAAAAGUUGUAAGGCUAAGGAUCCGAAGCUUGAAAAAUAUCUGGAUAUGGUUCGAAGAGUCGAAGCCUCCUUCGAAGGGUUUUCUGUCAAGAAUAUCCCUCGAGGACAAAAUGAGCAUGCUGAUCUGCUAGCUAAGUCAGCAGCACAGGGGCUGCCUCUACCUUCGGAUGUAUUCUUUGAAACAAUAAAAGCACCUUCGGUGGAACUCCUUGAAAGAGCAGUUCUUAAUAUAUCUCCUGUUUUUAGUGAAGAUUGGAGAACUGAGAUCAUCUCUUACCUUCAGGGUAAAUUUCUUUCAGAUGACGAAGCUUAUAACAAGAGAAUAGAGGCAAGAGCUCGUCCAUAUGUCAUGAUAGAGGGGGAGUUGUACAAACAUGGAGUUUGUGCUCCGUUGCUCAAAUGCUUAUCCAGAACCGAAGGUAUAGAGUUAAUGAAAGAAAUACAUGCAGGCCUGUGUGGAUCUCACAUCGGAUCUAGGCCGUUACUUGGAAAAAUUUUCCGUCAAGGAUUUUAUUGGCCGAAGGCAGCUUCGGAUGCAGCAGAAUUGGUUCAAAAGUGCGAAGGUUGUCAGAAAUGUGCAAGAGAUCAAAAACGACCUUCGUCCUUGACACAGCUCAUACAACCCACUUGGCCAUUGCAAAGGUGGGGCCUUGACUUGUUAGGUCCGUUACCACCGGCCCAAGGGAACUUGAGAUAUGUUGUGGUAGCUGUGGAAUAUUUUUCUAAAUGGAUUGAGGCGAAGCCUUUAGCCACAAUAACUUCGGCUACCGUCCAAAAGUUUUUCUGGCAGAAUAUUGUUUGUCGUUUCGGGGUGCCAAAGGUUAUCACUGUGGACAAUGGAACACAGUUUGACUCCGAAGCUUUCAGGGAUUUCUGUGACCAAAUUGGUACGAAGAUCCAUUUUGCAUCAGUCAGGCACCCGGAGUCAAAUGGACUCGUUGAAAGAGCCAACGGCAUUAUAAUGACAGGAAUAAUGAAGCUAAUCUUCAAUCAGCCUAGAGGAAAAUGGCCAGAUCAGCUAACCAAAGUGGUGUGGAGCCACAACACGACAACAUCAAGGUCCACAGGCUUCACUCCAUUUAAGUUAUUAUUCGGUGACGAAGCAAUAACUCCAGAGGAAGCUAAAGCCGGAUCAAUAAGGAUAGUAGCUUCGGCAGAAUCAGAUUCCGAAGCUGCUUAUUCUAUAGAAAAAGAUGCUUUAGAAGGGAUCAGACUGCAAGCCGUGGAGAAUAUUAAUAAAUAUCAAGCUGAAACAGUCAAAUGGCGGGAUAGAAAGGUUCGGCUAAAAAAUAUUGAGCCAGGGCACUUGGUACUUCGGAGGGUGGCCAACCCGGAAACAGUGGGCAAAUUGCAGUUGAAAUGGGACGGGCCUUUCUUAGUAGCAUCUUCGUCAAGGCCCGGGUCAUACAGAUUGAAAGAUAUGGACGGCAAUGACAUUCCUAGGUCCUGGAAUGCGGAUGAGCUUCGGCGAUAUUAUGUAUAAUUCGAUGUAAUUUUUCACAUUUUUAUUUUUUCUUUCAUGGCACCCUUUUCCUUUCCAAAGGGGGAGAAAGGUUUUUAAUGGGGCCAGCAUAUGUAAUUUCCUUUUUUAGUCUUAUAAGAGCAAAAUCCCCCAAAGAAUGUAAAUGUAAAAGCUGAGAGUGCACCAUCGAGUGCCGAAAAGUAAAAACGACGAAGCUCCAAAGACGUUCCUAAGGGAAUGCAGAGCUUAUACCGCCUAAGUAAAAGGCGAAGAAGCUCCAAAGACGUUCCUAAGGGAAUGCAGAGCUUAUACCGCCUAAGUAAAAGGCGAAGAAGCUCCAAAGUCGUUCCUAAGGGAAUGCAGAGCUUACAGCGAAAAGUCAACGCUGAUUCCGCCAAAAGUAAAGGCGAAGAAGCUCCAAAGUCGUUCCUAAGGGAAUGCAGAGCUAAGGUGUGAUUGUUUUUAAGAGAAUAAUGGCUAUAAAUAUAGCUUCGGAUACGUGUUUGGCCAUUCAUUUGCACAACACAUUACAUCAUAGCAUUUGCAUUCAUAAACAUUCAUCUAGGCAUAUGUAGGAUAAUCAUCUUCAUCGCAUAAAAUGAUUGCUUCGGCAAGAAGAGAAAAAAGAAAGGGAAAAGAGCUUCGUGCACAAAAAAGAGGGGAAACUGUUGUUUUUAUGAAGGAGAGCUUCGGGAAAAAGGAAAAUGUUGUUUUCUAUGCUUCGUUGCGUACGAAAAGAAGGGAAGGUGUUUUUUUUUGCCUUCGGCUCAAAAAAAAGAAAUUUCGUCCACAUCAAAGCAUUUCUCAUAAAUCAGUGAAAGGUUAAGGAUAUAUUACAAGGUAUGAACAGUAUACAUGGAAGUUUUGUUUACAUUUACAAGAGUUAUCUCAAAAGUUUUUCAAGUACUGUCUGCAGUCUACUAUCUAAAUCUCCAAGGAGCUUCGGCUUCGGUAUUAUUUUGGAUCAUCAGCUUCGGCUUCGUCAUCCUACAUGAAUAAGGUCAUUGGAAGUCAGAAUCAAGUUUAUAGAAAAAGGUAAGCACAAGGUAUGAUUUCUUACUGGAUCAAGGUGGCUACGAGCUUCGUCUCCAGCUUUUUCUCGACCACCUUUUGUCCAUAUCAUUUUUACAAAUCGAUUCGAGAUGCUUCGGGCGAGAUCAGGGAUGUCAUCCAGGAUUGAUGGUGACAAAGUAAAAUUUGGCCUAUUGACAAUUUUCCCAUGAUCACAGCCAGCCUUCAUGAAGGCUGCAGCGGUCCCUCGAGAAGCCACCCAGGCACAGAAGUCACCAUGCCCAGCUAUGACUUCGUCGAGCUCGUCAAUCUCCCCCUCAAUGUGUUCGAAGGUUUUUGGUAGAUCUUCAGCUGAGGGGGUAAAUUUUUCGCUGCUAGCUCCAACCGAGUAAAAAAUCUUUCUUAAUCGUUGAAUGCACUUGUUGCUAAAUUCCAGGCAUUUUUCUUGAAGAUUUGUCAGUAGUUUUCUCAAAUCCGAAUUCUGCUGAGCUUCGGCUUCAAGUUUUUCAUUGAGAUCUUGUUUUUCUCGUUCGAACUGCUCAGACUGGCGGAGAAGCUUCGAGUUUAGUUCUGAUAUUUUUGCUUCAGCUUCCGCCAGUAAGCCUUCGGCUGCCUGGAGCUCAAAGUUCUUUUUCUCAAAAGCAUCUGAUUGCUCUUUUAUUUUGUUUUCCAAAUUUCCGAUUAUAAUUUCAUGCUUUUUAUCUUCAAGAUCUUGCUGCAUUUGCAAGGCUUUGCUCAAUAGCAUGCUCUACAUAAACACAACCUUCGUCAGACAUGUUUUAUUAGAAACAAUAAAAGUUAAGGGACAAGUCAUUUACCUUGAAGUUGGAGUAAAACAAACUACCAACGACAUGUUGUCGUCGAUAGCGGCUGAUAUCUGCUUCUAGCUUCGGGAAUCCAAUACUUUUGGACAGAGUACUAAUAACUUUGGCCCCUGUUUGGUCCCGGAUACACUCUAAUUUCUCGUCAUCAACGCCUCCGAAGAGGAGUGCCCCAGGUUUAUAUCCACAGGAUUGGGCAUACUCUUUAAGCUCUUCUAUUUCAGCUUUUGUUAGAUGUUCUCCAACUAAGUUUUGGAAUGCGAAAGCUUCGUCUUCUGAAGCUUCAUCAGCAAUUUCUUUUCCUUUCUUUGACGCUGCGGUCACAGUCUCUUCGGCAGCAGCGGCAGCUUCUUCUGCAGCCAUGUCUAGCAGCAUUUGGUCAAUAUGUUCAAUUGUGCUCUCUAAAUUCAAAUCUUCAGCUGAGGUAACUUCGGCGACUGCGGCCUCCGAAGGUGCAAUUUCAAUAUCUGCUUCCUCUAAAGCUGCUCGUGUCUUUUGGGCCGAAGCUCUUGGCGGCGUUUUGUCAAUUACCUCUGUCACGGUAAUGAUUCUUUGUUUCCUUGCCUUGAUUGUUUUCUUCGAUUUCUCGGGCUCCUUGUCCUUCUGAAAAAACUUUGUCAGUUGUGGACCCAGUGGACUUAGCUUCGCAGGUAAGGAUUCAGUCAUUACCUUCAGAAUUUCCUCAACAACGGCAGCAGAAGGCGAUGCGGGGGUUUCUUCUGCUUCGGAUAUUUGUUGCUUCGGAGAAGAAGUUUUCCUUUUCUUUGGAAUUUUCUUCUUUAUUGGCUCUUUUUCACCUUCAUCUAAGGCUUCAGUCCCCCUUUUCCUUUUUUGGCCUCCGGCACCUUUGUUCAGAUCUUCGUAGUCUGGGUACUCGAAACCCAAGGCGUCCAAUACUCGAUUUAGCCUUCGUUUCGGUCGAGUGCCGAAGGCUGCGGUCAUCAAUUGAUCUUCUUUUUUCGAAUAAUUGCCAAGUAUCUCGUUGCACAUCACUUCGAUCAUAUCCAGCCACUCUUGGCAAGGAGCUUUAAAGUAUUUCUUAAAUUUGAAGCAGUAAGGCAAACGUACAAGUUCACCUUUUUUCUUUUCCCCCUCCAGUUUCGGCAUUUCCCACUCUUUUACACUAGGGAAAACCUUGAAAGCCAAGAAUUCCUGGACUAGGUCCCUUGUACUGAUAUUCUCUGCAAUUAUUUUGAAUUCAUACAUUGCUUUUUGGGUCGGACCCUCUGGUAACAUGUGGCACUGGGGGCGGGUUUCUCCGAAGGUCAAUUCAAGUGGACUCUGUACAAGCUUUUCCUUAUCGUCAUCAACCUUGACAUAGAACCAUUCCGAUUUCCAUCCUGCUGCCCAUUUGCUUCGGUAGCUGAUCACAGGAUACUUCGUAGUUUUCCGAUAAGCAAAAUUAUAGCAACCAAAAUUCUCAUGUAAUCCAUCUUUUCUAGCCUUUGUCUGAUAGUGCAAUUCGUGAACCCGGCAAAAGCUGUCCGCAAACGGUUCCACCGCCUGGCUUCAAAGUGCCCAGAUAUAAACAUUAAGCCUAACGAUAGCGUUGGGGGUCAGCUGGUGAAAAUAGAUUCCAAAAUUCUUUAAUAUCUCUGCAAUAAUCCCAUGAAGGGGAAUCUUAAUCCAGCCUUUAGGAAACUCUUAAAAAUAACAAUUUCAUCUUUUUCCGGCUUUGGGGUAGUCUCUUCUCCCCCGAAGCGUAAUAGCUUCUUUUGAUUUUCAGUAAAAUAUCCUGACUUUACCAUCUUGGACAAAUCAGCCUUCGAAACAGUAGAUUUCCCGAAGUCCAAAUGACUGGGUUUGCUUGGUGUGGCAAGGUGAUAAUCAUCUUCGGAGUCAGUUUCCUCAGCAUCUUCUCCUUCUGCUUCAGCGAUUGCUUGUUCUGCAUCAUCAAUAGGAGCCUUCUCCGAAGUCACUAGCCCGGAUCAUCGCAUGGCUUCGGAGAUAGGGACAGUCUCCGAAGCAUCAGUUUCGUCCCCCUCACGUUCAACCCUAGCGGUAGAACGGACUCUGGCCAUUUAACUAUGAACUUGUGAAACUUUAAUACUUUUUUCUCCGAAGCAGGCUUCAAGAUGGAGCUUCGUUCAAUUCUGACAAACAAGCUUCGGCGAUGGUUAAGAAUUUUGGCAGCAAAACAGUGCAAAUAGCAGUAAAUGCUGUGGUAACUUCACACCUACUCGUCUGUUUAUAUAGUGCCGCAGGUAAGAAGGCGAAGCGCCAGAAGUUUUACACCAGGCGGGCACCCGCUCGCACUCGCUGAACGGUGGACCACAGAGACCGAACAGUAAUUCUGCAAGGUGGGGCCGCUACGCGCAGGGAGAGUGAAUCGUUUCUCGGCAACGAGCUCAGGGAAGGUGUUUUUUGGACCUUCGGCUCCCCGAAGCUUAAGAGACUUUUUUCACGGAUCAAGCUCGUUACGAAAAACGAUCUAGCACCGCGAAAGGGGCUACUGUUGGGUCUAUGCUUCGUCGCCGAAGGUCUUCAAGGGAGAAGCGGCUUUAUAAUGAGUGAGCAGGUAUCUUCGGACUUGUAUCAGAAAGGGAGAAGCUCAAAAGAUACAAAGGUUGACACAGCGCCGAAGCUGUGAAGCAGGAAAGCUUCGGCAUGUUCGCAGAAAAGGGAACCGACUUAAAGAUGAAAAGGCCAUUUAGACCUCGAUAGAGUGCUAUAGAAUUAUCACCAAAUGUAAAGGGCAUGUAUGUAAUUUUGUAUGGGUUGUACCCCGUGCCUAUAAAUAGGUGAACAGUACCCCCGUACUGUUCACGCUGACUUGGCAUUUGCUUUUGCGUCACACUUGUAUUUUCAUCUCCUUCCAAGCCGAAGGUACAUUUAUAAUUCAAUAUUGUUUCUAUUUUUCUAUGAUGAUAUAAUAAAGUGAAAUAAAUGAUGUUAUAUGAUUAUUUGUGUUAUCCUUUAACUUUCAUAUACUUCGUCUUUCAUUAAUGUAUACUGUAAUGAUGAAGGUUUGUCCUUCAUAACCUUCGUCCGGAGAUCGUUAUAUCCUAAGGGAAAUAAUGCCUCAAAGGACGAAUGACUUUAUCGUUUAACAUUUUCUAUGUUGCCUUGUUCUUAACUCAUAGCACUUGAGAACAAGUCCCCAACAAAAGCAACACUAAGUUCAUCAAGCAUAUCACCUAAUCUAGGAAUUGGAUGUCUAUACCUUACGGUGAUGUUAUUGAUAGCUCGACAAUCCACACACAUUCUCUAAGAUCCAUCUUUCUUAGGAACUAGAAGGACAUAGACAACACAAGGGGAAAGACUUUCUUGUACGUACGCUUUUUUAAUCAAUUCUUCCACUUGUUGCUGAAUCUCCUUUGUUUCUUCUGGGUUGGUGCUAUAGGCAGCACGAUUUGGGAGGGAAGCACCAGACACAAGGUCUAUUUGAUGUUCAAUCCCUCUCUUAGGUGGUAGCCCUAGUGGCACUUCAUCAGGAAGCACAUCCUCAUAUUCCUGUAAUGCAUCAAAGACAAUACUUGGCAAAGUAGAGGGUAAGUUGUUAGUAGAAAGAAGGUUGUCCUUGUACAGGAGCACAAAGAACAUGGCAUUAGGUUCACUCAAUUCUUUUAGAUCCCCCUUCCUAGUCAUCAUGACUAAUCCCUCUUUUCCCGGUGUCUUGGUUAUUGGAGGCUGUGGAGUUUUAUUUGGCUUUGAAAACUCUUCCUUACUAUUUUUGUGGAUCACUCUCAAGUGCUUCUCGCUCUCUCGCUGUUUCUUCUUUAGAUCAUCCUUCAUAAUUUCCUCCGGUGUCAAAGGAAGCAAAGAGAUUCGCUCUCCUUUGUACAAGAAAGACAACUUGUUGGUUCUUCCAAAAAUCUGGACAUCACGAUCAUAUAACCAAGGUCAACCUAGCAGCAAUUGACAUGCUUGCAUAGGGACCACAUCACAUUCCACAUGAUCAUUCUACUUCCCAACAGAAAAAGGAAUAUUCACCACAUGGCUAACACGCAACGCUCCACAAACAUUAAGCCGCUGCAUCUUAUAUGGACUAGGACGACACCUUGAUUUUAAUUCCAAUCUGUCCACCAAUUCUUGACUAGCAAUGUUGUUGCAGCUACCAUUAUCAACAAUGAUGCGACAUAGCUUAUCUUUGACCAUACCUUGGGUAUGGAAAACAUUAUGGCGCUGUCCAUUUUCUUCUCUUUCAGCAGUCACACUUACCACUCGAAGAGAGAUAAAACAGUUAUGAUCUACUUCUGGCUAGAUCUCAUUCUCUUCAUGUUGAAUUUCUUCAUCAAACUUCAGUCCAUCGUCUUCUGGAACACUAUCUGAUUUCCAUUCACCUUUUUAAUUCAACAACAUUGUUCUUCUACUUGGACAUCGAGCAGCAAUGUGCCCACGACCAUGACACUUAUGGCACACAAUUUCUCUUGUAUGGGUAGAAGAAGUAGCGACUAAAGCUUCAGUCGGGUCUGAUGUACUAGCAGCAGGCCGAUGCUUAUUUGCAGGGAAUGAACCUAUAGAAGCCACCAUCUUUGAUGUACUAUUGGAUGGAGAAGACCUAGCUACAUUUCCUUGGGAUGGUCCUCCACCAAAAGAAGCACUGGAUUGUUGUUUGUGCCAUUGGACAACAUUAUAAUGACUUGCAUAAGAUUUUCCACGUGACUCUUGUUGAAAUUUUCUCUCUGUACGCAUUGCUUGAUCAACUAGAUCUUGCAAGGUACGGUAUGGGAACAUCUCGACAAAUCCAGAAAUCUCUUCAUUGAUUCCGCCUAGAAAUCUUGCCAUGGUUGACUCAGGAUCUUCUCUAAUUCGAGUUCGUACUAACAACAACUACAUCUCCUUAAAAUAUUCAUCAACAGAUUUCUUUCCUUGCUUCAAUAAUUGCAAUCGAUUUCGAAGAUCGCGUUGAUAGUUGGAAGGAACAAAUCGCCUCUUCAUCACUCGCUUCAUCUCUUCCCAUGUAUUAAUAUGUCUUAGUCCCAAUCUAAGUUGAUGUUCUUGCAGUUGAUUCCACCAAGUAAGAGCAUAACCAAAAAACUCAACUGGGGACAUGUUCACUCGUUGUUGAUCUAAAAAAUUGUGAAUUCUGAAAAUUUGAUCACACUGCUCAGCCCAAUUAAGAUAUUCAUCUGCACUUUCUUUCCCAGUAAAUUUAGGAAUAUCCAACUUGACUCGGGCAAUAUGGUCUCGGUCAUUUCUAUGACGACGUCCAUGAUAAUGGUCUCUAUUUUCAAAAUUAGCAUGUCGGUGAUGAUGACGCCGACCAAACAUUCCAUCAUUUGCAAAAGGAUUUUCAUCAGAUCCUUCCUCACGAUCAUGGUCUUCAGACUCCUUGUCUUCAAAUCUUACUCGACGUUCGUGUGCAUGACGCCUUCCACACAAAUUAUCGAAAUUAGCGCGGCGACCAUCACCAACCUCUACGGCCAUCGCCGAAGGGAUCGAAUUCAUGGUCAAAACCAGAAUUCUCAUCUCCGGAUUCUUCACGGUUAAAUUCUUCUGGAUCAUGAUGAUGUAGCCUUUGACCUCCUGUCGCAGUCAGACGUUCUUUUGACAUCCUUUCCAUGGCUCCCACGAGUGAGUCGGCCAUCUGAUGCAAUUCAGCCCGAGAGACAGGGGGCUCUCCAUCUCCAUGGUUUCCACCAUGAACACUUGAAUUGGAUCCUACCAUGUUAGAGGGAAGCAAGAGAAAGUAGAAUAUGAAAGUAUUUGUGGAACACUCGAUCUCACCUCUUACUUACUGUUGGGGACUUGUUCUCAAAUGCUAUGAAUUAAGAACAAGGCAACAUAAAAUGUUAAAUAUUAAUGCCCUUCGUCCACUGAAGCAUUAUCUCCCCAAGGAUUUAAUGAACUUCGGACGAAGGCCAUGAGCAAGAUAUCACGAAGAUCAUACCUUCGUGAUUAGAGUUAUAAAACAAUGUAGGAUGAAAUAUAAAAAUAUGAAACAUAAGGGAAUGAUAUAUCAAAAACACAUAAGAUUAUUCACACAUUUUAUUAUACAAACCUAAAUAUUAAAACAUAAUAUUUAGGUACAUUUAUACCUUCGCCUUGGCAGAAAGCAAUAAUUCCAGCGUAAUGUGCCAGCGAUUACAAGAUUGCGUGAACAGUGCAGGGGUACUGUUCACCUAUUUAUAGGCACAAGACGCAGCCUGUGUAUAAUUACAUUUAUACCCUUUACAAUCAACUACAAUAAUGACACAGAAUAUCAUGGGUCUUUAGGUCAUUUCAUCUUUAAGUCGGUUCACCCCUUCGUCUUGAGACAUGUCACUGUGCCGAAGCUUUAUAGGCAAUAGCUUCGGCACUGCUUUUGAGAGGAUCUGCCGAAGGUGUUUCUUUCUUUAGGAUCUUCGGCUAUGAAGCAUACCCCCAACAGUAGCCCUUCGCGGUGCUAGAUCUUUUUUCGUAACGAGCUUGAUCCGUGAAAAAAUCUUUUAGGCUUCGGGAUGCCGAAGAUCCGAAAAACACCUUCCCUGAGCUCGUUGGCGAGAAAUGAUUAAAAUAAUCCAUGCGCGAGGUGGCCCCAUCUUGCAGCAGUUACGCGCACCCUGGUGAUUCACCUUCUCGGACUCUGUGGCCCACCGUUCGGUGAGUGCGGGUGGUUGUUUGUCCGGUGCGGAAGACCUUGACGAUUCACCUUUCCACCUGUGGCACUAUAUAAACAGACGAGUAGGUGUGAAGUUACCACAACAUUCAUUGCUAUUGCGCUGUUUUGCUGCCAAAAUAUUGACUAAAGCCGAAGCUUGCUUACUGCAUCCUCAUCUGAAGCUAUUUGUUUUACUCAAGCUUCGUAACAAGAAAGAGCUUCAACAAAGUUAAAAAUUUCAACUUCAUUCAAAAAACAAGAAAUUCAAUCAUCAGAUGGCCAAAGUACGUUCAACAGCUAGAGUUACUCGCGACGGAGAGGAAGCCGAAGGUGCCAAAAUUGCUCCAAUCUCUAAAGUAAUGAAGCGUUCAGGGCUGGUAGUAUCGGAGGAUGCACCUGCCGCUGAAGCUGAGCAGGCUGAUGCUGAGGAAGUUGAGUCAGAAGAUGAUUACAGCGCAGUGCCAACUAAACCCAGCCACCUGGAGUUUGGGAAAUCCACCAUUUUCGAAGGUGACAUGCCGAAGCUGAUGAAUUUGGGCUAUUUCAGUGAAGCGAAGAAGGAGCUGGUUCAUUUCGGCGGGGAGGAGAUUACUCCGAAGCCAGGAAAGGAUGAAGUAGUGGUCUUCAAAAGCUUCUUUAAAGUUGGUUUAAGAUUUCCUUUAAACAAGAUGAUUGCUGAUGUUUUGAAGAAGUUUGGGAUCUAUCUUCAUCAACUAACUCCUAACACUAUCGUUAGGCUUAGCGUUUAUAUCUGGGCUCUCCGAAGCCAAGGGGUGGAACCAUUUGCCGAAGGCUUCUGCCGACUGCACGAGCUUCAUUAUCAGACCAAGGCUAGAGGAGAUGGGCUGCAUGAAAACUUUGGCUGCUACAAUUUUGCCUAUCGCAAGAGUACAAAAUUUCCAGUGAUCAGCUAUCGUAGCAAGUGGCGAGCUAGCUGGAAGUCUGAGUGGUUUUACGUCAAAGUUGACAAAGAAAAGGAGAAGUUGGUCCAGAAUCUGCUAGAAUUAAUCUUCGGAGAGACCAGACCCCAGUGCAACAUGACACCAGGGAGUCCAAGCCAAAUUGCUCUGGCUGAACUUAGAGUUAUUGUGGAGCAUAUCGGCACUAGGGACUUAGUGCAAGAAUUCUUGGCUUUCAGAGUGUUCCCAACUUUGAAAGAGUGGGACAUGCCGAAGCUUAAGGGAGAAAAGAAGAAGGGGGAACUUAUUCAGUUGCCUUAUCAUUAUAAAUUCAAGAAACAUUUCAAAGUGCCUUGCCAAGAGUGGCUGGACACGAUUGAAGUAAUGUGCAAUGAAAUUCUCGGCAAUUACUCUAAAAAAGAAGAUCAACUAAUGACUGCAUCCUUCGGCACCCACGGUGGGCGCCAAUGUUGGGGACUUGUUCUCAAAUGCUAUGAAUUAAGAACAAGGCAACAUAAAAUGUUAAAUAUUAAUGCCUUUCGUCCACUGAAGCAUUAUCUCCCCAAGGAUUUAAUGAACUUCGGACGAAGGCCAUGAGCAAGAUAUCACGAAGAUCAUACCUUCGUGAUUAGAGUUAUAAAACAAUGUAGGAUGAAAUAUAAAAAAUAUGAAACAUAAGGGAAUGAUAUAUCAAAAACACAUAAGAUUAUUCACAUAUUUUAUUAUACAAACCUAAAUAUUAAAACAUAAUAUUUAGGUACAUUUAUACCUUCGCCUUGGCAGAAAGCAAUAAUUCCAGUGUAAUGUGCCAGCGAUUACAAGAUUGCGUGAACAGUACAGGGGUACUGUUCACCUAUUUAUAGGCACAGGGCGCAGCCUGUGUAUAAUUACAUUUAUACCCUUUACAAUGAACUACAAUAAUGACACAGAAUAUCAUGGGUCUUUAGGUCAUUUCAUCUUCAAGUCGGUUCACCCCUUCGUCUUGAGACAUGUCACUGUGCCGAAGCUUUAUAGGCGAUAGCUUCGGCACUGCUUUUGAGAGGAUCUACCGAAGGUGUUUCUUUCUUUAGGAUCUUCGGCUACGAAGCAUACCCUCAACACUUACCCAAGCUCUUUCCUAAUCUCUAGGGCCGUGAUGGUGCCGGUGUGGCAGCUUCGACAGAGGUGGUAGAGCAGUCGAAAGGAUAACAAGUCAAACGUCCUGGUUCAGGUUUUUUAGUGGAGCUAUAGGAGGCUGAUCAAGGUGGGCUAUGGUACUAUCAACCAAGUGUGUUGAUGUGCUAAAAAGAUAUGAAAUUGUUGCUGGAAAGAUUCUCAUCAAAUCAAUGUAAACUAAAAUUUUCAGCAACACACCGCAACACAAUCCCCUUUCACAAAUUUUUUCACUUCUUCUUUUUUUGACUUCUUUCUCUUCUUCUUUUUUUCUUUCUCUCUUUUUUAUAACACUAAUGGAGUGUCGAGAUCAAAUGCAAUGACACAAUAUGAAUACGACGGUGGUAACUAGCAACUUGAGGAACUUUAAACAACACAAGGUAACAAUACCGCCAAAGGGUUAUAGGUUUUUUGUGUGGCUUUGGACUAUAGGACAAAACAAAAUAUAAGAUGGAUGAAGACUGUGAUAAAUAAGUGGAUGACAGUAAGACCUACCAUGACAACGAAAGCUCUGAUACUAGAUGAUAUGUACCGAGUUAUAUUCGGUACUAGGGUGCCCCAAUCUUCACGACAAUAGGUUGAUAAAUAAGAUGGUUGGGUAUAAAAGUAAUGGAAUAACAAGGUAAAUUUGUUGUAGAACAUCGGGUAACUGACUUUAUACCUGAUCAAGGUCGGAGGUGACCAAGCGACGGGGAGAGAGACACCGAAACCGUGGAGACUUUGACUCGAUCUCUGAACGACCAUAGAAUCACAACCGGAGCUAAUCCACACAAUGCGAGGCAGCCGUACUGGAACUCACAAGGCAUGAACUAGUGGAUCCCAGAGGAGUCUCUUCACAAGUCUAGGAGAACAAGGAAGAACAGGGGUAGAGUAAACACUCAGCAGCUUGGCUGCGGUAAUCACUUGGAUUAUCAAAUCAUCAAAGGUUAUCAAAAGUUGUUUUACAUCAUAGACAUAGGGGGGUAUUUAUACUAGCUACAACCAGCCUUAGAUAGGUAUAAACACGAAAAGAAAGUAUUUUAACGUGCUAAUGUGAAGUGGCCUCUUCGGGAGAUCUCCAGAGCUGAAUUCUGCGUGGCUGUUUGACUUCUACGUAGCCUUCAAUAUUUUGAUAAUAACUUCUCCUAGGAAUCUCUAAAUGGCGUGGGGCUAGAUGCGCUUGAAAGCUAACUUCAUAAGCUUUCUCACCAUAUAUAACAUGCUUAGUGAAACUUCGUAGAAUGAUACAGUUUAAUACUAAAACUUGGUCAUCAAGCAGACUGUUGACUGUCACACCCGGGUUUUAGGGGGCACCAAAACCCGGACGCGAGAUAAUCACCAAGUGUGCUGGGACCAAGUCUCACACAUAUGAUGACUCAUGGUACAUAAACGAAUGUCACAUCUUUAGUAUAUAAUAGGAUUUCUAUACAAAAUAAAUAAAUAAUUACAUCAUAUGGAGACAACUAUCCAACAACCCAAAGUUGAAUGUGAGACGACGGCUUAGACCUCUUACGAAUUCAUCACAACAUCCUCCAUGUGCCUCCUCCUGCGGUAACUGUUCUUGACCUGUGGGGGGUGUGAGACAGCAAGGGUGAGCUCACAUACGUUCAUCGCUCAAUAAGUUGUGGGGAAUAAUGUGCAUGAACUCACCAAAGGUGGGAGCUCAUGUAAAGUGUAAGGCUUACCAAAGAAGAUGGCUAAAGCUGAGCAUUGCUUUUAAAUUUGGUCAAAUUUUAUUACAGUUACUAAGUAUAAGUAGAUACCAACCCAAAUAAGUAAUAGAUCAAAAUUGAUAACAACACCCACGAUGCAAUGCAUAUGACAAAUUAAGUUUAGUUCCAUAAAUUAAUCAUGUGAGUUUCGAGCCGCUCAUGACCGUAAGCACGACUGAUACACCAAUUUUACACUCUGCAGAGGUUGUGCAUAUUUACCCACAAGUUGUGUUAUCCAUCUGUCAAGGGGUUAUGAAUCCCAUACACCUCUACCAAGGAAGUGAGGUAGGGUAACAAUACGAGGCCUUUACAAAGUUCCACUAACUUCAGAAAACCCGCUACAGUUUCUAGGAAGCUCCAAUGCAGGGAUCCCUCACUUGACCAUCAUCGCAGCAAAAUCAACCCAAGGACCUCCCUACACUGACCACUCCCCUACUGCCCUUGCCCCUUUCGGGUAAGAUAGUCCUCCACUAGCUUUCCUAAUUAGUCAGCCAAGGGCGUCCCAUACCACCCUUGUGGUAGCACUGUUUUCCCGGGUGGUUCUCCAUGUUCCAAUUAACAAUAUGAUCUUAUCAUGAACAAUAAUUAAACAACAACAUAAUUGGAACAUGAUUAUAAUGAAACAUUAGUUUCCCAAAACCAAAUAGAGCAAUAGCAAAGAUACCCAAUAAUUCAUCUGUCUACAAGGUGAGGAAUAAACAAUGCUAGGGAAACCUAUUAGGUCCCAUCAAAUUAACCCGAUGCCUGUCACAGUGAUUAGCAAUGAACAUUAUUAGGUAAAAAGGAGUGAUCGAGGGCACAACUUGCCUGGGACUCGAGAUUCCAGGUACCAGGAUGAUCUUCAGAUGACUCGCAACCUCGCGCUAGUCGUAGCAAUACAAACAAACAUAGCAUAGGCAAAAUUAACAUCACACCAAACAUAAUCACAAAUUAAAUAAUAAUGAUCUACACGUCGUAACGAGAUCGUAGGUUCGAGAAUUACUAAAAUCGGAGCUACGGUUUUAAAGAUACGAUUUUCUAAAGAUUUAGGAGUCGGGUACAAAAGAAAUUAAGUACAUGAUUGUAAUUUAUGUUUCAUAACAAAAUAAAGUUACCAGGGGAUAAACAAUAUUAUUAUGGAACUAAUGCAACUGGAAUAAAUCAAAAAGGAGUUAAAAUGCGCAAGUUAUGAAUUUUCUAAGUUUAUUCUAUAUUAUAAAUCAUUUUCUAGAUUUGUAUUUGCUUAAAACAAAAACUAUGGCUGCAGUUACUAAAUCUGAAGUGUACAGGGGCUAUCCCAUAAAUGUCCAGGGCACAAAUAGAAUUAUUUAGCACUGGUAGGGGAUGGCAGGUUAGUUUCAAGAUUUUCCGAGGACUCUUUAGCAAAAGACCCACGACGAAGGGGUAAGAUCACACCUGAGCCGCACGAUCUGAAGUCUAUGGCCCAGAUUAGAUCGCCUACAACUGAAUGGGUAUAGAGCUGUAGCCCUUGGAUCCACGAUCAACGCUCUGGAUUUUAAAGACUUGAAUGGGUUCUCACGCGUCAGAUUUAGAUCGGACGGUGCGCAGCUAUCCAUGAAGGGGUAUCAAGCUUUUCUGACCGCGUGAUCACAAAUUGAUGGUCCAGAUUUAAAGGCACAUACGAUUAUGCAUCUUCUAAUAUGAAUCAUUGAUCAAGCAGUCAACGACUCAGAUCCCAAUCCCUGAAGUUGUACCCGAAGUUCUAAUCCUAGCCCUCCAAAAUGGAUCGCAUGACUCAAUUACCAUCUUCUUCCCUCAAACUACACACACAGCGGCGCACGCCGGUGAACCACCCCAUCACGGCGCAUGGGUACACGAUUCCCAAAUCAAUCUGGUGCUACACGAUGUAGGCCCAUGGGCGAAUCGGUAUAGGGAGUUCUUAUCGUGUCUCGACGCAACAGAGGACGUGACCACGACGCACAGGGGUGUGGUGGCAGCACAAGAGCUCCUAUGAGCAAUCACCACACCAACGCAGCCACCGAGUACCAAAUACCCCACGUGUGUGAUCUUUACCUUCAAGCGAACCUCCCCACCCAAUUGAUCGACACCGAGUUGCAGUGGCGGUGAGAGUAUGCUGCGGCAGCGCUCAUGUUUUCUUCCCCUGUCAAUGGUGUUCGGCGCGGUGACCCAAGCUUUAUAGACACGCAGAGUCUGUGCCAAGACCAGCUACCCACCUAGCGCCAGUUGUGUGGGUGUUGCGCCAAACCCCGAAGAUCGUGGACGGCGGGCGAGAAGGAUCUCGCGGUCUUUUUUGGGAUGCGGCAGUCGUGGCUCUUGAUAGAGGGAAGAAAGACCUGGCGGACGGGGCCCACGCGACAGAUAGAUAGAUCAGGUGCGUGCAUAUGGGUGGCCUACAAGCGGGCCCCGCAGGUAAGUGUGAGGUCCAGAACGGAAGCGCGCGUGUGAGUAGAGUGGGUUGGUGGAAUGGUGAGCCGGAUGGGCCGAGGGGAGAGGAAAUGGGCCCAUGCGUGGUUCUCUGUUUUUCUUUUUCUUUUUAUUCUGUUUUGAAUUUCUUUCUCAAUUUCAAAUUUCAAUACUUAACUUCGAGUUUAAAUUUCCUGCCUUGAAUUUUUAGACUUCCAAUUAUCUAAUACCAUUCUAAUUGUGAAUAUAAACUUGUACAAAAUUUUAAUAUUAUUAUUAUUAAUUCUCCCUCUAUUUUACAAUUCUAAUAGCAACAAAUUACUAUUACUAUUUCUUCUCUCAUCUUCUAUUUUAUAUUUUCAUUGAUAAUUUGAGGUCAAUUUUAUGUUUAAAAUAAAAUGCAUCACAACAAUAUCAUCAACAAGAGAUGUACCUUUCUUUGUUUACUUAUUGGUUACUUAACUAAUUUGGUACCAUUAAUUGUUUAGGAAAGAAGGAAAUGUCCUAAUGAAUUCCAAAGGUUUCAGAAACUCUAGAAACACUAUUAUAGAUAUUUUAUUUCUUUAUUUUAUUAUUUUAUUAUAUUUUUUUCUUCUACCAAUUUUAGGCUUUACAAAUCCUACCCCCUUAACAGAAAUCUCGUCCUCGAGAUUAGUAAGAAAAAGGAUGUAUAACCAUAUUGUCUCAGAACAUAUGCACAAACAAGAAUCUCAGCAUGAUGCAUAGCUUAUUAGCAACACAUAGGGUCAAAUAGACCUUAUUAUUAUUAUUCCUAAAAUAGUAAAAUACUAGCUACUAACUAAAGUAAUAUUUAGGUCUUACAAAUAGUACUCUAAAAGUAUGUAGAUAUAUAUAUUUAUAUAUAUAUAUUUAUUCUAAUCGUGUUGUUCAUUGCCUUCUUCAUCAAUUUCUUCACCUCAACCACCAAUUUCUGCAUGGUUGACCUGCCCCCGAUUGACGGAUAAGGGCUGACUCUUGCCUGCUGAGGCUUGACCCUGCUUCAUCGAAGUCGGAGUAGUAUAAGAAGCCCUGUUGGGACAGUAGUUGGCAUAGUGUCCAAACUGUCCACACUUGAAGCAUGACAUGUUCAGUAUAACACCAGUGUAAAGGAAAAGUGCAAUAUAGAUCAACUCAUGGCACAGUGUGUCCAGAAGAAGGAUAGUGUUGGGGACUUGUUCUCAAAUGCUAUGAAUUAAGAACAAGGCAACAUAAAAUGUUAAAUGUUAAUGUCCUUCGUCCACGAAGCAUUAUUCCCUUGAGGAUAAUGAACCUUGGACGAAGGUUGAUAGCAAUACAAUUACGAAGGUUAAGUCUUCGUAAUUGAAUUUUAAUAGAUUGUAUAAGAUAACAUAAAAUAAAGAAUAUCAAAGGUAAAUGAAUUAUAAACGGAACAUAUUGUAUUUACUUAAUAUAUUGAAUUUUUGAAUACAAUUAUACCUCUGCCUUGGCAAAGAUUGGUUCCUGAAUGAUGUGAUUGCCAAAACCGGAAUCCGUGAACAGUAAGGGAAUACUGUUCACUAUUUAUAGGCACAGGACACAGCCUGUGAGAAAUUACAAUUAUGCCCCUCACAAAGGAUUACAACAGCGACCUAGGCACUUAUGGACUAGAGGGUCAUUCUACUUUUAAGUCGGUUUGUAAUACCGAAGCUUCAUGAAGAGGAACCUUCGGUCAUCUCAUACGAAUAGCUUCAGCCGCAAGCUGCUUCUUCCUACAAGACCUUCGGCGACGAAGCAUAGUCCCAACAGUAGCCCCUUUCGCGGUGCUAGAUCGUUUUUCGUAACGAGCUUGAUCCGUGAAAAAAGUCCCUUAAGCUUCGGGAAGCCGAAGGUCCAAAAAACACCUUCCCUGAGCUCGUUGUCGAGAAACGAUUUAGUUUCCCAGCGCGUAGCAGUCCCACCUUGCAGAGUUACUGUUUGGUCUCUGCGGUCCACCACGCAGCGAGUGUAAGCGGGUGUCCGCCUGGUGUAAAAAUCCUGGCGCUUCGCCUUCUUACCUGCAGUACUAUAUAAACAGACGAGUAGGUGUGAAGUUACCACAGCAUUCAUUGCUAUUUGCACUGUUUUGCUGCCAAAAUUUUUAACCAUAGCCGAAGCUUGACUCUCGGAAUCGAACAAAGCUCCAGCUUGAAGCCUGCUUCGUCAGAAGGAAAAAACUUCGGAAGUAAAAGUAUUUAAUUGCCACAAAUUCAGAAUUAAAUGGCCAGAGUGCGUUCUGCCGCUAGGGUUGAGCGUGAGGGGGUGAAGCUAAAGGUUCAGAGAAUGUUCCCAUCUCCGAAGCGAUGCAACGAUCUGGGCUGGUAAAUUCGGAAAAAAUCCCCAGUGCUGAUGUAGAACAAGCAGAACAAACAACUGCCGAAGCAGAAGAAGAAAACAUUGAGGAAACUGAUCCUGAAGAUGAUUAUCGUAUUGCUAUGCCAAGUAAGCCCAGCCACUUGGACUUCGGAAAGUCUACUGUUUCGAAGGCUGAUCUCUCCAAGAUGGUAAAGUCGGGCUUUUUCAGUGAAAGUCAGAAGAAGCUACUACGCUUCGGGGGGGAAGAAACUACCCCAAAGCCGGAGAAGGAUGAAAUUAUCAUUUUCAAGAGCUUUCUAAAGGCUGGAUUAAGAUUCCCCCUGCAUGGAAUUAUCGCAGAGGUAUUGAAGAGGUUUGGUAUCUACUUUCAUCAGUCGACUCCUAACGCUAUCGUUAGGCUUAGCGUUUAUAUCUGGGCCCUCCGAAGCCAAGCGGUGGAGCCGUUUGCGGACAGCUUUUGUCGAGUUCACGAGCUGCACUAUCAGACGAAGGCUAGAAAAGAUGGAUUGCAUGACAAUUUUGGUUGCUAUAAUUUUGCUUAUCGGAAAACCACAAAGUUUCCUGUAAUCAGCUACCGAAGCAAAUGGGCAGCAGGCUGGAAGUCGGAGUGGUUCUAUGUCAAGGUUGAUGACGACAAGGAGAAGCUUGUGCAAAGUCCACUUGAACUAAUCUUCGGAGAAACCCGACCUCGUUGCAACAUGACACCAGAAGGUCCAGCCCAACAAGCGUUGGAUGAAUUCAGAAUUAUUGCAGAGCAUAUCAGUACAAGAGACCUGGUUCAGGAGUUUUUGGCUUUCAAGGUUUUUCCUAGUUUAAAAGAAUGGGAAAUGUUGAAGCUAAAGGGGGAGAAGAAAAAAGGUGAACUUGUGCGGUUACCUUACUAUUUCAAGUUUAAGAAAUACUUUAAAACACCUUGCCAAGAGUGGCUGGAUACAAUUGAAGUAAUGUGCAAUGAAAUACUCGACAAUUAUUCCAAAAAAGAAGAUCAACUGAUGACCGCGGCCUUCGGCACCCGUCCGAAGCGAAGACUAAAUCGAGUGCUGGACGCCUUGGGUUUUGAAUAUCCUAACUACGAAAAUCUGAAUAAAGGUGUCGGAGGCCAGAAAAGGAAAAGGAUAACCGAAGCCUUAAAUGAAGAUGAGAAAGAACCAUCAAAGAAGAAAAUUCCGAAGAAGAGGAAAGCGUCUUCUCCGAAGCAAAAAGUAUCCGACGAAGAAGAAACCCCCGCAUCACACUCUGCCACUGACGUGGAGGAAAUUUUAAAGGUAAUGACUGAAUCCCUGCCUGCGAAGCUAAGUCCAUUGGGGCCUCAACUGACAAAGUUUUUUCAGAAGGAAAAGGAGCCCGAAAAAACGAAGAAAACGACUAAAGCAAAAAGACAAAGAAUCAUCGGUGUAACAGAGGUCAUUGACAAGACACCACCGAGAGCUUCAGCUCAGAAGAUACCAGCGGCUGAGGGAAUGACAAAUAUUGAAAUCACACCUUCGGAGGUCGCGGCUGCCGAAGCUACCUCAAUUGAAGAUUUGAACUUGGAAAGCACAAUUGAACACAUCGACAAAAUGCUGCUAGACAUGGCCGCAGAAGAAGCUACUACUGCCGCCGAAGAGGUCGUAGCCGCAGCGUCGGGGAAAGAAAAGGAAAUUGCUGACGAAGCUUCAGAGGACGAGGCCUUCGUAUUUCAAAAUUUAGUUGGAGAAAAAUUGUCAAAAACCGAAAUAGAAGAGCUUAAAGAGUACGCCAAAUCUUGCGGAUAUAAACCAGGAGCACUCCUCUUCGGAGGUAUUGAUGAUGAAAAAUUGGACUCUAUCCGGAAUCAAACUGGAGCUAAGGUUAUCGGUACUCUGUCAAAGAGUAUCGGUUUUCCGAAGCUAGAAAUGGACAUUAGCCGCUACCGACGACAACAUAUCGUUGGUAGUUUAUUUUAUUCCAAUUUCAAGGUGAACUAUUUUUCCCCUGACUUUUAUUGUUUUGGAUAAUGAAGACAUGUCUAACGAAGGUUGUUUUCGUGUAGAGUAUGCUGUUGAGCAAAGCUUUGAAAAUGCAACAAGAUCUGGAAGACAAGAAACACGAAGUUAUAAUUGAAAAUUUAGAAGGCAAAAUAAAAGAGCAAUCAGCUACUAUUGAAAAGAAGAACUUCGAGCUUCAAGCGACUGAAGGCUUAUUGGCGGAAGCCGAAGCUAAAAUGACAGAACUGAACACGAAGCUUCUGUGCCAAUCUGAACAGUUUGAACGAGAAAAGCAAGAACUUAAUGCAAAACUUGAAGUCGAAGUCCAACAAAAUUCAGUUUUGAAAGAACUAUUGGCGGGCCUUCAAGACAAAUGUUUAGAAUUUAGCAACAAAUGUAUUCAACGAUUGAGAAAAAUUUUCCAUUCGGUCGGAGCUAGCAGUGAGAAGUUCACCCCGUCAGCUGAAGAUUUACCAAAGACCUUCGAACAUAUUGAGGGUGAAAUUGAUGAGCUUGACGAAGUUAUAGCCGGGCACGGUGACUUCUGCGCCUGGGUAGCUUCUCGGGGCACUGCUGCAGCUUUCCUAAAAGCUGGCUGCGAUCAUGGAAAGAUUGUCAAUAGGCCCAAUUUCACUUUAUCGCCAUCAAUUCUAGAUGACAUUCCUGAUCUCGCCCGAAGCAUUUCCAAUAGAUUUGUAAAGAUGAUAUGGACAAAAGGCGGGCGAGAAAAGGCAGGAGACGAAGCUCGGAGUCAUCUUGAACCAGUAAGAAAUCAUACCUUGUGCUUACCUCUUCCUUCAAGCUCGAUUUUGACUUACAACAACUUAAUUCAUGUAGGAGGACGAAGCCGAAGCCGAUGAUUAAAAAGAAUGACGCCGAAGCUGAGAUCCCUUGAAGAUUAAAUAGGAGUAGACUGUAGACAGACUCAAGAAACUUUUAAGAUAACUUUUGUAAAUGUAACUAAACUUGUCUUUAAUGAAUUCUGUUCAUACCUUGUAUUAUGCUCUUAUCCUUCCAUUAAUGUAUGAGAGGUGCUUUGAUGUGGACGAAAUUAUCUUUUUGAGUCGAAGGCGAAAAAACACCUUCCCUUCUUUUCGUACACAGUGAAGCAUAGAAAACAACAUUUCCCUUUCUUCCGAAGCUCUUCUUUUCGUACACGAAGAAGCUCUUCUCUCUUUUUUUUUCUUUUUGCCGAAGCAACCACUUAUGCUAUGAUGAUGAUUAUCCUACAUAUGCCUGGAUGAAUGUUUAUGAAUGCAAAUGCUAUGAUGUAAUGUGAUGUGCAAAUGAAUGUCCAAACACAUAUCCGAAGCCAUAAUCACAGCCAUUAUUUCCUUAGAAACAACCACAUAUCAGUGCUAACUUUUCGCUGUAAGCUCUGCAUUCCCUUAGGAACGACUUUGGAGCUUCUUUGUCUUUUACUUUCGGCGGAAUCAGCGUUGACUUUUCGCUGUAAGCUCUGCAUUCCCUUAGGACGACUUUGGAGCUUCUUCGCCUUUUACUUUCGGCGGAAUCAGCGUUGACUUUUCGCUGUAAGCUCUGCAUUCCCUUAGGAACGACUUUGGAGCUUCUUCGCUUUUUACUUUUCGGCACUCGAUGGUGCGUUCUCAGCUUUUACAUUUACAUUCCUUGGGGGAUUUUGCUCUUAUAGAACUAAAAAAGGAAAUUACAUAUGAUGGCCCCAUUAAAAACCUUUCUCCCCCUUCAGAAAGGAAAAGGGUGCCAUGAAAAAGAAAAAACAUAAAAAAUUACAUCAAGUUACACAUAAUAUCGCCGAAGCUCAUCCGCAUUCCAAGAUCUAGGAAUGUCGUUGCCGUCCAUAUCCUUCAAUCUGUAUGAACCGGGUCUUGACGAAGAUGCUACUAAGAAAGGUCCCUCCCAUUUCAACUGCAACUUGCCCACUGUAUCUGGGUUAGCCACUCGCCGAAGCACCAAAUGUCCUGGCUCAAUAUUCUUUAGCCGAACCUUUCUAUCACGCCAUUUGAUUGUUUCGGCUUGAUACUUAUUGAUGUUCUCCACAGCUUGAAGCCUGAUCCCUUCUACAACAUCUUUUUCCACAGAAUAAACAGCUUCAGAAUCUAACUCUGCCGAAGCUACUACUCUUAUUGAUCCAGUUUUGGCUUCCUCCGGAGUUAUUGCUUCGUCACCAAACAAUAGUUUGAAUGGAGUAAAGCCUGUUGACCUUGAUAUUGUUGUGUUGUGGCUCCAUACCACUUUGAUUAAUUGAUCUGGCCACUUUCCCCUAGGUUGAUUGAAGAUUAACUUCAUUAUUCCUGUCAUUAUAAUGCCAUUGGCUCUUUCAACGAGUCCAUUUGACUCCAGAUGCCUGACUGAUGCAAAAUGGAUCUUCGUACCAAUUUGAUCACAGAAAUCUCUGAAAGCUUCGGAGUCGAACUGUGUUCCAUUAUCUACUGUGAUGGCCUUUGGUACCCCGAAACGACAAACAAUAUUCUGCCAGAAAAACUUUUGGAUGGUGGCCGAAGUUAUUGUGGCUAAAGGCUUUGGCUCAAUCCAUUUAGAAAAAUAUUCCACAGCCACUACAACAUAUCUUAAGUUUCCUUGGGCCGGUGGUAACGGACCUAACAAGUCAAGGCCCCACCUUUGCAAUGGCCAAAUGGGUUGUAUGAGCUGGGUUAAAGACGAAGGUUGUUUUUUGAUCUCUUGCACAUUUCUGACAACCUUCGCACUUUUGAACUAAUUCCGCUGCAUCCGAAGCUGCCUUCGGCCAAUAAAACCCUUGACGGAAAACUUUUCCAAGUAACGGCCUAGAUCCAAUGUGAGAUCCGCACAGGCCUGCAUGUAUUUCUUUCAUCAAUUCUAUGCCUUCGGUUCUAGAUAAACACUUGAGUAGUGGAGCACAAACUCCAUGCUUGUACAACUCCCCUUCUAUCAUGACAUAUGGACGAGCUCUUGCCUCUAUCCUCCUGUUAUAAGUUUCGUCAUCUGAAAGGAAUUUACCCUGAAGGUAAGAGAUGAUUUCAGUUCUCCAAUCUUCGCUAUAAACAGGAGAUAUAUUGAGGACUGCCCUUUCAAGAAGUUCCACUGAAGGUGCUUUUAUUGUUUCGAAGAACACAUCCGAAGGUAAGGGCAGCCCCUGUGCUGCUGACUUAGCUAGCAAAUCAGCAUGCUCAUUUUGUCCUCGAGGGAUAUUUUUGACAGAAAAUCCUUCGAAGGAAGCUUCGACUCUUCGAACCAUGUCUAGAUAUUUUUCAAGCUUCGGAUCUUUAGCCUUGCAACUCUUGUCGAUAUGACCCGAAACAACCUGGGAAUCAGUUUUAAGAAUGGCCCUUCUGAUUCCCAUUGCUUUUAGCUUCCGAAGACCCAAAAGCAGGGCUUCGUACUCAGUAAUAUUGUUUGUACAACUGAAAUCGAGUCUUGCCGCAUAACAAGUUUUAACUUUGGAUGGCGAGACCAACACAGCAGCUGCUCCUGCCCCGAAGGUUCCCCAAGACCCAUCGCAAAACACUGUCCAUACUUCGGCAUCUUUAUUUGUUUCUUCAUCCUGAGCCCCUGGCGUCCAAUCGGCGAUAAAAUCUGCCAACGCUUGGGACUGGAUCGAAGAUCUAUGCACAUAAUCAAUGCAAAAUUCAUUGAGCUCUGCAACCCAUUUUCCAAUCCGCCCAGUAGCUUCUCUAUUUCUCAUAAUAUCCUUCAACGGCUGCGAAGAAGGAACAAUAAUAUUGUAUGCUUGAAAGUAAUGCCGAAGCUUCCUGGAUGCCAUCAAAACAGCAUAUAACACCUUCUCUAAUUCUGUAUAGUUUUUCUUUGAUAUACUGAGAACUUCAGAUACAAAAUACACUGGGACCUGUUUCUUGACUUGGCCAUCAAGCUUCUCCUGGACAAGUGCUGCACUUACCGCUGAGUGCGAAGCUGCCACAUAUAAUAACAAAGGAGCCCCUGGCGUUGGUGGAGUUAAUGUUGUUAAAUCUAUCAAAUAUUGCUUCAGUUCCUCGAAGGCUUUUUGUUGGCUUGGUCCCCAUUGAAAGACUUCGGCUGAUUUCAGGACUUCGAAGAAUGGUAAAUUUCUUUCUGCUGAUCUGGAUAUAAAUCUAUUAAGAGAUGCCAGCCUCCCCGUCAAUCUUUGGGCCCCCUUUUUUGUAGUUGGUGGCUCCAUUCGAAGUAUAGCUUCAAUUUUACUUGGAUUAGCUUCAAUUCCCUUUGUUGAAACCAAGCAUCCAAGAAAUUUCCCCUUCUUUACUCCAAAGACACAUUUUUCUGGAUUCAACUUCAGGCCAGCUUGUCUAAAACUGGCGAAGGUCUCCUGCAAAUCAGCAAUGUGAUUUUCCUGUUUCGUGCUUUUUACAAUGAUAUCAUCAACAUAAGUUAGCACAUUUCUGCCUAUCUGAGACUGGAGAACCCUCGCAGUCAUUCUGCUGAAACUUCCUCCAGCGUUCUUGAGCCCCUCAGGCAUCCGAAGGUAACAAUAUGUUCCACUAGGGGUUAUGAAACUGGUCUUUGGCUCAUCCUCCUUCUUCAUCCAAAUUUGAUGAUAGCCUGAAUAACAAUCGAGAAGACUCAUGAGCUCUGACGAAGCUGCUGCAUCAACUAAGGAGUCUAUCCUUGGCAAUGGGAAUUCGUCCUUCGGACAAGCCUUGUUGAGAUCUGUAAAAUCGAUACACAUUCGCCAUUUGCCAUUGGCCUUUUUUACCAUAACAGUGUUAGCUAGCCAUUCUGGGUACUUUACUUCUCUGAUAACUCCUGCACUGAGGAGUCUUUUGACUUCAUUACGAGCACCUUCGGCCUUAUCAUCAGACAUUUUCCGAAGCCUCUGCUUUCUGGGUCUGAAGGAUGGGUCAACAUUGAGCGAGUGUUCAAUAAUAUCUCUGUUAACUCCGCAAAGAUCAUUGGCUGACCAUGCAAAAACAUCUUUGUUGUUGAACAAAAACCUUAUCAAGGUUUUCUCCUGUUCUUCGGAUAAUUGAGAGCCCAACAGCACCCUCUGCUCUGCUAUGUCCUCACAUAAGAGCAUGGGCUUCGGCUGAUCUGCUGAAGCUGCUUUCUCCCUUCUGAAUUUGUACUGUUCACAAGCUUCAGCUCCAUCUAUGUUAUGGAUUGCUUUUGAGUCAGUCCAGUUUCCUUCGGCCCUUCUGGCAGCUUCCUGACUUCCAUGAAUAGCGAUGGGUCCUUGAUCCGAAGGUAUCUUCAUGCAAAGGUAAGCAGGAUGAAGAAUUGCUUCGAAAGCAUUGAGGGUGCCACGACCAAUAAUUGCAUUGUAAGGGUAUUCCAUGUCAACAAUGUCAAACACAACUUGCUCAGUUCUAGUGUUGUUGAUGAAUCCGAAGGUCACUGGCAUGGUGAUCUUGCCCAGUGCUACAAUUUGUCUUCCUCCGAAGCCACAGAGAGGGUGUGUAGCAUCAUGAAUCUUAUCUUCUGGCUCUUGCAUUUGUCUGAAGGCCUUAGCAAAUAUGAUAUCAGCUGCACUGCCUGUGUCAACCAAGACAUUGUGGACCAGAAACCCUUUGAUAACACAAGAAAUAAUCAUAGCAUCGUUAUGAGGAAAAUCCUUGAGCUGAAGGUCCUCCUGGGAGAAGGUGAUUGGAAUGUGAGACCACCUUGACUUGAUAAAGGGUCCCUGCACUCCAACAUGUUGUACCCUUCUCUGCGCCUCUUUCUUCUGCUUUUUAUUGGCUGGUUCUGAGCACGAACCACCUGUUAUCGGGAGCACCAGCUUCGGGUCUGAAGCAGCUCCAGCUCGAUCGUUGAACGAAGCCAUCAGCUCAAAAAAGUGGAAGUGAGUUCACCGGAGGUGGGCGCCAAUGUUGGGGACUUGUUCUCAAAUGCUAUGAAUUAAGAACAAGGCAACAUAAAAUGUUAAAUGUUAAUGUCCUUCGUCCACGAAGCAUUAUUCCCUUGAGGAUAAUGAACCUUGGACGAAGGUUGAUAGCAAUACAAUUACGAAGGUUAAGUCUUCGUAAUUGAAUUUUAAUAGAUUGUAUAAGAUAACAUAAAAUAAAGAAUAUCAAAGGUAAAUGAAUUAUAAACGGAACAUAUUGUAUUUACUUAAUAUAUUGAAUUGUUGAAUACAAUUAUACCUCUGCCUUGGCAAAGAUUGGUUCCUGAAUGAUGUGAUUGCCAAAACCGGAAUCCGUGAACAGUAAGGGAAUACUGUUCACUAUUUAUAGGCACAAGACACAGCCUGUGAGAAAUUACAAUUAUGCCCCUCACAAAGGAUUACAACAGCGACCUAGGCACUUAUGGACUAGAGGGUCAUUCUACUUUUAAGUCGGUUUGUAAUACCGAAGCUUCAUGAAGAGGAACUUUCAGUCAUCUCAUAUGAACAGCUUCAGUCGCAAGCUGCUUCUUCCUACAAGACCUUCGGCGACGAAGCAUAGUCCCAACAGAUAGGUUGAAGAGUCAAAUUGUGAUUCCAUCAACCUUCCCAAACUAUGUAUACCCAAAGAGAACAAGAACUCUAAGAAAGGUUCAAGAAUAAGAUCAAGCAUGAUCACCAGGCUUCUACAAAGCAACAGUCACACAUUUUCUCAGUUUCCCCACGACACCUGCCAUCUACUACAAAAGACAGGGCACUACAAUAGAAAGUGCCAGAAUUCCUGCACUAGCUGCUACCGAAUGCAAUUCCGUACAAACCUAAGGUUCCAGCGGGUCGAAUAAUAGUUAUAGUGGUUAACGAAAAGAAAGUAGACACUUAACUUCAGUUUCGUGAUUAGACAAUCAGCACAUCCACUAUCACUUCGGUGACAAAGAUUGUGUGUUAUUUAGCUUGAUAAUAAAGAUGUUGGUCUCGCCAUCCGACGAGACAUGAUUUAUUUAUCUUCGCACAGUGGCAUUGUUAAGGUCUUAGAUACACCAUAAAACAAUCCAUCCAAUAGUGGCAGGAAUAAAAAAAUAGAAGUGAUGGAGAAACCUCGUCGAAAUUAUGGCACUACCGUUUGGGCCAUAUUUCGAGCGAGGGAUAGAACGUCUCGUUAAGGGACAAAUUCUCCAUCCCCUAGACUUCACAAACUUACGAGAGUGUUAAAAUUAUUCAUACAGAUAUAUGUGGUCCUUUUUCAGUUAGUACAGUAGAUGGGUUUAACUAUUUGAUAACCUUCACAAAAGAUUACUCUCGCUAUGGUUAUAUUAAUCCCAAUAAGGAAAGAUCAGAAGCUUUAGACAAGUUUAAACAGCUCAAGGCUGAGGUAGAAAAUCAACAUGAUUUGAACAUAAAGAUUGUCGUAUCAGAUCAUGUGGGGAGUACUGUGGGCACCAUACUGAUUAUGGACAGGUCCCAGGAUCCUUUCGCGAGGUUCCUAAGUGAAAACCAUAUUGUUGCUCAGUAUUCAACACCUGGUGAACCGCAACAGAAUGGGGUUGCCGAAGGGCAUAACAAAAUGCUAAUGGAUAUGGUAAGGAGUACGCUUAGUUACUCUAACCUACCAUUGUGUCUAUGGAUGGAGGCUUUAAAAACCCGCUAUGCAUAUACUCAACAUAGUUCCUAGUAAAUCAGUGGCUAAAACUCCAUAUGAGUUGUGGACUGGCAGAAAGCCCACGCUCAACUAAUUCCACAUAUGAGGUUGUCCAACAGAAGCUACAAUAUUUAAUCCUAGACAGGAAAAGCUAGAUGAGAGAACCAUAAGCUGCCAUUUUAUUGGCUACCCUGAGAGAUCGAAGGGUUACAGAUUCUACUGCCCAGGCAGACAAACCAAGUUUAUAGAAACCAGACAUGCCAUUUUCCUAGAAAAUGAUAUGAUCAAGGGGAGUAAGGUACUCAGAGAGGUUGACCUUCAGGAAAAGAGGAUGUAUGUCCCGAUUCUGAUGGUUGAAGAACCAUACUUCUCGAUACCCACUGUGUUUCCACCAACGGUUGUAACGACUAGAGGUGAAACCCCUGUUGCAAAUGUUGCAUCACCCAAUGCAACUACUACAUAGCAAUUCACUUUACCUUCUGCACAGCCUGGCUCUUCUGAGUCGGUUGCACAGGAGAGUUCACAUGACAGUGGUAGUGUUGCGCCAAGUGACGCACCAUUGCAAGAGCCCCAAAACGAACCAAAACUAGAAACAAGUUUAAAAAGGUCUCAAAAGGUCUAGACGAUUUGUGAUUCCUAAUGAUUAUGGAGUUUACACAAGUGUAGACAAAGAAAGCGAUGGGAUUUAUAUGAGUGGGGACAUCGAUGCAGAAGGUGACCCCACUACAUAUGAAACAGCUAUGAGAAGCGUAAAUUAGUGGAUCUACAAGACCAAGCGUGAUUCCAAAGGGAAUAUCUAAAGAUACAAGGCUGGACUUGUGUCCAAAGGGUUCACACAGAGAGAAGGUAUUGACUACCAUAAAACCUUCUCACCUGUCUCAACAAAAGAUACAUUUCGGAUCAUUAUGGCAUUAGUGGCUCAUUUUGAUCUAGAGCCAUAAUAUGGAAGUAAUGACAUCAUCACUAAAUGGAGAGUUAAUAGAAAACGUGUUCAUGGCACAACCAAAGGGUUUUUGUUGUGAGUAGUAAAAGAAAAAACAUGGGUUUAAGGGAGUGCCUAUGAUCUUGAAUCACAGGGGCUACAUAUUGCAAUGCAACCAAAUAAAGUAUCUUUUCGUUCUAAAGCAGGCGAGCAUGGUGUAGUCAAUGAGUACGGUGAUACUUGAUCGGUCAUUGUCACGUAUUGGUCUCUAUGUGUAAACUUGUCGAGGGAUGAAAUCUAGAAAAGUUGAGUAUAAGGAAUGUAGAGAACAAAGGGGAGAUUGUUGGGUGUGCCCUCUACAGCUAGUCAUUGGUGAUCGGAUUGGGCUAAACCCAACUAUCCAUCUCCUUAAACGGGUCCUUGAUUGGGAGAACUCACGCUGACCUCGGUUGGAGCCCCCAGUCACACGACGCUAUAUAUAGGACUAAAGGGUCGCAGGAAAGACUAACGCUAGUACCUCGACCCAAAACCCUAAUCCCCACAGAGGCCCCCAUCGCCUAAGCGUCGGAGUGUCUAGAAGCGCGACAACCCACAGUGGCUCGGAUCCCGAUGCCUGCUGCUCCUCUGCAGACGACGACAACAACGACAACUCUCCAACAACAACAACAACGAAUGUGUGUUUUCCUAUUCCUCUUAGUAGAACAGAUCUACUUAUCAUCGAGGUUUUCCUUCCAGUUACGGAUUGGUAUUCUAGGGACGUAGGAAUAGAUCUUAGGUACCAUAGGAUCUAACACUAUGAAGAUUUUAUGACCACUUUGUAAUUUUAAGUUUUGCAUUUUUGCUUCCUGAUCAGAUGUCAUUCUCUGUACUUUCUGUGUAGGACACGGGGAAGUCCUGGAGACGCUAUCAGUGAGCUCCUUCUGCCACGUUUUGUGGACAUGGUAAUUUGGGGCCAUGAGCCUGAAUGUCUGAUUGAUCCACAGGUAACAAGACAUAUUAGUAUUUAAAAAGAGGGGAAGAGGUGCAAUUUAGCAUAUGUAUUUUUAGUCAAGUGUUCUGUCUUUCUGCUUUUGUAUUUAAUUUUAACUUUGUUUUCCUUCUAUCAACUACUCACAGGAGGUUCCUGGAUUGGGUUUCCAUAUCACCCAACCAGGUUCCUCAAUUGCUACCUCACUGAUCAAUACUGAAGCAAAUCCAAAACACGCGCUCUUUCUGGAAAUCAAGGUUAGUACUGGUGCAACGUGCUACGCUAACAUUCAAAUAUCUUCUUUUUUAAUUUAUUUAGUUUAUCAUGUUGCCCUUGAAUAGGGGAGAGAGUACAGGACAACCAAAAUACCACUGCAGUCUGUUAGACCUUUUGAGUAUGCAGAGGUAAUCCAGCUCUUACUUGUGUUUGCUCAAGUGAACUACAUCAAGAGAAUGUCAUGCAGGUUGUACUGGAGGACCAGGUUGAUGUUGAUCCUGGUGAUGAAGCAUCCAUUCAUGAGCAUUUGCACAAAGUUGUAAGUCCCCAACUAAUAACUUGUAUUUUUGUAAAAAAAAUCGUCUGUUUCCAAGGAUAUGUUCCCAUGACUGGUUAAAUUAAUUCCAGAACAGAACAAUCAGAUCUUUGAACAAUGAAGCUUCAGUUGUUGGAUAUUUGUUGUACUAAAUACUGACGGCAGAGUGGCUUUAUGUGAGCAACCUUAUUGAGAAGAGUAGGGAAGAAGCAUCCAGUAGUGGAUCAAAGCCCAAGCUUCCACUGGUUAGAAUAAAGGUAAAUCAGGAGCUCUUUAUGGCAGUUUUGUCCCACAAUGUUGUAAACAUAAAAGAGAUUGAAUUGUUCUUCAGGUGCAUCACACCGGACUUUCAACGAUAAAUUCAAAGCAAUUUGGUCAGCACUACGUGGGCAAGGUACCUCAUAAACUAAUUAAAAUGGAAUAAUUUAAAUGUGAUGUAAUCCUUUUAGUUACUACUGUUGCAUAGUGUUUCUGGUUACUAUCAAUGCUCUUGUAGGUUGUAAACCCACAAGACAUACUUCUUCUUACAAGAUCAAGGCAAAGGCAUCAAACUAUGCAAGGUAUGCCUAUUAUUGUUUCCUAUCACUACAGUAAACGAGGAAAUUUCCGAUGGCUAAAACCGUCGGACUUAAGGACUAAACCGUCGGAGAUAAGCUAUGUCCGACGGCAUUAACUUAUCUCCGACGGUUUUAAGCCGUCGUGGAUAAUGCGUCGGAAUAGCGUUAUGUCCGACGGCUGCCGUCGGACAUACGCUAUGUCCGACGGCCCUAUCCAACCGUCGGAGAUAAGGCGGCGUAACCGUUUUAACCGCUGCCUGGGCCCACAACUAUUAUGUCCGACGGUUUAAAGCCGUCGGACAUAACAUAUAGCAUAUGUCCGACGGCUUUAAGCCGUCGGACAUAACAUAAACCUUAUGUCCGACGGCCUACACUAGGCCGUCGGACAUAACGUUUUUCAGAAAUUGCACAAAAAUCUGAAAUUUAAAAAAUCUGACAUUUGCAAAUACAAAACAGAAUUCAUACACAUAUACACAUUCACAUUAACAAAUAUACUCACAUAAGUAUACACAUUCACAAAUAUAAUCACAUAAGCAUUCACAUUCACAAAAUUUAACAUAACAACAUAGUUCCAAAUGGUUGCAAUAAGUGUUUACAUAAACAUAGUUGUCCAAACUCCAAAAUGAACAUUAUUCGACGGGUAGGCUUUCACAUGAAAGGUUUCAACAAGUGUUUUACAUCAGUAUCACUCAUAUCCAUCGCCACCUCCUCCGGCUGGACUAUGCGUGCUGAAAAGAUUGUUCACCCACGAAUGUGUUGUGUCGUCCUGACCAGACCCAUCUCCAGGUGCGGCAACUGAAGCGGGUGGUGUCUGAAAUCCCUAUAACAUAAGCACAUGAAAUAGUAACCACUCAGUUGUUCAUUUAAACACAUAAGACAUCUAUGAACAUGUCACACACGCAUAUGUGUACAUACCAUAGGGAAUUGUGACGGAGGCGGAGGCGGUGGUGGAGGCGCCAACAUUGGCAUUGGCAGUGCAAAGUCCGGAGGCGGCAUCCCAUAUGUCGGCAUCGGGACGCCCGCUUGUUGGGCUAGUUGCUACAAAUUAUAUACAAGUCAUUGUUGAGCAAACAAGAUACACAUCAAGUGUUUUGCAAAAUAAGCUACAAAAUGUUAGUUCAACUUACCGAGAGAAGAGCUUGAUUUUGGGCCUGGAGGCUUACAUAAUACUCGUCCCUCUUCUUCUGGUACUCGGCUUGUUGUCUCUGGUAUUCAGAUUGUUGCCUCUGGUACUCCAAUUGAUCCCUCAAGACUGAUUGAUGGUACUCUGCCUGUUGACGCAACACCGCAAGCUCUAUCUCAUGGGCUGCUGAUCGUGAACGGGACGACUGUGAAGACGACGAUGUGGAUUGUCGUCCACGGCGUCUCAGCUCUCUGGAAUCAAUCGUAGAAUCAAAAAUACCCAACCUACAAGAGUGAACCAUGCACUUAGUAUAGUAACUCAUGCCUCAGUUGAAUCGCAAGCAUAUGAUGACAAUUUUGAAAACCAAAUCAAAUAAUCUCACCGUCCAUGGGCUUGUCCUCCUGCACUAGCAUAUGCUGCCUGAGGGUCGAUUGGCUGGCUCCUCCAAUCGUACUCCUCCCCAUGGCGUUGAACCAUCUCCUGCCCAUACGAAGCCUGGAGGCAAACAAUAUCAAAUAUAAGUGCAUAACCCCUAUGCCAUUGCAAACAAUAUCAAACACAUAAUAGAGUAUAAAAAACUCACUAGAAUGUCGGUGGCCGUCUGAGUGCAUAACACAUCAGGAUUCUGAGGAUCAGAACCCCUAUGGCCUUGCAUAUACACCUCCACAUCCGUGGGCGUACGGCCGGAUUUGACUUCCUGUACAUAAAAGUUAUAUUGACACAUUUCUAUGUAAUUCAAAGUUACGACAAACUGAGACUUACCAUUCGCUUAGCCAAGCGCACAUGACCAUCACCGCCGUAGUUGUGGAACGACUCAGUUCCACGGUUUCCCCUGUUCCUUUCGGAAAUGGCACGAAAAUCAGGGGAACCCCACCAUCUGCACAAUGCCCGAUAACCGUCUGAUCGGGUGGCCAUCCACGGCACCGACACCUACAUGAAAUUUUUAAAAUAAAGCAAGCAAAUACAUGGCUUCGUGCGAUAUGAGAGGCAACAACCUGUUUACCUCUAGGUAUUGCUCCUCCGUCAAGUAAAUUGAUGACCACUCGGCCUUUGUAUUUGGCAUCGGUCGAUCAUCAGCAUUUGCUCUGUACCAUGCCUUUAUAGCCUAAAUUCGUGCAUAGUACAUUGCAUCUGCAACGACAUCGUUCGCGUUAUACUCAAACACGUAACGAGCGUUCAUAUCAUAUGAUCCAUCGUCCGGCAACUUGUACCGUUUCUGCAAAAACCAUAGUGUUAUCAUAAAAGCAAACAUAUAUGGAAUAACUAAAAUAGUAUAAACAAGUCAUACCCAGAAUGCAUCCCAAACUAGUGCUUGUGUGUUGCCAAACGUUCUACAGACACCAUAGCGAUAAUGCUCCCAAGUGGUGGCGGGGACAGACUCGCCAGUAGGCAAAGUCACAAGACCAGGCCAGUGCAGACGAACAAGAUUACCAAGAACCAUGUUCACCUGCCUGUAGUGUCCUGUGCCUGUGAACGAGUCGUCGAUCCAAGUCCUGCAAACAGAAAUCAAUGUAGAAAUUAAAACAUAACUUUCAAUAACAUUUAAGCAAAGAUAUGUCACUCACUUUCCACUAGGCUUUAUCACAACCCGAGAUUCCGGUGGAAGCUCUGGAGGUGGUCCAACAAAAUGCAGCUUCCUCGUUCUCUUAACUCGAGAAGUUCCAGACCCAGCUGCAGAAUCUCCACCAGCCCCAGAAUCCCCAGCCCCAGAAUCUCCACCAGCGUCGUCUCCAGCAUCAUCUCCCACAUUAUCUCCACCAUCAUCUUCAUCAUCAUCUCUUGCAUGAUCCUCUACCACUGGUUCCUCAAUUUCAGCAUCCUAUGAAACAAAUAACUUACAUCAUACAAUAUUAAGUAACUCAAAUAAUGUAAUUUAACAACUAACUUACAUCUUGUGGAGGCAAAUGUUCUGCCAGCGCUCUCCGUCUGCUCAUGGUAGAACCUGUGCCCUGAAAAACUGAAUCCUCACCCCUCGAGCUGCUCCUCGAGCUACUCCUCGACCCAAGCAAACUACGAGCUAAAGACUUCAUUUUCUUUGACAUCCUAUUUUAACAAAAACAAGUUAGUACAUAAAUCGACAAUAAAAUAAUAAAAUAUGCAAUAAAAUCAUGAUCCAUACUCGUCAAUCGUAAUCGUAAUCAAAAUCAGGAUCUAGUUGCUUUCGUCGAUUUAAUGGACGCCAAGUAGCUUUCUUCUUUCUCGUCACUCGUUUUCUUUUUGGAGGAACCUCUACAUCAUUUUGAUCGCCUAAUAAAGAUUCUUCCAACAUUUCAGUUUGUACAUUAAACGUGCUUGUAAGUUCUUCGUCUUGGAAAAUCUCAGCAGCCCCCACUUCCUGCUCGAUUUGACUUUCAACAUAACCAGCAUCACCAGGAGCAUAUAGUCGUUCACGAGGAUUAACUUUGUACACUACCCUCCAAUCAACCAAACCGUUUUUCUUAGAUGGAUAUGUCAUAUAAUACACCUGCUCGCAUUGGUGGGCAAGGAUUAUAGUGUCGUGGCCUUUUAAUCUAUCGUUGUGUUUGACUUCCACCAUGCCAUAUUGAUUUUCUCGCGUUGUAUUUGGAGAAAACCAAUCACAAUCGAAGAACACCACUUUGAGUUGUUUAUCUCCAAAAAACUUGUACUCGAUUAUAUCAUUAAUGACUCCAUAAUAAUUAGUCACCUUCCCUUCAUCGUCGACAGCUCUAGUUACAACUCCGGAGUUUGUCGUGGCUGCUAGAGGAUGAUCAUCUUCGAACCUUGUGGAACGGAAUCUAAAACCAUUGACAUCAUACCGACCAUAACGUCUGCCAGUUACUGCUCCUAGGGAUAAUUGUCGAAGGUCCGGGUGUAUAUUGUCAUUUUUAUCUACAUAAUCUCGAAACCAACACAAGAAAUUAAGUCCCCCAUCUUUUCCCUCUCGACGAAUCUGGUCACGUUCACAGCCAGAGAUGCAAUUUUGAGAAUCAAAUUCCCUGUUAGUACAAGGAAACAAACCUUUUAGUAUCACAACAAAAAUUCUAGCGGCAAUGACUAAAAUAAAGUUUACACUUACAGGAGAAACUGACUCAUCUCUUCCAUGUUGUUAUACAUGUAGAGUAAAGCAGUCUUCCAUUCGUCGUUGGUGAAACAGUAUGUUGUGCUGGGUCCUACAGUUUUGCCCCUCCAUUGAAAAAUUUCAAUAUCACUAAUAGGGGGCUCGUCGACAUGAUACCGCAACGUAUGGGCAUUGACAUUGUGUUCCUCUGCAAAGUACAGGCCCGUGAACGAUGCUAUCUCUUUGUAUUUGAAUUCUUCAGCGAUGCACCCUUCAACUCGUCUCUUAUUACCAACCAUUGCACGUAGCUUCUUUAGUGUCCUUUCGAUGUGAUACAUCCAUCUAUAUUGCACAGGACCUCCUACCUUAGCUUCGUAUGGUAGGUGAACAAGUAGAUGUUGCAUCGGAUUGAAGAAACCUGGUGGAAAUAUUUUUUCAAGUUUGCAUACCAAAAUCGGUAUUUCUUGCUCAAGCUUCUCCAUCAUCUCUUUCUUUAUUUCUUUGGCACAAAGAUGUCUAUAAAAGUAGCUUAGCUCCGCUAAUGCUUUCCAUACAUCAUUUUUUACAAAACCACGAAACAUAACAGGAAGGAGUCUUUCCAUUAUUAUGUGGUAGUCAUGACUCUUCAACCCAGAAAACUUGCCCGUCUUCAAAUUCACAGACCUUCUAAAGCCCGCGGCGUAACCAUCUGGGAACUUUAAGUUUUUCAACCAUUUCAUCAAUUGUUUCUUCCUUUUAGGUUUAAUACUGAAAGGAGCACGUGGCUUCUUCUGAUUCUCUCCUAUCUCCAUAGUUGGUCUUCUACAGAUUAAGGCCAAGUCUUUCCUUGCCUUAGGGUUGUCUUUUGUUUUGUUGGUGAUAUUCAUGCAAGUGCUGAUAAUGCUUUCACCCAUAUUUCGUUCCUGGUGCAUGACAUCAAUGUUAUGCAUUAGAAUCAAGGCUUUCAUAUAAGGGAGUUCCCAUAGACCACAUUUGUGAGUCCAAUUAUGCUCGGUUCCAUAACCUUCAAAACGAUUUCCAUGUUCGUUUAGUUUCAAAUCAUUAAGUCUCGCGAGAAUCUCUGGACCACUUAGACGCUUGGGUGGUCCCCUCGUCACAAUCGUGUCCUUUUUAAAAGCGUUCCUAUCGAACCUGAACGGGUGAUCCUCUGGCAAAAAACAUCUAUGACAAUCGAAGUAACAUAUCUUUCCACCAAACUUUAGUCGAAAGCAUAAAGUGUCUUCAACGCAUAUAGGACAUGUCAAAAUCCCAUGACAACUCCAUCCAGCAAAGAUACCAUAAGCCAUAAAAUCAUGAAUAGACCAUAAAAACGCGGCUCUCAAGUUGAACUUCUGUUUCUUGUAACAAUCGUACGCCUCGACUCCUUCCCACAAAAUUUUCAAUUCUUCAAUCAGGGGUCUCAUCAUCACAUCGAUCUUUGUUCCAGGAUGAUCCGGACCAGGUAUUAUAAGACACAAGAAAAUAAAUUCAUAUUUCAUGCAAAGAGCUGGUGGAAGGUUGUAUGGAACAGCAAAGACGGGCCAACAUGAGUACGACGUUGCAGUUACAUUGAAUGGCGAGAAACCAUCUGUUGCCAAACCGAAGCGGACAUUCCGCACUUCAUCAGCAAAGCUGGAAUCAAAAGCAUCUAGUGCCUUCCAUGCAUCUGUAUCAGCUGGGUGCACCAUGACAUUUGGAUUCUCACGUACCCCUUCUUUGUGCCACCUCAUGUGUCUGGCUGUAUUCUUGGAGAUGAACAAACGUUUCAACCGAGGUAUGAGAGGCAUGUAACGAAGCUGCUUACGUGCAAUCUUCGUAGUCACGGUCAAACCAUCGUCGUUUUCAACCUCAACGAAUCUACGCUCACCACAUACAGUACACUUCUUCUCACCUGCGGUCUCCUUCCAGAAAAGCAUACAAUUAUUUUCACAGACAUCGAUUUUUUCGUAGUCCAUACCGAGGCCAGAUAACAGUUUUUUAGACUGAUACAUGUCCUUUGGCAUCUUGUGAUUCUCCGGAAGUACAUCACUGAUCAAGUUCAAAAGUUCCUUGUAACAGUUGUUUGAGAAUGCAAACUUAGACUUAAUAGCCAUAAGUCGAGUCACAAAUACAAGGACGGUCACUUUUGUGUGCUCAUGCAACGGCUCUUCGGCAGCUUUAAGGAGCUCGAAGAACUUCUGAACCUCAGGUGUAGCUGGAUCCUCAAACUCAGUGGGUUGACCGGGGUUCUCCGAAUCGACGGUUAGAAACUCAUGGCGUACAUCGUCAAGCAUCUCUUCCAUCCUAUCGUAGUCCUCCUCUUCAUGUGACUGAACUUCCGAUACAAUACGAGGAGGUGGGUCCUCACCGUGGUGCACCCACACCUCAUAGCCUGGCAUAUAACCAUUCUUGCAAAUAUGUAUCGACAUAGUCCUCCUGUCAAGGAAAUUAAUGUUCCGACACUUGCUACAAGGGCACCUAACAUCGGUUCCAGUCUCUGACCGAGCAAAAGCAUGGUCGAGAAAAGCAUCAGUCUUGGCCACCCACUCACUUGAUAGAGCACCUCUUUUCUUCCAACCUUCAUACAUCCAUCGACGAUUCUCCUCCAUACUAGAUACGAGACGUUAACUUAAUUAGAUAAGUAAUGCACGGACCAUCCGUUUUUACGAAGAAAUCACGCCCCUACAUCUGUAGGAAAGGAUAGGUCCUAAACCCACCCAGGAGUGACCGACGAGGCCGUGUUUAUGACAAAACAUGUGGUCGUGCGAAAUUUCGGCAGCAUAACCCCGCUGUUCUCCAAUCGCACGCCUAAAAAUGGUGCAAUUGGAGAACAGAGAGGUUAUGCUGCCGUAACUAAGCAGGAGCACAUGCUUUUGUCAUAAACACGGACUCUGUCGGUCACACCAAGGCUGUCCAAUAAAGGGACAAUUCCGGCCCAACAUACCUCACAUGCGUCGCUUGUAAGGUGUGUUGGGCCGAAACGGGUGACGCCUAGGUUUCGUUUGUUCACACUACGAUACACUAUGAUUAACUAUAAUCAUCGUGCAUUAUUAAAUAAUUAAACUAAUAAACCACAAUACAAUAUUACAUACGAAAUAACAUUGUUAUAAAUGACAAAUCAUAUAAAAUGACCUUAUUUUCGAGGGCAUAAUAAUUACCCUCGGAAAUUAAAAAUUUAAAUUAUCUAAAGUACCACUAAAUAAACUAAAACAAGCUACUUUAAUUACGUAAUCAAAUUUUGGCCGUCGGACAUAACAAACUAAACAAUCAAAUGCAUUCAUACAUACAUUUCUAAUCAAAUACAUUAAUACAAACAUACAAUUCUAAUCAAAUACAUUAAUACAAGCAUACAAUUUUAAUAAACAAAAUUGCUAAUUAAGUAUACUCACUUAGCGGGUGUGGAGAGCCGGCCGGCGAUGGGCGCACGGGCGGGCGGCGGGCGCACGGGGCCGUUGGCCGGAGCACGGGGCGGCGGCGACCGGCGAACGGGGCGGCGGCGGCGGCCGGAGCACGGGGCGGAGCUCGGGGCGGUGGCGGCCGGAGCACGAGCGUGGCGGCGGCACGAGCGUGGCGGUGGUGGCCGGAGCACGGGCGUGGCGGUGGCCGGAGCACGAGCUCGGGGCGGUGGCGGCCGGACCAAGGGGCAGCGGCGGCCGGAGCACGAGCAGUGGGGGCGGGCGGUACGGCGACCGGGCGGGACGGCGACGAGCGUGGCGGCGACGAGCGUGGCGGCGACAGCGCGGCGUGCUCCUCGGACGGCGGCGGCGGCAGAGAUAGAGAGACGCGCGGUCGGGUGAAACUGAAGGCGCGCGGGUCGGAUCCGCGCGUUAAAAAGCCUUAUGUCCGACGGCUCGGUACGAGGCCGUCGGACAUAAGCUUAUGUCCGACGGCCAGGGGGCGGGCCGUCGGACAUAAGGUAAUGUCCGACGGCCAGUCUGACAGCCGUCGGCUGUAUUCUGUUAUUUUCGACGGCCGCUGUUGGCCGUCGGACAUAACCUUAUGUCCGACGGUUGCCUAUGGGGCCGUCGGACAUAAUACGACCGUCGGAAUUUUAUAGUUUUACUGUAGUGUAUGAAAACAAUACAUGAGAGAGUAAUGCUAGGGUACGCUCAUAUGGGACCAGGGUGGUACUUGUGUUGAGUUUCUGUUUUAGAAUACUUUUUUAGUUUGCCAAUCAAUUUAUUGUUAACGUGGCCAUAUUACUAUCUUAUUGUGAGCAUAUCAACAAUAAACAUUAUAGAUUGGUUAAUGAAAAGUAUAAUACUGGCUAUAUCGCAAGUUUAAAAUUUGAAUACAUUUAACAAAUUCAAGCUGAGUGUAUUUUCUGGCUGUCUCUUUUAUUGUAUUGCCUUAUGUGGUCGGCACUUCUGCUUAAUACGGCGCUGUGAUCAGGAGGAGGAUGCCGAAGUAGAGGAUUGAGCGAAUUUUCUUUUGGGAGUAGUAGCCUCAGGUUGCCGCCGGGGCUGUGAAUUGUGAUCAGGAGGAUUCCGAUGUAGACCAUUCACGGUUCCAGUGUGGAUUCCGCAUCGAAUUUAAUGUAUUUCUGAUCCAGGAUCCUGGUCGACUAGUUGUUGUACCUAUGUUUGGAUUUAGGGGUUAUUUGGUUUGUUGUCUAAUUUAUCAUAGUUUAUCAUGUCUAAGGUUAGACAAGUUUGAGGCAUAUGUUGGUUUGAAGCUACAGUUAUAGAAAUACUCGUCAAUAACUAGUAAAAGUGUAACAGGAUUCUUUUAAACGUGCCAAACUAUAGCGCUGAAUUUGAGCGUCUUAAACAAACUUAACACAAAAAAUUAUGGCAAUUUAAUGCACGGGCGCGACCGCGACGGCAUCGCGCGCCGCGGCGCCGGCCGUUCCCAAGCUCCCCGCCUGUUGUGCCCCAUUGGCCCUUGCUCUCGUGUUUAGCGUGGUAUAGAAGCAUAUCCUUUCAAGUUUCAACGAGGUCCUGGCCACGAGGGGCACUGUACUCGCCAGGGUCAGUAAGCCGUCGACAUCGAGCAAGAUAUCGUGUGAUGGUUUUUGGCGUGUGCUACUUGUUCGACCUAUUGUUGCAACGGAGACCGCCGCUAACUACCAUCUCCAAGAGACUCCUACAAUUGAGUCCUAUAAAUCAAAAUAGGACAUGUUUUAAAUUAUUUAAGACCCACCAAUUCGUUUUACUCCAACCGUGAGUCCUAUAAUCACAUUAUUUAGUUAAUUAUCCGCUUCACCGCAGCAAUGUCAUCGUCGCUCUGUCAUCGUCCAUGUUCGCCAGAGACAAUCUUUCACAUGAUCUCGUUGUCCUGCAGAUGGAGUAGUAGGCCUUCACGUGAUCAUGUUGUCCGGUAGAUAGGGUAGCGGGCCAGCGGUUGUUGGUUACUCUUGAAAGGGAAAUGUGCCCUUGGGCCAUUUCUAAGUAUUUUGGUGAUUGAGUGCCAACACAAGUGCUUUUGUGUUGAUCUAUACAAUGUGGUGGACUAAGUGCAAAUCAUGUCAAAAGGUAUGUUUCUAGACUUAGUACAUUAUUUUAUGGACUAAUGUAUUGUGUCUAAGUGCUGGAAACAGGAAAAAUCGAAUUGGAAAUGAGAUGGCUUUGUUCAGCCAAGUCUGCUCAGUCUGGGAGCACCGGACUGUCCGGUGGUGCACCGGACAGUGUCCGGUGCGCCAGGCUGGCUCGAGCGAACUGGCCGCUCUCGGGAAUUCACCGGCGACGUACGGCUAUAAUUCACCGGACUGUCCGGUGUGCACCGGACUGUCCGGUGAGCCAACGGUCGGCCGCGCGAUCUGCGCGGGACACGUGGCCGAGCCAACGGCUAGAAGGAGGCACCGGACUGUCCGGUGUGCACCGGACAUGUCCGGUGCGCCAACGGCUCUCUGGCUGCCAACGGUCGGCUGCGCCAUUUAAGGAAAGAAAUCGGGCACCGGACAGUGUCCGGUGUGCACCGGACUGUCCGGUGCGCCACGCGACAGAAGGCAAGGAUUGCCUUCCCAGAUUGCUCUCAACGGCUCCUAGCUGCCUUGGGGCUAUAAAAGGGACCUCUAGGCGCAUGGAGAAGAACACCAAGCAUCCUUUGAGCAUUCUUGAUCACUCACACUCCACUCUUGCGCACUUGUUCGACAUUCUAGUGAUUUGAGCCCCGUUCUAGUGUGCUAGUCUUGUAAGCUCAAGUCUGGGUCUUGUGUGUGCGUAUUUGCUAUGAUCUUUGUGUCUUGUGUGAGUUGCUCAUCCCUCCCUUACUCUGUGCUUCUUUGUGAACAUCAAAAGUGUAAGGGCGAGAGGCUCCAAGUUGUGGAGAUUCCUCGCGAACGGGAUAAGUGAAAGGGAAUUAGGCUUACACCUAAGUCCUAAAUAAUUUUGGUGGUUAAAUUGCCCAACACAAAUCUUUGGACUAACUAGUUUGCUCUAGUGUAUAAGUUAUACAGGUGCAAAAGGUUCACAUCUAGCCAAUAAAAAGACCAAGUGUUGGAUUCAACAAAGGAGCAAUAAGGCAACCGAGGGCACCUCUGGCUGGAGGCACCGGACUGUCCGGUGUGCACCGGACAGUGUCCGGUGCGCCCGUAGACUUCGUUUUCUACCCUUCGCCAGAGGACUUCGACUUCAACCCUUCGCCCUCGGGAAUUCGCGGAGGCCGGCGCGCUAUAAUUCACCGGACUGUCCGGUGUGCACCGGACAUGUCCGGUGCGCCAACGAACCGCGGCCUCCGGAACUCGUCAUCCUCGGGUUUUCACGACAGCCGCUCCGCUAUAAUUCACCGGACUGUCCGGUGUGCACCGGACUGUCCGGUGUGCCAGCGGAGCAACGGCUCACUGCGGCGCCAACGGCUCCCUGCGCAGCAUUAAAUGCGCGCGCAGCGCGCGCAGACGUCAGGGCUGCCCAUACCGGUGCACCGGACAUCAAACAGUGCAUGUCCGGUGUGCACCGGACACCUCGGCAGGCCCACAAGUCAGAAGCUUCAACGGUCAGAAUCCAACGGCAAUGGUGACGUGGCAGAGGCACCGGACUGUCCGGUGUGCACCGGACUGUCCGGUGCGCCAUCGAAUAGAGGCUGCCAGCAACGGUCACUUUUGGUGGUUGGGGCUAUAAAUACCCCAACCACCCCACCAUUCAUUGCAUCCAAGUUUUCCACUUCUCAACUACUACAAGAGCUCUAGCAUUCAAUUCUAGACACACUAAAGAGAUCAAAUCCUCUCCAAUUCCACACAAAGCCCUAGUGACUAGUGAGAGUGAUUUGCCGUGUUCAUUUGAGCUCUUGCGCUUGGAUUGCUUCUUUUCUUUCUCACUUGUUCUUGUGAUCAAAACUCCAUUGUAAUCAAGGCAAGAGGCACCAAUUGUGUGGUGGCCCUUGCGGGGAAGUUUUGUUCCCGGCUUUGAUUAGCGAAGAGAAGCUCACUCGGUCCGUGGGACCGUUUGAGAGAGGGAAGGGUUGAAAGAGACCCGGCCUUUGUGGCCUCCUCAACGGGGAGUAGGUUUGCAAGAACCGAACCUCGGUAAAACAAAUCUCCGUGUCUCAUUUGCUUAUUCGCUUGGGAUUUGUUUUGCGCCCUCUCUUGCGGACUCAUUUAUUAUUACUAACGCUAACCCCGGCUUGUAGUUGUGUUUAUAUUUGUAAAUUUCAGUUUCGCCCUAUUCACCCCCCUCUAGGCGACUAUCAAUUGGUAUCAGAGCCCGGUGCUUCAUUAGAGCCUAACCGCUCGAAGUGAUGUCGGGAGAUCACGCCAAGAAGGAGAUGGAGACCGGCGAAAAGCCCACUACAAGCUACGGGAGCACUUCAUCGGAAGAGUCCCGCACCAAAAGGAGGGAGAAGAAGAAGAGCUCCUCCAACAAAGGGAAGGAGAAGAAAUCUUCUUCUCACCACAAAGAGAAGAAGGAAAAAUCUUCUUCCCACAAGCCGCAUCGGAAAGGCGACAAGCACAAGAGGAUGAGGAAGGUGGUCUACUACGAGACCGACACUUCAUCAACAUCGACCUCCGACUCCGAUGCGCCCUCCGUCACUUCUAAGCGCCAAGAGCGCAAGAAGUAUAGUAAGAUCCCUCUACGCUACCCUCGCAUUUCCAAACAUACACCUUUACUUUCCGUCCCACUAGGCAAACCACCAACUUUUGAUGGUGAAGAUUACGCUAGGUGGAGCGAUUUAAUGCGAUUUCAUCUAAUCUCGCUCCACAAAAGCAUAUGGGAUGUUGUUGAGUUUGGUGCGCAGGUACCAUCCGUAGGGGAUGAAAACUAUGAUGAGGAUGAGGCGGCCCAAAUCGAGCACUUCAACUCUCAAGCCACAACCAUACUCCUUGCCUCUCUAAGCAAGGAAGAAUACAACAAAGUGCAAGGGUUGAAAAAUGCAAAGGAGAUUUGGGAUGUGCUCAAAACUGCGCACGAGGGAGAUGAGCUCACCAAGAUCACCAAGCGGGAAACGAUCGAGGGGGAGCUCGGUCGGUUCCGGCUUCACAAAGGGGAGGAGCCACAACACAUGUACAACCGGCUCAAGACUUUGGUGAACCAAGUGCGCAACCUCGGGAGCAAGAAGUGGGACGAUCACGAAGUGGUAAAUGUUAUUUUAAGAUAUCUCAUUUUUCUUAAUCCCACUCAAGUUCAAUUGAUUCGUGGUAAUCCUAGAUAUACUAAAAUGACCCCCGAGGAAGUUAUCGGGCAUUUUGUAAGUUUUGAGUGCAUGAUAGAAGGCUCGAGGAAAAUCAACGAGCUUGGCGACUCAUCCGAAGCCCAACCCGUUGCAUUCAAUGCAACGGAGGAGAAGAAGGAGGAGGCUACACCAAGUCGACAACCAAUCGACGCCUCCAAGCUCGACAAUGAGGAAAUGGCGCUCGUCAUCAAGAGCUUCCGCCAAAUCCUCAAACAAAGGAGGGGGAAAGACUACAAGUCCCGCUCCAAGAAGGUUUGCUACAAGUGUGGUAAGCCCGGUCAUUUUAUUGCUAAAUGUCCUAUAUCUAGUGACAGUGACCGAGGCGACGACAAGAAGGGGAGAAGAAAGGAAAAGAAAAGAUACUACAAGAAGAAGGGCGGCGAUGCCCAUGUUUGUCGGGAAUGGGAUUCCGACGAAAGCUCAAGCGACUCCUCCGACGACGAGGACGCCGCCAACAUCGCCGUCACCAAGGGACUCCUCUUCCCCAACGUCGGCCACAAGUGCCUCAUGGCAAAGGACGGCAAAAAGAAGAAGGUUAAAUCCAACUCCUCCACUAAAUAUGAAUCUUCUAGUGAUGAUAAUGCUAGUGAUGAGGAGGAUAAUUUGCGUUCCCUUUUUGCCAACCUCAACAUAGCUCAAAAAGAAAAAUUAAAUGAAUUAGUUAGUGCUAUUCAUGAAAAGGAUGACCUUUUGGACUCCCAAGAGGAUUGUCUAAUUAAAGAAAACAAGAAACAUGUUAAGGUUAAAAAGGCUUAUGCUCUAGAGGUAGAAAAAUGUGAAAAAUUAUCUAGUGAGCUAAGCACUUGCCGUGAGAUGAUUGACAACCUUAGAAAUGAAAAUACUAGUUUAAAUGCUAAGGUUGAUUCUCAUGUUUGUAAUGUUUCAAUUCCCAAUCCUAGAGAUAAUAAUGAUGAUUUGCUUGCUAGGAUUGAAGAAUUAAACAUUUCCCUUGCUAGCCUUAGAUUAGAGAAUGAAAGUUUGAUUGCUAAGGCUAAAGAUUUUGAUGUUUGCAAAGUUACCAUUGCCAAUCUUAGAGAUAAAAAUGAUAUUCUUCAUGCUAAGAUUGUUGAACUUAAUUCUUGCAAACCAUCUACAUCUAUUGUUGAGCAUGUAUCUAUUUGUACUAGAUGUAGAAAUGUUGAUAUUGAUGCUAUUCAUGAUCAUAUGGCUUUAAUUAAACAACAAAAUGAUCAUAUAGCAAAACUAGAUGCUAAAAUUGCCGAGCAUAACUUAGAAAAUGAAAAAUUUAAAUUUGCUAGAAGUAUGCUCUAUAAUGGGAGACGCCCUGGCAUCAAGGAUGGCAUUGGCUUCCAAAGGGGAGACAAUGUCAAACUUAAUGCCCCUCCUAAAAAUUUGUCUAACUUUGUUAAGGGCAAAGCUCCCAUGCCUCAGGAUAACGAGGGUUACAUUUUGUACCCUGCCGGUUAUCCUGAGAGCAAAAUUAGGAGAAUUCACUCUAGGAAGUCUCACUCUGGCCCCAAUCAUGCUUUCAUGUAUAAGGGUGAGACAUCUAGUUCUAGGCAACCAACCCGUACCAAGUUGCCUAAGAAGAAAAUUCCUAAUGCAUCAAAUGAACAUAGCAUUUCAUUUAAGACUUUUGAUGCAUCAUAUGUUUUGACUAACAAAUCCGGCAAGGUCGUUGCCAAGUUUGUUGGGGGCAAACACAAGGGCUCCAAGGCUUGUGUUUGGGUACCCAAAGUUCUUGUAUCUAAUGCCAAAGGACCCAAAACAGUUUGGGUACCUAAAGUCAAGAACUAAAUUUGGUUUGUAGGUUUAUGCAUCCGGGGGCUCAAGUUGGAUACUCGACAGCGGGUGCACAAACCACAUGACCGGGGAGAAAAGGAUGUUCUCCUCAUAUGAGAAAAACAAAGAUCCCCAACGAGCUAUCACAUUCGGGGAUGGAAAUCAAGGGUUGGUCAAAGGUUUGGGUAAAAUUGCUAUUUCACCUGACCAUUCCAUUUCCAAUGUUUUUCUUGUUGAUUCAUUAGAUUACAACUUGCUUUCUGUUUCCCAAUUAUGUCAAAUGGGCUACAACUGUCUUUUUACUGAUAUAGGUGUCACUGUCUUUAGAAGAAGUGAUGAUUCAAUAGCAUUUAAGGGUGUGUUAGAGGGUCAGCUAUACUUAGUGGAUUUUAAUAGAGCUGAACUCGACACAUGCUUAAUUGCUAAGACUAACAUGGGUUGGCUCUGGCAUCGCCGACUAGCCCAUGUUGGGAUGAAGAAUCUUCACAAGCUUCUAAAGGGAGAGCACAUUUUAGGAUUAACAAAUGUUCAUUUUGAGAAAGACAGGAUUUGUAGCGCAUGCCAGGCGGGGAAGCAAGUUGGAGUCCAUCACCCACACAAGAACAUCAUGACGACCGACAGGCCGCUUGAGCUACUCCACAUGGAUCUAUUCGGCCCGAUUGCUUACAUAAGCAUCGGCGGGAGUAAGUAUUGUCUUGUUAUUGUGGAUGAUUAUUCUCGCUUCACUUGGGUAUUCUUUUUACAGGAAAAAUCUCAAACCCAAGAGACCUUAAAGGGAUUCUUGAGACGAGCUCAAAAUGAGUUCGGCUUAAGGAUCAAGAAAAUAAGAAGCGACAACGGGACGGAGUUCAAGAACUCUCAAAUUGAAGGCUUCCUUGAGGAGGAGGGCAUCAAGCAUGAGUUCUCCUCUCCCUACACGCCACAACAAAAUGGUAUAGUGGAGAGGAAGAAUCGAACUCUAUUGGACAUGGCAAGAACCAUGCUUGAUGAGUACAAGACACCGGACCGGUUUUGGGCCGAAGCGGUCAACACCGCCUGCUACGCCAUCAACCGGUUAUAUCUUCACCGAAUCCUCAAGAAGACAUCAUAUGAACUCCUAACCGGUAAAAAGCCCAACAUUUCAUAUUUUAGAGUUUUUGGUAGCAAAUGCUUCAUUCUUAUUAAAAGAGGUAGAAAAUCUAAAUUUGCUCCUAAAACUGUAGAAGGCUUUUUACUUGGUUAUGACUCAAACACAAGGGCAUAUAGGGUCUUUAACAAGUCCACUGGACUAGUUGAAGUCUCUUGUGACGUUGUGUUUGAUGAAACUAACGGCUCUCAAGUAGAGCAAGUUGAUCUUGAUGAGAUAGGUGAAGAACAGGCUCCAUGCAUCGCGCUAAGGAACAUGUCCAUCGGGGAUGUGUGUCCUAAGGAAUCCGAAGAGCCUCCAAGUACACAAGAUCAACCAUCCUCCUCCAUGCAAGCAUCUCCACCAACUCAAAAUGAGGAUGAGGCUCAAAAUGAUGAAGAGCAAAAUCAAGAAGACGAGCCACCUCAAGAUGAUAGCAAUGAUCAAGGGGGAGAUACAAAUGAUCAAGAAAAGGAGGAUGAGGAAGAACCAAGACCGCCACACCCAAGAGUCCACCAAGCAAUCCAACGAGAUCACCCCGUCGACACCAUCCUCGGCGACAUUCAUAAGGGGGUAACUACUCGAUCUCGGGUUGCUCAUUUUUGUGAACAUUACUCUUUUGUUUCCUCUAUUGAGCCACACAGGGUAGAGGAAGCUCUCCAAGAUUCGGAUUGGGUGGUGGCGAUGCAAGAGGAGCUCAACAAUUUCACGAGGAAUGAGGUCUGGCAUUUAGUUCCACGUCCUAACCAAAAUGUUGUAGGAACCAAAUGGGUCUUCCGCAACAAGCAAGAUGAGCAUGGUGUGGUGACAAGGAACAAAGCUCGACUCGUAGCCAAAGGGUAUUCACAAGUCGAAGGUUUGGAUUUCGGCGAAACCUAUGCACCCGUAGCUAGGCUUGAGUCAAUUCGCAUAUUAUUGGCCUAUGCUACUUACCAUGGCUUUAAGCUCUAUCAAAUGGACGUGAAAAGUGCCUUCCUCAAUGGACCGAUCAAGGAAGAGGUCUAUGUUGAGCAACCUCCCGGCUUUGAAGACAGUGAGUAUCCAAAUCAUGUCUAUAGGCUCUCUAAGGCGCUUUAUGGGCUCAAGCAAGCCCCAAGAGCAUGGUAUGAAUGCCUUAGAGAUUUCCUUAUUGCUAAUGGCUUCAAAGUCGGCAAGGCCGAUCCUACACUCUUUACUAAAACUCUUGAAAAUGACUUGUUUGUAUGCCAAAUUUAUGUUGAUGAUAUUAUAUUUGGGUCUACUGACGAGUCUACAUGUGAAGAGUUUAGUAGGAUCAUGACACAGAAAUUCGAGAUGUCGAUGAUGGGGGAGUUGAAGUAUUUUCUAGGAUUCCAAGUCAAGCAACUCCAAGAGGGCACCUUCAUUAGCCAAACGAAGUACACUCAAGACAUUCUUGCUAAGUUUGGGAUGAAGGAUGCCAAACCCAUCAAGACACCCAUGGGAACUAAUGGGCAUCUCGACCUCGACACGGGAGGUAAGUCCGUGGAUCAAAAGGUAUACCGGUCGAUGAUUGGUUCAUUGCUUUAUUUAUGUGCAUCUCGACCGGACAUUAUGCUUUCCGUUUGCAUGUGUGCAAGAUUCCAAUCCGACCCUAAGGAAUCCCACCUUACGGCCGUAAAACGAAUCUUGAGAUAUUUGGCUUAUACCCCUAAGUUUGGGCUUUGGUACCCUCGGGGAUCCACAUUUGAUUUACUUGGUUAUUCGGAUGCCGAUUGGGCGGGGUGCAAAAUCAAUAGGAAGAGCACAUCGGGGACUUGCCAGUUCUUGGGAAGAUCCUUGGUGUCUUGGGCUUCAAAGAAGCAAAAUUCGGUCGCUCUUUCCACCGCCGAAGCCGAGUACAUUGCCGCAGGACAUUGUUGCGCGCAAUUGCUUUGGAUGAGGCAAACCCUGCGGGACUACGGUUACAAAUUAACCAAAGUCCCUUUGCUAUGUGAUAAUGAGAGUGCAAUUAAAAUGGCCGACAAUCCCGUCGAGCAUAGCCGCACUAAGCACAUAGCCAUUCGGUAUCAUUUUCUUAGGGAUCACCAACAAAAGGGGGAUAUCGAGAUUUCUUACAUUAAUACUAAAGAUCAAUUAGCCGACAUCUUUACCAAGCCACUUGAUGAACAAUCUUUUACCAGACUUAGGCAUGAGCUCAAUAUUCUUGAUUCUAGAAAUUUCUUUUGCUAAGCUUGCACACAUAGCUCAUUUGAAUACUUUUGAUCAUAUCUCCUUUAUAUGCUAUGACUAAUGUGUUUUCAAGUCUAUUUCAAACCAAGUCAUAGGUAUAUUGAAAGGGAAUUGGAGUCUUCGGCGAAGACAAAGGCUUCCACUCCGUAACUCAUGCUUCGCCAUCACUCCGAGCAACUCUCUAUUCCUUGGGGAGAAAUGAGCAUCAAAGAAAAGGACUUCAUCCUUGGAGGAGAGAGUAAAAGCUCAAAAGCAAAAGGACCGGAUUUCGUCUUUGGUAUAAUCUUAACUCAUUUACUUAUGACCAAAGGGGAAGAAAUUACUAAGGAGGGCUCUAAUGAUUCCGUUUUUGGCGAUUCAUGCCAAAAAGGGGGAGAAAUGAGCCCAAAGCAAAAGGACCGCACCACCACCACCAAAUUCAAAAACUUAGUGCUUUCCAAAAGUCUUUAUCAUUUGGUAUCCUAUUGUGUUCAAAAGGGGGAGAAAGUAGUAUUUCAAAAAUGGUAUAUCAAAACCCUCUUGAACACUAAGAGGUGGAUCUCUUUUAGGGGGAGUUUUGUUUAGUCAAAGGAAAAGCAUUUGAAAUAGGUGGAGAAAAUUUCAAAUCUUGAAAAUGCUUUACAAACUCUUAUUCAUUUACCUUUGACUAUUUGCAAAAGAUCUUUGAAAUGGAUUUACAAAAAGGAUUUGCAAAAACAAAACAUGUGGUGUAAACGUGGUCCAAAAUGUUACAUAAGAAAGGAACAUUCCAUGCAUAUCUUGUAAGUAGUUAUAUUGGCUCAAUUCCAAGCAACCUUUACACUUACAUUAUGCAAACUAGUUCAAUUAUGCACUUCUAUAUUUGCUUUGGUUUGUGUUGGCAUCAAUCACCAAAAAGGGGGAGAUUGAAAGGGAAUUAGGCUUACACCUAAGUCCUAAAUAAUUUUGGUGGUUAAAUUGCCCAACACAAAUCUUUGGACUAACUAGUUUGCUCUAGUGUAUAAGUUAUACAGGUGCAAAAGGUUCACAUCUAGCCAAUAAAAAGACCAAGUGUUGGAUUCAACAAAGGAGCAAUAAGGCAACCGAGGGCACCUCUGGCUGGAGGCACCGGACUGUCCGGUGUGCACCGGACAGUGUCCGGUGCGCCCGUAGACUUCGUUUUCUACCCUUCGCCAGAGGACUUCGACUUCAACCCUUCGCCCUCGGGAAUUCGCGGAGGCCGGCGCGCUAUAAUUCACCGGACUGUCCGGUGUGCACCGGACAUGUCCGGUGCGCCAACGAACCGCGGCCUCCGGAACUCGUCAUCCUCGGGUUUUCACGACAGCCGCUCCGCUAUAAUUCACCGGACUGUCCGGUGUGCACCGGACUGUCCGGUGUGCCAGCGGAGCAACGGCUCACUGCGGCGCCAACGGCUCCCUGCGCAGCAUUAAAUGCGCGCGCAGCGCGCGCAGACGUCAGGGCUGCCCAUACCGGUGCACCGGACAUCAAACAGUGCAUGUCCGGUGUGCACCGGACACCUCGGCAGGCCCACAAGUCAGAAGCUUCAACGGUCAGAAUCCAACGGCAAUGGUGACGUGGCAGAGGCACCGGACUGUCCGGUGUGCACCGGACUGUCCGGUGCGCCAUCGAACAGAGGCUGCCAGCAACGGUCACUUUUGGUGGUUGGGGCUAUAAAUACCCCAACCACCCCACCAUUCAUUGCAUCCAAGUUUUCCACUUCUCAACUACUACAAGAGCUCUAGCAUUCAAUUCUAGACACACUAAAGAGAUCAAAUCCUCUCCAAUUCCACACAAAGCCCUAGUGACUAGUGAGAGUGAUUUGCCGUGUUCAUUUGAGCUCUUGCGCUUGGAUUGCUUCUUUUCUUUCUCACUUGUUCUUGUGAUCAAAACUCCAUUGUAAUCAAGGCAAGAGGCACCAAUUGUGUGGUGGCCCUUGCGGGGAAGUUUUGUUCCCGGCUUUGAUUAGCGAAGAGAAGCUCACUCGGUCCGUGGGACCGUUUGAGAGAGGGAAGGGUUGAAAGAGACCCGGCCUUUGUGGCCUCCUCAACGGGGAGUAGGUUUGCAAGAACCGAACCUCGGUAAAACAAAUCUCCGUGUCUCAUUUGCUUAUUCGCUUGGGAUUUGUUUUGCGCCCUCUCUUGCGGACUCAUUUAUUAUUACUAACGCUAACCCCGGCUUGUAGUUGUGUUUAUAUUUGUAAAUUUCAGUUUCGCCCUAUUCACCCCCCCUCUAGGCGACUAUCAAUAAGAAAAGAAAAGCAAAACACUGUGGUAUUCAAGUUGAUCAUUGGAUCACUUGAGAGGAGUUGAGUGCAACUCUCGUCCGUUGGGACGCCACAACGUGGAGUAGGCAAGUUUUGUACUUGGCCGAACCACGGGAUAAACCACUGUGUCAUCUCUGUGAUUGAUCUCUUGUGGUUAUUGUGUUUUGUUGAGACUCCUCUCUAGCCACUUGGCAAUUAUUGUGCUAACCUUAACCAAGUUUUGUGGCUUAAGUUUUAUAUUUCACAGGAUCACCUAUUCACCCCCUCUCUAGGUGCUCUCAAUUGGUAUCAGAGCCGUUCUCUUCAAGAAAGGGACUAACCGCCCGAAGAGAUGGAUCCUAAGGGGAAGGGAAUCGUGAUCAACAACAAGGAGAAGGAGUCCUUCGUCAACGAGCCGAAGGAUGACAAGCCUACCGACUCGGGCUCAGGCCACAGACGCAAAGAUGGGAAGAAGAAGAAGACAAGACGCAUCAAGGAGAUCGUCUACUACGACGACAGCGAUGAGUCCACUUCUUCCCAAAAGGACAACGACGACAACGACUGCGAGAGAAGGAAACCGGUUAAUUCAAACUUUUCUUUUGACUACUCUCGUAUUCCGCAAAGUACAAAUGCUCAUUUAUUAUCCAUUCCACUUGGUAAACCUCCUCAUUUUGAUGGAGAAGACUACGGAUUUUGGAGUCACAAAAUGCGUAGUCACUUGUUCUCUCUCCAUCCUAGCAUAUGAGAGAUAGUAGAAAGUGGAAUGCAUUUUGAUAGUAGUGAUAGUCCCAUGUUUAUCAAUGAGCAAAUUCAUAAAAACGCACAAGCUACUACUGUGUUGAAAGGGAAAUGUGCCCUUGGGCCAUUUCUAAGUAUUUUGGUGAUUGAGUGCAAACACAAAGUGCUUAAAUGUGAAUUUAUGCCCAUGGAUGAACAAAGUGCAAAUCACGAGUAAAGGUAUGUUUCUAAGCCUUAGUACAUUGGUUUUGUGUACUAAUAUACUUGUCUAAGUGUUAGAAACAGAAAGAAGAAGAAAAGAAAAGAGGUGUGAAAGGCUUGGCUGUGUACAGCCAAGACUCAGCUCUGUCUGGCACACCGGACUGUCCGGUGGUGCACCGGACAGUGUCCGGUGCGCCAGGCUGACUCGGCGUGAAGUGGCCGCUCUCGGGAAUUCGCCGACGGCGUACGGCUAAAAUUCACCGGACUGUCCGGUGUGCACCGGACUGUCCGGUGAGCCAACGGUCGGCCGGGCCAACGGUCGGCCGGGCCAACGGUCGGCCGCGGAAUCUGCGCGCGACACGUGGUCGGGCCAACGGUCGGAAGGGGGCACCGGACUGUCCGGUGUGCACCGGACAUGUCCGGUGCGCCAAAGGCUCCCAGAUCUGCAAUGGUCGGCCGCGCCAUUUAAGGAAGGAAAUCGGGCACCGGACAGUGUCCGGUGUGCACCGGACUGUCCGGUGCACCCGACGACAGAAGGCAAGAUUGGCCUUCCAGAUUUGCUCUCAACGGCUCCUAGCUGCCUUGGGGCUAUAAAAGGGACCCCUAGGCGCAUGGAGGAGACACCCAAGCAACCUUAGAGCAUUCUUGAUCAUCCACACUCAGUCUUUGCGCAUUCAUUUGUCAUUCUCAGUGAUUCGAGCUCCGUUCUAGUGAGAACUUUGAGAUAGUCUUUUGAGCUCGAUUCUUGGCCGUGUGUGUGCGCAUUUUGCUGUGGAAUUGUGUGUGUUGCUUCCCUUCCUUACUCCGUAUUUCUUUGUGAAUCUCAAGUGUAAGGGCGAGAGGCUCCAAGUUGUGGAGAUUCCUCGCAAACGGGAUAUUGAAAGGCAAAGCAAAACACCGUGGUAUUCAAGUUGGUCUUUGGACCGCUUGAGAGGGGUUGAUUGCAACCCUCGUCCGUUGGGACGCCACAACGUGGAGUAGGCAAGCGUUGGUCUUGGCCGAACCACGGGAUAAACCACUGUGUCAUCUCUGUGUUUGAUCUCUUGUGGUAUUGUGUUUUGUUGAGACUCCUCUCUAGCCACUUGGCAAUUAUUGUGCUAACACUUAACAAGUUUUUGUGGCUAUAAGUUUAAGUUUCACAGGAUCACCUAUUCACCCCCCCUCUAGGUGCUCUCAAUUGGUAUCAGAGCCGUUCUCUUCAAGAAGAGGGACUAACCGCCCGAAGAGAUGGAUCCUAAGGGCAAGGGGAUAGUGAUCAACGAUAAGGAGAAGGAGUCCUUCGUCAACAAGCCCAAAGAUGACAAGCCUACCAACUCCGGCUCGGGUCAUAGACGAAAGGAAGGGAAGAAGAAGAAGACAAGGCGCAUCAAGGAGAUCGUCUACUACGACGACAGCGAUGAGUCUACUUCUUCCCAAAAGGACGACGACCACAACGACUACGAGAGAAGGAAACCGGUUAAUUCGAACUUUUCCUUUGACUACUCUCGUAUUCCGCAAAGUUCAAAUUCACAUUUGCUCUCCAUUCCACUCGGCAAGCCCCCACACUUUGAUGGGGAGGACUAUGGAUUUUGGAGCCACAAAAUGCGUAGUCAUCUAUUCUCUCUCCAUCCUAGUAUAUGGGAGAUUGUAGAUAGUGGAAUGCACUUUGAUAGUUCGGAUAGUCCUAUAUUCAUUAAUGAGCAAAUCCAUAAGAAUGCACAAGCUACUACUGUUCUUCUAGCUUCAUUGUGCAGGGAUGAAUAUAACAAAAUGAGCGGCUUGGAUAACGCCAAGCAGAUCUGGGACACCCUCAAGAUUUCUCAUGAGGGAAAUGACGUUACCUUGCUCACCAAAAUGGAGUUGGUGGAGGGCGAGCUUGGACGGUUCGCGAUGAUAAGGGGCGAGGAGCCAACUCAAACAUACAACCGGCUCAAGACCCUUAUUAACAAAAUAAGGAGCUACGGAAGCACGCGAUGGACGGACCACGACGUCGUUCGACUAAUGCUAAGGUCCUUUACCGUUCUUGAUCCUCAUUUGGUGAAUAAUAUUCGUGAGAAUCCCAGGUACACCAAAAUGUCGCCCGAAGAAGUCCUAGGAAAAUUCGUCAGCGGGCGAAUGAUGAUCAAGGAGGCGAGGUACGUGGACGACGCCUUGAAUGGACCGAUCAACGAGCCGCAACCUCUUGCUCUCAAAGCCACAAGAAGCAAGGAGGCGCUACCUAGCAAGGUGGCACAAAUUGAAGCGGCCGGACUUAAUGAUGAAGAGAUGGCCCUCAUCAUCAAAAGAUUCAAGACGGCGCUUAAGGGUCGCAAGGGACAGCCAAGCAAGACCAAAGCCAAGGGGAAGCGCUCAUGCUUCAAAUGCGGUAAGCUUGGUCAUUUUAUUGCUAAUUGUCCCGACAAUGAUAGUGAUCAGGACCAAGGGAACAAGAGAGAGUAAAAGAAGCAUUACAAGAAGGCCAAGGGCGAGGCACAUAUCGGAAAGGAGUGGGAUUCGGAUUGCUCCUCCUCCGACUCCGACAAUGAAGGACUCGCCGCCACUGCCUUCAACAAGUCAUCCCUCUUCCCCAACGAGCGUCACACUUGCCUCAUGGCAAGGGAGAAGAAAGUAAGCACUCAUGAUACUAGUACUUAUGCUUCUUCAAGUGAGGAUGAGUCUAGUGAUGAUGAUGAGAUAGAUUACUCAUGCUUAUUCAAGGGAUUAGAUAGAUCUAAAAUUAAUAAGAUUAAUGAGUUGAUUGAUGCUUUGAAUGACAAGAAUAGAUUACUAGAAAAACAAGAAGAUCUUUUAUAUGAGGAGCAUGAUAAAUUUGUUAGUGCACAAAAAUCUCUUGCUCUAGAAAUUAAAAGAAAUGAAAUGCUCUCUGGUGAAUUAUCUACUUGUCAUGAAACCAUUUCUACUUUACAAGGUGUUAACAAUGAUUUAAAUACUAAAUUAGAAGUAGCAAAUAAAUCUAAUUCUUGUGUAGAACAUGUUAUAAUUUGUACUAGGUGUAAAGAUUUUGACAUUGAUGCUUGUAGUGAACACCUAGUUUCAAUUUCCAAACUUAAUGAUGAAUUGGCUAGUCUUAAUGCUCAACUUAAGACUAGCAAGAAUGAUUUCGAUAAGCUAAAAUUUGCAAGGGAUGCCUACACGAUUGGUAGACACCCCUCAAUUAAGGAUGGACUUGGCUUCAAGAGGGAAGCCAAGAACUUAACAAGCCAUAAGGCUCCCAUCUCCGCCAAGGAGAAAGGGAAGGCCCCUAUGGCAAGUAGUGCUAAAAAGAACCAUGCUUUCAUGUACCAUGAUAAGAGACAAACUAGAAAUGCUUAUAGGAGUUACAAUGCUUAUGAUGAUUUUGAUUCUCAUGACAUGUUUGCUUCUAGUUCUUUCUGUGUGCAUGAUAGAAAUGUUGGUAGGAAAAAUGUUGUUCACAAUAUGCCUAGGAGAAAUGUUGUUAAUGUUCCUAGGAAAGUUAAUGAACCUUCUACAAUAUAUCAUGCUUUGAGUGCCUCCUUUGCAAUUUGUAGAAAGGAUAGAAAGGUGAUUGCUAGGAAAUUAGGGGCAAAAUGCAAGGGAGAUAAAACUUGCAUUUGGGUCCCUAAGACAAUUGUGACUAACCUUGUAGGACCCAACAAGAGUUGGGUACCUAAGUCCCAAGCCUAAAUUUGCCUUGCAGGUUUAUGCAUCCGGGGGUUCAAGCUAGAUUAUCGACAGCGGAUGCACAAACCAUAUGACGGGGGAGAAGAAGAUGUUCACCUCCUACGUCAAGAAUAAGGAUUCCCAAGAUUCAAUUAUAUUCGGUGAUGGGAAUCAAGGCAAGGUAAAAGGGUUAGGUAAAAUUGCAAUUUCUAAUGAGCACUCUAUCUCUAAUGUGUUUUUAGUAGAGUCUCUUGGAUAUAAUUUGCUAUCGGUUAGUCAAUUAUGCAAUAUGGGAUAUAACUGUCUAUUUACAAAUGUAGAUGUGUCUGUCUUUAGAAGAAGUGAUGGUUCACUAGCUUUUAAGGGUGUAUUAGACGUCAAACUUUAUUUAGUUGAUUUUGCAAAAGAAGAGGCCGGUCUAGAUGCAUGCUUAAUAGCUAAGAGUAGCAUGGGCUGGCUGUGGCAUCGCCGCUUAGCACAUGUGGGGAUGAAGAACCUUCACAAGCUUCUAAAGGGAGAACACGUGAUAGGUUUGACUAACGUGCAAUUCGAAAAAGAUAGACCUUGUGCAGCUUGUCAGGCAGGUAAACAGGUGGGAGGAGCGCAUCACAGCAAGAAUGUGAUGACCACAUCAAGACCCCUGGAGCUGCUACAUAUGGACCUCUUCGGACCCGUCGCCUAUCUAAGCAUAGGAGGAAGUAAGUAUGGUUUAGUUAUUGUUGAUGACUUUUCCCGCUUCACUUGGGUGUUCUUUUUGCAGGAUAAGUCUGAAACCCAAGGGACCCUCAAGCGCUUCCUCAGGAGAGCUCAAAAUGAGUUUGAGCUCAAAGUGAAGAAGAUAAGGAGCGACAACGGGUCCGAGUUCAAGAACCUUCAAGUGGAGGAGUUCCUUGAGGAGGAAGGGAUCAAGCACGAGUUCUCCGCUCCCUACACACCACAGCAAAAUGGUGUGGUAGAGAGGAAGAACAUGACGCUAAUCGAUAUGGCGAGGACGAUGCUAGGAGAAUUCAAGACCCCCGAGCGUUUUUGGUCGGAAGCCGUGAACACGGCUUGCCACGCCAUCAACAGGGUCUACCUUCAUCGCCUCCUCAAGAAGACUUCGUAUGAGCUACUAACCGGUAACAAACCCAAUGUAUCUUACUUUCGUGUAUUUGGGAGCAAGUGCUACAUUCUAGUGAAGAAGGGUAGAAAUUCUAAGUUUGCUCCCAAAGCUGUAGAAGGGUUUUUGUUAGGUUAUGACUCAAAUACAAAGGCGUAUAGAGUCUUCAACAAAUCAUCGGGUUUGGUUGAAGUUUCUAGCGACGUUGUAUUUGAUGAAACUAAUGGCUCUCCUAGAGAGCUAGUGGUUGAUCUUGAUGAUGUAGACGAAGAAGAUGUUCCGACGGCUGCUAUACGAACCAUGGCGAUUGGUAAUGUGCGACCACAGGAACAAGAUGAGCAAGAUCAACCUUCUUCCUCAACUAUGGUGCAUCCCCCAACUCAAGACGAUGAACAGGUUCAUCAACAGGAGGCGUGUGAUCAAGGGGGAGCACAAGAUGAUCAUGUGAUGGAGGAAGAAGCGGAACCGACACCUCCAACCCAAGUUCGAGCGAUGAUUCAAAGGGAUCAUCCCGUAGACCAAAUUCUGGGUCACAUUAGCAAGGGAGUAACUACUCGGUCUCGAUUAGUUAAUUUUUGUGAACAUUACUCCUUUGUCUCUUCUAUUGAGCCUUUCAGGGUAGAAGAGGCCUUGCUAGAUCCGGACUGGGUGUUGGCCAUGCAAGAGGAGCUCAACAACUUCAAGAGGAAUGAAGUUUGGACGCUGGUUCCUCGUUUGCUCAACAACUUCAAAAUGUUGUGGGAACCAAGUGGGUGUUCCGCAACAAACAGGACGAGCACGAGGUGGUGACGAGAAACAAGGCUCGACUUGUGGCAAAAGGUUAUGCCCAAGUCGCAGGUUUGGACUUUGAGGAGACGUUUGCUCCUGUGGCUAGGCUAGAAUCAAUUCGUAUCUUGCUAGCAUAUGCCGCUCACCAUUCUUUCAGGUUGUACCAAAUGGAUGUGAAGAGCGCUUUCCUCAACGGGCCAAUAAAGGAGGAGGUGUACGUGGAGCAACCCCCUGGCUUCGAGGAUGAACGGUACCCCGACCACGUGUGUAAGCUCUCUAAGGCGCUCUAUGGACUUAAGCAAGCCCUAAGAGCAUGGUAUGAAUGCCUUAGAGAUUUCUUAAUCGCUAAUGCUUUCAAGGUUGGGAAAGCCGAUCCAACUCUUUUCACUAAGACAUGUAAUGGUGAUUUGUUUGUGUGCCAAAUUUAUGUCGAUGACAUAAUAUUUGGUUCUACUAAUAAAAAGUCUUGUGAAGAGUUUAGCAGGGUGAUGACGCAGAAAUUCGAGAUGUCAAUGAUGGGCGAGUUGAACUACUUCCUUGGGUUCCAAGUGAAGCAACUCAAGGACGGCACCUUCAUCUCUCAAACGAAGUACACGCAAGACCUGCUGAAGCGGUUUGGGAUGAAGGACGCCAAGCCCGCAAAGACUCCGAUGGGGACCGACGGACACACCGACCUCAACAAAGGAGGUAAGUCUGUUGAUCAAAAAGCAUACCGGUCAAUGAUAGGGUCUUUACUUUAUUUAUGUGCUAGUAGACCGGAUAUUAUGCUUAGCGUAUGCAUGUGUGCUAGAUUUCAAUCCGAUCCUAAGGAGUGUCACUUAGUGGCAGUGAAGCGAAUCCUUAGAUAUUUAGUUGCUACGCCUUGCUUCGGGCUCUGGUAUCCAAAGGGGUCUACCUUUGACUUAAUUGGAUAUUCAGAUUCCGACUAUGCUGGAUGUAAGGUCGAUAGGAAGAGUACAUCGGGGACGUGCCAAUUCUUAGGAAGGUCCCUGGUGUCGUGGAACUCUAAGAAACAAACUUCCGUUGCCCUAUCCACCGCUGAGGUCGAGUAUGUUGCCGCAGGACAGUGUUGCGCGCAACUACUUUGGAUGAGGCAAACCCUCAGGGACUUUGGCUACAAUUUGAGCAAAGUCCCACUCCUAUGUGAUAAUGAGAGUGCUAUCCGCAUGGCGGAAAAUCCUGCUGAGCACAGCCGCACAAAGCACAUAGACAUCCGGCAUCACUUUCUGAGAGACCACCAGCAAAAGGGAGAUAUCGAAGUGUUUCAUGUUAGCACUGAGAACCAGCUAGCCGAUAUCUUUACCAAGCCUCUAGAUGAGAAGACCUUUUGCAGGCUGCGAAGUGAGCUAAAUGUCUUAGAUUCGCGGAACUUGGAUUGAAUUGUUGCUUAUUGUGGUGCUCAAGUUGUACAAACACUCCCUGGACCUCACAAGUCCGUUGCAAAGUGAUGCACAUGUUUAGGGGGAGAUGUGUUACAACUUGACCCUUUGAGACUAACCAUAUGCUUGAGUUUGCUUGAUUUAGUCUCGAAGGAGAAUUGAAAGGGAAAAGGUGAACUUGGACCAUGAAAGACUUCCACUGCACUCCGAUGAGAGGGUAACUUAUUCCAAGUUCAUCUCAUGAACUCUUAUUGCCAUUUGCUCUUAAUUGAAGAUUUUGGUGAGGCAAUGGGGUUAAAGGGCCAAGAUUGAUCCCGUUUUGGUGCUUGAUGCCAAAGGGGGAGAAAAUAAAGGCCAAAGCAAUAAAUGGAUCAGCUACCACUUGAGAAAUUUUGAAAAAUAGUAAAAUAGAGCUUUUUGUUUUGUCAAAACUCUUGCAUUGUCUCUUUUGUCAAAAGUUGGCCUCUUGUGGGGAGAAGUGUUGAUUAUGGGAAAUAGGGGGAGUUUUUGAUCAAUCUCUUUUGGAAUGACUCUCUUUAUGCUUCAACAUGUGUGUUUGACUUAGAGAUAGAGAUUUGAGUCUGAUUUGCAAAAACAAACCAAGUGGUGGCAAAGGAUGAUCCAUAUAUGCCAAAAAUGAAUCAAAAUAAAUUUGAGUUUUAUUUGAAGUGAUAUUGCACUUGUUCCAGUUGCUUUAUGUUGUGUUGGCAUAAAUCACCAAAAAGGGGGAGAUUGAAAGGGAAAUGUGCCCUUGGGCCAUUUCUAAGUAUUUUGGUGAUUGAGUGCAAACACAAAGUGCUUAAAUGUGAAUUUAUGCCCAUGGAUGAACAAAGUGCAAAUCACGAGUAAAGGUAUGUUUCUAAGCCUUAGUACAUUGGUUUUGUGUACUAAUAUACUUGUCUAAGUGUUAGAAACAGAAAGAAGAAGAAAAGAAAAGAGGUGUGAAAGGCUUGGCUGUGUACAGCCAAGACUCAGCUCUGUAUGGCACACUGGACUGUCCGGUGGUGCACCGGACAGUGUCCGGUGCGCCAGGCUGACUCGGCGUGAAGUGGCCGCUCUCGGGAAUUCGCCGACGACGUACGGCUAAAAUUCACCGGACUGUCCGGUGAGCCAACGGUCGGCCGGGCCAACGGUCGGCCGCAGAAUCUGCGCGCGACACGUGGCCGGGCCAACGGUCGGAAGGGGGCACCGGACUGUCCGGUGUGCACCGGACAUGUCCGGUGCGCCAAAGGCUCGCAGAUCUGCAACGGUCGGCCGUGCCAUUUAAGGAAGGAAAUCGGGCACCGGACAGUGUCCGGUGUGCACCGGACUGUCCGGUGCACCCGACGACAGAAGGCAAGAUUGGCCUUCCAGAUUUGCUCUCAACGGCUCCUAGCUGCCUUGGGGCUAUAAAAGGGACCCCUAGGCGCAUGGAGGAGACACCCAAGCAACCUUAGAGCAUUCUUGAUCAUCCACACUCAGUCUUUGCGCAUUCAUUUGUCAUUCUCAAUGAUUCGAGCUCCGUUCUAGUGAGAACUUUGAGAUAGUCUUUUGAGCUCGAUUCUUGGCCGUGUGUGUGCGCAUUUUGCUGUGGAAUUGUGUGUGUUGCUUCCCUUCCUUACUCCAUAUUUCUUUGUGAAUCUCAAGUGUAAGGGCGAGAGGCUCCAAGUUGUGGAGAUUCCUCGCAAACGGGAUAUUGAAAGGCAAAGCAAAACACCAUGGUAUUCAAGUUGGUCUUUGGACCGCUUGUGAGGGGUUGAUUGCAACCCUCGUCCGUUGGGACGCCACAACGUGGAGUAGGCAAGCGUUGGUCUUGGCCGAACCACGGGAUAAACCACUGUGUCAUCUCUGUGUUUGAUCUCUUGUGGUAUUGUGUUUUGUUGAGACUCCUCUCUAGCCACUUGGCAAUUAUUGUGCUAACACUUAACAAUUUUUUGUGGCUAUAAGUUUAAGUUUCACAGGAUCACCUAUUCACCCCCCCUCUAGGUGCUCUCAUGUGUUGCUAGCCUCAUUGUGCAGGGAUGAGUACCACAAAGUGAGCGGCUUGGACAAUGCCAAGCAGAUCUGGGACACCCUCAAGAUCUCACAUGAGGGCAACGAUGUCACCAUGCUCACCAAGAUGGAGUUGGUGGAAGGCGAACUUGGGAGAUUCGCUAUGAUAAGGGGGGAGGAGCCAACCCAAACAUACAACCGGCUAAAGACCCUUGUCAACAAGAUAAGGAGCUACGGAAGCACGCGAUGGACGGACCACGACGUCGUCCGCCUAAUGUUAAGGUCGUUCACUGUCCUUGAUCCUCAUCUUGUGAACAAUAUUCGUGAGAAUCCUAGGUACAUCAAGAUGACGCCCGAGGAGAUACUUGGAAAGUUCGUGAGCGGGCGAAUGAUGAUCAAGGAAGCAAGAUACGUGGAUGACGCAUUGAAUGGUCCAAUCAAUGAGCCUCAACCUCUUGCUCUCAAGGCAACAAGAAGCAAGGAGACGCUACCUAGCAAGGUGGCACAAAUUGAGGCGGCUGGACUUAACGAUGAAGAGAUGGCACUCAUCAUCAAGAGAUUCAAGACGGCGCUAAAAGGUCGCAAGGGGCAGCCAAGCAAGACCAAGACAAAGGGGAAGCGCUCAUGCUUCAAAUGUGGUAAGCUUGGUCAUUUUAUUGCUAACUGUCCCGACAAUGAUAGUGAUCAGGAUCAAGGGAACAAGAGGGAAAAGAAGAAGUACUAUAAGAAGGCAAAGGGCGAGGCUCAUCUAGGCAAGGAGUGGGAUUCGGAUUGCUCCUCUUUCGACUCCGACAAUGAAGGACUCGCCGCCACCGCCUUCAACAAGUCAUCCCUCUUCCCCAACGAGCGUCACACAUGCCUUAUGGCAAGGGAGAAGAAGGUAUGUACUCGAAACACUACUUAUGCUUCUUCAAGUGAGGACGAAUCUAGUGAUGAGAAUGAAAUAGAUUAUUCAUGUUUAUUUAAAGGCUUAGAUAGAUCUAAGGUAGAUAAAAUUAAUGAAUUGAUUGAUGCCUUGAAUGAUAAGAAUAGGCUUUUAGAAAAGCAAGAGGAUUUGUUGUAUGAAGAACAUGACAAAUUUGUAGAAGCACAAAAAUCUCAUGCUCUAGAAGUUAAAAGAAAUGAAAUGCUUUCUUGUGAAUUAUCUUCUUGUCAUGAGACAAUUUCUAACUUAAAAAGCAUUAAUGAUGAUUUGAAUGCUAAGUUAGAAAUAGCUAGUAAAUCAACAUCUUGUGUAGAAAAUGAUGUUAUUUGCAAUAGGUGUAAAGAUCUUGAUAUUGAUGCUUGUAGUGAACACAUAGCCUCUAUUGCAAAAUUAAAUGAUGAAGUUGCUAGUCUUAAUGCCCAACUUAAGACUAGCAAAAGUGAAUUUGACAAAUUAAAAUUUGCAAGGGAUGCCUACACAAUUGGUAGACACCCCUCAAUUAAGGAUGGUCUUGGCUUCAAGAAGGAAGUCAAGAACUUAACAAGCCAUAAGGCUUCCAUCUCCACAAAGGAGAAAGGGAAGGCCCCUAUGGCAAGUAAUGCUAAAAAGAACCAUGCCUUCAUGUACCAUGAUAGAAAAUUUUCUGGAAAUGUUCAUGAUGAUAGGAGUUGUAAUGCUUAUAAUGCUUUUGACUCUCAUGCCAUGUUUGCUUCUAAUUCUUCCUAUAUGCAUGGUAGAAAUGUGUUUAGAAGAAAUACUGUUCAUCAUAUGCCUAGGAGAAAUGUUGUCAAUAUUCCUAGAAAAGUUAAUGAACCUUCUACAAUUUAUCAUGCUUGUGAUGCUUCAUUUGCAAUUUGUAGAAAGGAUAGAAAGGUGAUUGCUAGGAAAUUAGGGGCAAAAUGCAAGGGAGAUAAAACUUGCAUUUGGGUCCCUAAGACAAUUGUGACUAACCUUGUAGGACCCAACAAGAGUUGGGUACCUAAGUCCCAAGCCUAAAUUUUCCUUGCAGGUUUAUGCAUCCGGGGGUUCAAGCUGGAUUAUUGACAGCGGAUGCACAAACCAUAUGACGGGGGAGAAGAAGAUGUUUACCUCCUACGUCAAGAACAAGGAUUCCCAAGAUUCAAUAAUAUUCGGUGAUGGGAACCAAGGCAAGGUAAAAGGGUUAGGUAAAAUUGCAAUCUCAAAUGAGCACUCUAUUUCUAAUGUGUUUUUAGUUGAGUCUCUGGGAUAUAAUUUACUAUAUGUUAGUCAAUUAUGCAAUAUGGGAUAUAACUGUUUAUUCACAAACAUAGAUGUGUCUGUCUUUAGAAGGUGUGAUGGUUCACUAGCUUUUAAGGGUGUACUAGACGGCAAACUUUAUUUAGUUGAUUUUGCAAAAGAGGAGGCCGAUCUAGAUGCAUGCUUAAUUGCUAAGACUUGCAUGGGCUAGCUGUGGCAUCACCGCUUAGCACAUGUGGGGAUGAAGAAUCUUCACAAGCUUUUAAAGGGAGAACAUGUGAUAGGUUUAACUAACGUGCAAUUCGAAAAAGAUAGACCUUGUGCAGCAUGUCAAGCAGGUAAACAGGUGGGAGGAGCACAUCACAGCAAGAAUGUGAUGACCACAUCAAGGCCCCUGGAGCUGCUACAUAUGGACCUCUUCGGACCCGUCGCCUAUCUAAGCAUAGGGGGAAGUAAGUAUGGUUUAGUUAUUGUGGAUGACUUUUCCCGCUACACUUGGGUAUUCUUUUUGCAGGAUAAGUCUGAAACCCAAGGGACCCUCAAGCGCUUCCUAAGGAGAGCUCAAAACGAGUUUGAGCUCAAGGUGAAAAAAACAAGGAGCGACAAUGGGUCCGAGUUCAAGAACCUUCAAGUGGAGGAGUACCUUGAAGAGGAAGGGAUCAAGCACGAGUUCUCCGCUCCCUACACACCACAGCAAAAUGGUGUGGUAGAGAGGAAGAACAGGACGCUAAUCGAUAUGGCGAGGACGAUGCUUGGAGAGUUCAAGACCCCCGAGCGUUUUUGGUCGGAAGCCGUGAACACGGCUUGCCACGCCAUCAACAGGGUCUACCUUCACCGCCUCCUCAAGAAGACGUCGUAUGAGCUUCUAACCGGUAACAAACCCAAUGUAUCUUACUUUCGUGUAUUUGGGAGCAAAUGCUACAUUCUAGUGAAGAAGGGUAGAAAUUCUAAGUUUGCUCCCAAAGCUGUAGAAGGGUUUUUGUUAGGUUAUGACUCAAAUACAAAGGCGUAUAGGGUCUUCAACAAAUCAUCGGGUUUGGUUGAAGUCUCUAGCGACGUUGUAUUUGAUGAGACUAAUGGCUCUCCAAGAGAGCAAGUUGUUGAUCUUGAUGAUGUAGAUGAAGAAGAUGUUCCGACGGCCGCUAUACGAACCAUGGCGAUUGGUGAUGUGCGACCACAGGAACAAGAUGAGCAAGAUCAACCUUCUUCCUCGACUGUGGUGCAUCCCCCAACUCAAGACGAUGAACAGGUUCAUCAACAGGAGGCGUGUGAUCAAGGGGGAGCACAAGAUGAUCAUGUGAUGGAGGAAGAAGCGCAACCGGCACCUCCAACCCAAGUUCGAGCGAUGAUUCAAAGGGAUCAUCCCGUCGAUCAAAUUCUGGGUGAUAUUAGCAAGGGAGUAACUACUCGAUCUCGAUUAGUUAAUUUUUGUGAGCAUUACUCCUUUGUCUCUUCUAUUGAGCCUUUCAGGGUAGAGGAGGCCUUGCUAGAUCCGGACUGGGUGUUGGCCAUGCAAGAGGAGCUCAACAACUUCAAGAGAAAUGAAGUUUGGACGCUGGUGCCUCGUCCUAAGCAAAAUGUUGUGGGAACCAAGUGGGUGUUCCGCAACAAACAAGACGAGCACGGAGUGGUGACGAGGAACAAGGCUCGACUUGUGGCAAAUGGGUAUGCCCAAGUCGCAGGUUUGGACUUUGAGGAGACUUUUGCUCCUGUGGCUAGACUAGAGUCCAUUCGUAUUUUGCUAGCAUAUGCCGCUCACCAUUCUUUCAGGUUGUUCCAAAUGGAUGUGAAGAGCGCUUUCCUCAACGGGCCAAUCAAGGAGGAGGUGUACGUAGAGCAACCCCCUGGCUUCGAGGAUGAACGGUACCCUGACCACGUGUGUAAGCUCUCUAAGGCGCUCUAUAGACUUAAGCAAGCCCCAAGAGCAUGGUAUGAAUGCCUUAGAGACUUUCUAAUUGCUAAUGCUUUCAAGGUUGGGAAAGCCGAUCCAACUCUGUUCACUAAGACUUGUGACGGUGAUCUUUUUGUAAGCCAAAUUUAUGUCGAUGACAUAAUAUUUGGUUCUACUAAUAAAAAGUCUUGUGAAGAGUUUAGCAGGGUAAUGACGCAGAAAUUCGAGAUGUCGAUGAUGGGCGAGUUGAACUACUUCCUUGGGUUCCAAGUGAAGCAACUCAAGGAUGGCACCUUCAUCUCUCAAACGAAGUACACGCAAGACUUGCUGAAGCGGUUUGGGAUGAAGGAUGCCAAGCCCGCAAAGACUCCGAUCGGGACCGACGGACACACCGACCUCAACAAAGGAGGUAAGUCCGUUGAUCAAAAUGCAUACCGGUCAAUGAUAGGGUCUUUACUUUAUUUAUGUGCUAGUAGACCGGAUAUUAUGCUUAGCGUUUGCAUGUGUGCUAGAUUUCAAUCCGAUCCUAAGGAGUGUCACUUAGUGGCAGUGAAGCGAAUCCUUAGAUAUUUAGUUGCUACGCCUUGCUUCGGGCUCUGGUAUCCAAAGGGGUUGUUGGUGACUUGUUCUCAAAUGCUAAGAGUUAAGAACAAGGCAACAUGAAAAGUGUUAAAUGUUAAAGUCCUUCAUCCUUCGAAGGACUUUAUGUCCCUUCGGGAAAUAAUGAGUUUCGGACGAAGGUCAUAAGAGACAUACCUUCGUAAAUAUAGUAGGUAAAAACGAAAGACUCAUAUAAAGCAUGAGAUAUAAUAUAAGCAUCAUCAUGGAAUCAUUUCUAUUUUAUUAACAUGGGAAAAUAGAAAUGAUUUCAAAUUACAGAUGUACCUUCGGUCCUGAGAGAAGGUAAAAAGUACAGGCGUGACGCAAAAGCAAAUGCAAAGUCAGCGUGAACAGUACGGGAGUACUGUUCAUCUAUUUAUAGACGCGGGAUGCAGCCCACGUAAAAUUACAUCCAUGUCCAUUACAUUUGUUAACGGUUUAUGGAAAUCUAUUGAGGACCCCGAAGUCUUUUCAUCUUAAGGUCGGUUCCCCCUUGUGCCAUCGCGCCGAAGCUUCCCUGCGUACAGCUUCGGCUGCCCCCGACCUUCGUCUGGCUCAACCUUCGUCCUGGUCGUGCUCCAUAUCCAUAAUUCUGAAUCCGAAAAUACCUGUUCAUAUAAUUCACUUGGAAAACAUUGUCAAAUCAUGUUUUUGAGGACCUUCGGAGGACGAAGGCCCCCAACAGUAGCCCCUCGCAAUAUUAAUUUGUAAAUAAUAAAUUCAGAUUGCGAUAUGGACGAAGGCCUUGAGCCGAAGGUCCGAAAAAACACCUUCCCUUUGCUAGAAUAGCAACAUUCACUGACAAGCGGGGCCUUUUAACUUUCAACGCCCUAGGCGUAUAAAUAAGAACACAUCGUGAAUUCAUUUGGUACACACGCUUGCCUUUUGCUUCGGCCCACUAAAAAUUUUUAGCUCUUGCUCAUUGAGAUUUGCUGGUCUUUUUGAUUUCGAAGCUUCGGCCUCGGGAACAAAUUUUUAGUGUUUCCGAAGAUGUCUGAAGACAAGAAGAUCCCUGCCGAGACGAAGCUGAGUCUCGAGGAGGAGAAGAAUCUGGGGUUCCUGAUAGCGAUGGCAGAGACUAAUACAGAGAAAAUCACGAAGGAGAUUCUCGAAGGUUUGUCCGAAGAUACUGAUGACAGCGACAGCUAUGAUGUGGAAAGUGAUGGGGAAGAGGCCGAAGAUCGACCGUGGCGACCAAGUCACUCAGUUUUUGGGAAAACAACCAUCAAGCAGAGUCACAUUGAUAAUAUGAGGGGGCGAUACUUCCGAGACAUAUCUAUUGUGAGAGCUGAUGCCGGGGAAAAGACUUCUCCCACCCCUGAAGAAGAUGAAGUUGUAAUUUUCCGAAGCCUCCUCAAGGCUGGGCUUCGAUUCCCCCUGAGCAACUUUGUUGUUGAGGUACUGAAAACAUUCCAAAUCUACCUUCAUCAACUCACUCCCGAAGCUAUUAUAAGAAUGGGGAUUUUUGUCUGGGCUGUGAGAAGCCAAGGUUUGGAGCCAAACGCUAAAAGCUUCUGCAACAUACACGAGUUAUUGUACGAGACGAAGCCCUGGGGAAAGGAGCAAUACCACAACAACUUUGGGUGCUACAGCUUCGGCGCCCGCUCCGGGUCAAGCUACCCUGUGCCAACCUUUCGGAAGAGGUGGCCCGGAGCCUGGAUGUCUGAAUGGUUUUAUGUGAAAAAUGAUCUAACAGCGCAAAAUAAUGUCCAAAGUAUCAUUAUGUACCCAAUUUGGCAACGCUUCGGACUUCGAAGGCCGAAGGUUGAAAUGGAUGAGGCAGCCGAAGAAUGCCAAAGAGCCUUCGGCGCAGUCUGCUCUUUCAUUGGGACAAGGGACUUGGUCCAGGAGCACAUUGCCUUCAGGAUAUGGCCACUUGCAGAAAAGUGGGAAAUGCCGAAAGAAACCAUCAAAGAGUCCGACGAAGGCGGACUAGUCAGAUUAAAAUACACAUUCAAAUAUGCAGAUAAAUUUAUUGAACCUGAUGAUGACUGGCUGAAAAGCAUUGAAACAUUAAGUGAUGAAUUACUUGGGGCAUUCUCGAAGGCUGAAAAUACUGCACUAUCAGCAGCCUUCGGAGGCCGCAAAAAGAAGAGACUGAACCGAGUGUUUGAUGCAAUCGGGUUCUUCUACCCUGAUUAUUGUUAUCCCAUCCGAAGGCAGAAAAGGAAAAGCAUAACCUCUGAAAAAGAAGAAGCUGGAACCGCUCCUAGCGAGCCAGAACCAAAAGGAAAAAGGCUGAAGGUCUUCACACACCGACCACGCCAUAUUGAGCCAGCUUCGGUGCCGGAGUUUACCGGGAAAACUUCUUCAGCCACCGAAGCUGAAAAACCAAACGAGCCGGCCUUGCUGCCAGAGAUCGCAGAAACGGCCGAAGUGCCACCAAAGAUAGAAUCAGAACAAUCAAACAUUUUGUUGUCAGAAACAAAAGAGAAAACCGAAGCGCCGCUCACAGAAAAAAUUGAGAAAGUAAGAGAAGCAACUGAGGGCUUCAAAACAUCAGAAGUUUUGAGUCCUACAGCAAUCAUUGGGACGGCAAAAAAUGAAAAAGUGCCAGCUGCAACUCCGAAGAGAAAGAGAAUGGCUAAUGUGCUAGACGUAUUGGAAACGAUCAAAUCUUCGAGCACACCUCCGAAGAAAGCUGCUAUUACUCCUGAAACAAAAGCUGAAAUCUCUGGUUCUACAGCUCCAGAGGAAGAGAUUGAAGCCGAAGCUGGACCCUCAGAGUCCGCAAAAACUUUGAGAAGUGAGGCAGAGAAAAUAACAAAGCUAACUAUUGAAGAAUCUAGUGUUGCUGCCCCCGAAGCAUCCCCCAAAAUUCGUGAUUAUAUUUUUCGUCAUGCUUCGGGGAAAAAAUUAUCAGAAAAAGAAGAACAAGAGGCCCAGCAUUAUGCCCAAAAACUGAAAUAUCCGAAGGGGGCGUUAAUAUUUAAUGGCAGUGGAGAAGGAGACUUCUUGUACUGUCUUCCCGACAACAAGGAAAUUUCUGUCUGUCGGGAGAUAGGCAGAAGCUUUGGAUUCCCAACUUUAGAAGACGGACUUUCGGUGCUAUCAAAAAACGAUCUGGCUGACAGCCUAGCUUAUAACAGUUUAAAGGUAUGAUAAAUGAAAUCCUUGUAUUUUUCCGUUCAUUUAAACCCUCUGACACACACACAUAUUCCUUUUUGCAGGGCUUGAUACUUAGCAAUGCUCUCAGAGCCCAGAAAGAUACUGAAGACGAAGGGUGUACUAUAGCCCUGAGCAACCUUCGUUCCGAAGUAAUUGAACUGAGGAACGAAGGUCUCGAAAAAGACAAAAUAUUAUACUCAUUGAUAGAUAAAAUAAAGGAGGACGAAGCUGCCUUCAAAAGUCAGGCUGAAGCUCAGAAACGCGAAAUUGAAGACCUUCGGAAACAACUGGCCAGAGCUAAAGAAGAACGUAUACUUGAAGAAACAAAGCGUGAACUCAGCGAUCAAUGGGCAGAACACCUAGAAGUGACUGUUGAAGAGCUUCGUUCAUCCAAAAAGAGAUGCUACAAUAAAUCUAUAGACUGUGUUAAAAAAUUAAAGGCUAGCUUCGCCAAGGUCGGCGCAUUCUCAAGUGAAGAAAAUUUUCUGAGGGGCAAUCCCGAAAGUGUCAUUGAAUGGAUUGACCACGAAGCUGAAGUCUUCGAAGAAAUUUUAAAUAGCCGAGGAGAUAUAUGUGCCUUCUCUGGCGCCAGAGGGAUUGCCACUAUUUUAGAGAAGAAGGGCUGUGAACAUGUGAAAAUUUUAGCACAGUCCGAAGCCACCUUGUCGACUGAAGAUAUAAAAGAUCCUUCAGCCGAAGCUAGCGCGGUUGGAGGAAAAUUUUUUACCGACAUCUGGGACAACGGUGGCCGAGAAAUGGCAAGAGAAAUUAUUCAGAGAAGUGAAAAGGGCAUCCAUGAUGCUAGAGAAGUGGCUAAGGCUGCUGAAAAGAGCACAGAGCCCGAAGGUCAAUUAGGUACUAAAUAAUAGCUUCUACCGUGUUGUAAUCUUUAGGCUUUUAAGAUCUGUUUGCGAUUUGUAAUAGUAAUGUAGUCGUGUCCUGCUUCAGAUCCGACUAAAGCGCCUUCGGGCCCUCAGCCGAAGGGGGACGACGAAAUUAAAAAGAUGGCCGAAGAUAUUAUGGACGAAGUCGUCAAUCGGCUUCUGAAUGAAGCUGCAGGAGUCGUUUUGAGAGAGGAUUAAACAUUUUUGUAAAAAACUUCGGAAAUGUAAUAUAAUGUAACAUUUUUGUAACCCCGAAUGUAAUAUAUCUAUUUUUGCUACUCAAUUCUUUACGAUGCAUGAAACUUUACACACGUACCGUUUUUGAGUUUGGCGAAAAAAACACCUUCCCUUCUUUUCAUGCUUCGUGAAGAAUAUCCAAACUUCGUGAAAAAAUUCUCCGAAGCUAUACUUCCGAAGAUGAAGAUUGAUUCUCUUUACGACCAUGAUUUUCACUCUUUCAAAUCAUACUUUCGAAAAUCAAUAUUGUGUCCCCUUCUUGGGACCACGAUUUUCACUCUUUCAAAUCAUACUUCCGAAGAUCAAUAUUGUGUCCCCUUCUUGGGACCACGAUUUUCACUCUUUCAAAUCAUACUUCCGAAGAUCAAUAUCGUGUCCCCUUCUUGGGCCAUAUGCAACAUGAUGUAUGAUGCUUAUGCUAUGCAAAAUGAUGUAAUGAUGUUAUGCUACGUAGAUGACAUUUGUUCCGAAAGAUACACACAUAUCCCCACACAAUAUUUUUGUAUCAGCACUGAUUCUUCGCUGUAAGCUCUGCAUUCCCUUAGGAACGUCUUUGGAGCUUCUUCGCCUCUUACUUAGGCGGUAUAAGCUCUGCAUUCCCUUAGGAACGUCUUUGGAGCUUCUUCGCCUUUUACUUAGGCGGUAUAAGCUCUGCAUUCCCUUAGGAACGUCUUUGGAGCUUCUUCGCCUUUUACUUAGGCGGUAUCAGCGUUGACUUUUCGCUGUAGGCUCUGCAUUCCUUUAGGAACGACUUCUGAGCAGAAAACUUACACUGCGCUCCCUUUGGAACGGCUUUUUGUGACUUCACAAACUUACUCUGCGUUCCUUAGAACGACUUUUCGUUACUCCGAAGGAUUUUUAAUUCGAAGGUCCUCCUUGGUAACGGAAAAAAUUUUUAAUCUUCAGCAACUUAAGCUUGUGGAGCAAAUAGAUCUUCCUCGUGGAAAACAACGACAUUAUUACAUGAAAACUAUCAAUGUUUUUUGCUUGACAGAAAACAAAACUGAAUAAGAAAGACUGCUAUCAAAGAUAGGAUAUGUGUCAAUAAAUGUGUUUCGACUCUGGCACAGUGCUGUUGACUGUGCGAGCUUCGGACUGCUCUCUGAAGUCCCUCUGCUGUGGAGCGUAUUGACUCCCUUCUGGCUGCUGACCUUGUUGCAACGGAGGUGGAGGCGGAGGCUGUUGCCAGGAAGCUGAAGGCUGACUUGCCGAAGCAGCAGAGACUACAGGAUGAUUGCCCACAUAUUCUGGGAUGUAGGGCGAAUGAUACGAAGCUGUAUGCAUGACCUGCUUCGGCUGGGCUUGUUGUGCUGCUGCUUCAGCUAUUUCCUUUUGCUUCUGUAUAGUAACAUGGCACAUCCUGGUAGUAUGGCCUUUGUUCUCACCACAGAAUAAGCAAAAGAUUCUUCUUGGUUGAUCGCCAAAUCUUCCUCCGAAGCCCCUGGCGCCUCUGCCUCUUGGAGCUGGUGGUCGGAAGGAGCUUUGCUGUUGCCCCGAAGCCUGUGAGGAGUACUGUGGCCUUUGCUGCUGGCUCCCUUUAUCAUCAUUUUGAUUGGAAUUAUGAAUUGAUCUGACAUGCCUCGGAUAGAAUCUUCCUCCGAAGCCCCUGGUCAUCUCAGAAAAUCUGAAGGCCUCCUCCCUUCUUUGGCGAAAAUCAUUGUCAGCUCGAAUAUAUUCAUCCAUCUUCUGGAGCAGCUUCUCCAGCGUUUGAGGAGGCUUCCUGGCGAAGUACUGAGCUGACGGACCUGGCCGAAGCCCCUUGAUCAUGGCCUCAAUGACAAUUUCAUUGGGCACCGUUGGUGCCUGUGCCCUCAAACGCAAAAACCUUCGGACAUAUGCCUGAAGGUAUUCUUCGGGGUCCUGAGUGCACUGGAACAGAGCCUGAGCAGUGACCGGCUUCGUUUGAAAUCCUUGAAAGCUGGUUAACAACAAGUCCUUCAGCUUCUGCCAUGAAGUGAUCGUUCCUGGUCGAAGGGAGGAAUACCAGGUUUGAGCAACACUUCUGACAGCCAUAACAAAAGAUUUGGCCAUGACUGAAGCAUUGCCACCGUACGAAGACACUGUUGCUUCGUAGCUCAUCAAAAACUGCUUCGGAUCAGAAUGGCCAUCAAAUACGGGGAGCUGAGGCGGCUUGUAGGACGGAGGCCAAGGCGUAGCCUGCAACUCAGCGGACAAGGGAGAAGCAUCAUCAAAAACAAAAUUCCCAUGAUGGAAAUUGUCAUACCAGUCAUCUUCGUUGUGAAAGCCCUCCUGAUGAAGGUCUUGAUGCUGAGGCCUUCGGAAUUGCUCAUCCUGAGCAAGAUGACGAACUUCUUCAGAGGCUUCAUCUAUCUGCCUCUGCAGUUCAGCUAGCCUGGCCAUCUUCUCCUUCCUGCGUUGAACCUGUUGCUGAAGGAUUUCCAGAUUCUGAAUUUCCUGAUCUAGAUCAUCCUCCGGAUGUGUUGGACUGGUAGCCUUCCUCUUCUGGCUUCGUGCCUCUCUGAGAGAAAGGACAUCUUGAUUGGGGUCCAGCGGCUGCAGCGUGCCAGCCCCUGGUGCUGGAGCCUUCUUCGGCGGCAUGACGAAGCUGAUGCUUGCCGAAGGUGCCGAAAAACUCAAGAAGUGGAAGUGAGUUCACCGGAGGUGGGCGCCAAUGUUGGUGACUUGUUCUCAAAUGCUAAGAGUUAAGAACAAGGCAACAUGAAAAGUGUUAAAUGUUAAAGUCCUUCAUCCUUCGAAGGACUUUAUGUCCCUUCGGGAAAUAAUGAGUUUCGGACGAAGGUCAUAAGAGACAUACCUUCGUAAAUAUAGUAGGUAAAAACGAAAGACUCAUAUAAAGCAUGAGAUAUAAUAUAAGCAUCAUCAUGGAAUCAUUUCUAUUUUAUUAACAUGGGAAAAUAGAAAUGAUUUCAAAUUACAGAUGUACCUUCGGUCCUGAGAGAAGGUAAAAAGUACAGGCGUGACGCAAAAGCAAAUGCAAAGUCAGCGUGAACAGUACGGGAGUACUGUUCAUCUAUUUAUAGACGCGGGAUGCAGCCCACGUAAAAUUACAUCCAUGUCCAUUACAUUUGUUAACGGUUUAUGGAAAUCUAUUGAGGACCCCGAAGUCUUUUCAUCUUAAGGUCGGUUCCCCCUUGUGCCAUCGCGCCGAAGCUUCCCUGCGUACAGCUUCGGCUGCCCCCGACCUUCGUCUGGCUCAACCUUCGUCCUGGUCGUGCUCCAUAUCCAUAAUUCUGAAUCCGAAAAUACCUGUUCAUAUAAUUCACUUGGAAAACAUUGUCAAAUCAUGUUUUUGAGGACCUUCGGAGGACGAAGGCCCCCAACAGGGGUCUACCUUUGACUUGAUUGGAUAUUCAGAUUCCGACUAUGCUGGAUGUAAGGUCGAUAGGAAGAGUACAUCGGGGACGUGCCAAUUCUUAGGAAGGUCCCUAGUGUCAUGGAACUCUAAGAAACAAACCUCCGUUGCCCUAUCCACCGCUGAGGCCAAGUAUGUUGCCGUAGGAAAGUGUUGCGCAGAACUACUUUGGAUGAGGCAAACCCUCAGGGACUUUGGCUACAAUCUGAGCAAAGUCCCACUCCUAUGUGAUAAUGAGAGUGCUAUCCGCAUGGCGGAAAAUCCUGUUGAACACAGCCGCACAAAGCACAUUGACAUCCGGCAUCACUUUUUGAGAGACCACCAGCAAAAGGGAGAUAUCGAAGUGUUCCAUGUUAGCUCCGAGAACCAGCUAGCCGAUAUCUUUACCAAGCCUUUAGAUGAGCAGACCUUUUGCAGGUUGCGUAGUGAGCUAAAUGUCUUAGAUUCGCGGAACCUGGAUUGAUUUAUAGCAUACAUGUGCUUAUGCCUUUGAUCAUGUUCCCUAUGCAUUUUGUUGCUUAGUUAUGGUGCUCAAGUUGUACAAACACUCCCUGGACCUCACAAGUCCGUUGCAAAAGUGAUGCACAUGUUUAGGGGGAGAUGUGUUACAACUUGACCCUUUGAGACUAACCAUGUGCUUGAGUUUGAUGAUUUAGUCUCGAAGAAGGGUUACAAAUUGAAAGGGAAAAGGUGGACUUGGACCAUGAAAGACUUCCACUGCACUCCGAUGAGAGGGUAACUUAUUCCAAGUUCAUCUCAUGUACUCUUAUUGCCUUUAUAUUCUUAUUGAAGAUUUUGGUGAGGCAAUGGGGUUCUAGGGCCAAGAUUGAUCCCGUUUUGGUGCUUGAUGCCAAAGGGGGAGAAAAUAAAGGCCAAAGCAAUAAAUGGAUCAGCUACCACUUGAGAGAUUUUGAAAAUAGUAGAAUAGAGCUUUUGGUUUGUCAAAACUCUUUUUGUCUCUCUUGUCAAAAGUUGGCUUCUUAUGGGGAGAAGUCUUGAUUAUGGGAAAAAGGGGAGUUUUUUUUGAAAUCUUGGAUCAAUUUCUCUUGGAAUGACUCUCUUUAUGUCUUAACAUGUGUGUUUGACUUAGAGAUAGAAAUUUGAGGUUGAUUUGCAUAAACAAACCAAGUGGUGGCAAAGAGUGAUCCAUAUAUGUCAAAUGUAAAUCAAAACAGUUUGAGUUCUUAUUUGAAUUGAUUUUGCACUUGUUCUACUUGCUUUAUGUUAUGUUGGCAUAAAUCACCAAAAAGGGGGAGAUUGAAAGGGAAAUGUGCCCUUGGGCCAUUUCUAAGUAUUUUGGUGAUUGAGUGCCAACACAAGUGCUUUUGUGUUGAUCUAUGCAAUGUGGUGGACUAAGUGCAAAUCAUGUCAAAAGGUAUGUUUCUAGACUUAGUACAUUAUUUUAUGGACUAAUGUAUUGUGUCUAAGUGCUGGAAACAGGAAAAAUCGAAUUGGAAAUGAGAUGGCUUUGUUCAGCCAAGUCUGCUCAGUCUGGGAGCACCGGACUGUCCGGUGGUGCACCAGACAGUGUCCGGUGCGCCAUGCUGGCUCGAGCGAACUGGCCGCUCUCGGGAAUUCACUGGCGACGUACGGCUAUAAUUCACCGGACUGUCCGGUGUGCACCGGACUGUCCGGUGUGCACCGGACUGUCCGGUGAGCCAACGGUCGGCCGGGCCAACGGUCGGCCGCGCGAUCUGCGCGGGACACGUGGCCGAGCCAACGGCUAGAAGGAGGCACCGGACUGUCCGGUGUGCACCGGACAUGUCCGGUGCGCCAACGGCUCUCUGGCUGCUAACGGUCGGCUGCGCCAUUUAAGGAAAGAAAUCGGGCACCGGACAGUGUCCGGUGUGCACCGGACUGUCCGGUGCGCCACACGACAGAAGGCAAGGAUUGCCUUCCCAGAUUGCUCUCAACGGCUCCUAGCUGCCUUGGGGCUAUAAAAGGGACCCCUAGGCGCAUGGAGAAGAACACCAAGCAUCCUUUGAGCAUUCUUGAUCACUCACACUCCACUCUUGCGCACUUGUUCGAUAUUCUAGUGAUUUGAGCCCCGUUCUAGUGUGCUAGUCUUGUAAGCUCAAGUCUGGGUCUUGUGUGUGCGUAUUUGCUGUGAUCUUUGUGUCUUGUGUGAGUUGCUCAUCCCUCCCUUACUCUGUGAUUCUUUGUGAACAUCAAAAGUGUAAGGGCGAGAGGCUCCAAGUUGUGGAGAUUCCUCGCGAACGGGAUAAGAAAAGAAAAGCAAAACACUGUGGUAUUCAAGUUGAUCAUUGGAUCACUUGAGAGGAGUUGAGUGCAACUCUCGUCCGUUGGGACGCCACAACGUGGAGUAGGCAAGUUUUGUACUUGGCCGAACCACGGGAUAAACCACUGUGUCAUCUCUGUGAUUGAUCUCUUGUGGUUAUUGUGUUUUGUUGAGACUCCUCUCUAGCCACUUGGCAAUUAUUGUGCUAACCUUAACCAAGUUUUGUGGCUUAAGUUUUAAGUUUCACAGGAUCACCUAUUCACCCCCCCCCUCUAGGUGCUCUCAACUCUCCACCAACAAGAGAGAUAGAAAUCUAUUAGAAGCCAGAGCUCCAGCUUGCUAGUUCGAUUUGAUGGCAGCAACUAACACGACAAUGACGCUCAGCAUGAUAUGAAGAUUGCCAUCGAUAGGAAGGCUCAUCACCUGCUGUUCGCGGAGGCGAGAAAGGAUGUGGUCGACUUCUUCUCCCUACUCGUCCUGCUCGUCGGCGCGACCGUCAAACUGCUGGGGAAUAAGGGCAUGGCCGGCAGCACCGACAACCUCUAUGAUAGUGUGGAGGGCCUCGAAUACGCCCACAUCCAGACCAUUGUCGUGCAUCGAGGAAGAUGGACUUGAGACCCACUUAAUGCCUUUCCAUAAUAGUAGCAUUUUCUAUGUGAUUGGAGAUCUCAUGAAGUAGAAUGGUGAAACAAGCUAGAGAAUGACCGAUGGAGAGACUCCUUAAAUAAAAUCUAGGUAAUUUCAUAUGCACAUUUCUCCUUUGAUGUACGAUAGGCUAACUAAAAUCUUAAUAUGAUUUGAGUGACUUAUCUAAGCAGGGAUGUUAUCUUAUAGAACAUCUUAGAAGGAACACACCUAUAUGAGUUUGACUGCUAGUCACAAUCUAUGAUAUGUGGGCAAUAUUUAUAUACUCAUGAAAGGUCUCGAAGUUUGACUUAUAUGCUUCAAACCAAGGGGAUUCUUGUAAUAGUCUAGUACUAGAUAAGAACUUUGGUGAAACUCACUUCAUACAAAACUGUCAAUUCAAUAUAUAGUCUAUUGUUCAGAUGUGAUUGUGUAAUCCCUGUUCUAGAUGGAUGGUCAACUUAACAACCUCCACCAAAACCCUUAUAUAUCAAAGAGUAGUGGAUUUGAAUUUGCCUAAUAUGUAGUUUAUGGGCUUGGCUCAUUUAAAGUAUUUAAUAAUUCUGAAUGACAAGAUUAAACUAACUAUGUAUGAUCCUUUAGCUCCGUACAGAUGGUCGAUGGGAUAGUUACAUGGUUUAUGUAGAUGGACCUAUCUAUAUUCCUUCAGUGGUUGAGAGAAAGGUAAAGGUGUGUCACACUCACGCGUGCGCCGCCUCCGCCGAGACAAGGUGUGGCGUUGCAAGGUGAGGCAUGGUAUGGUGCAGCACGAUCACAGUCAUGGUCGUGGCACGAUGUAGCAUUGUUGUGGAUAGAUAGAUAAACUAUUGUUGUAGUUAGAGCGCGUGAGUUUUUGAAUGCAACACUAGAAUUUUCACAAUUUAACUUAAUUAAGAAGUUAUAUCUUGAUGACACAGAGUUACCUGACCAUUGAUCUCACAUGCCAUUUUAGCUCUCUCGUUCUCUAGUCUCACCCUAACUAUUUAGGUCUCCUGACUCACCAAUAUAAACACCAUCCUAUCAUUUGCUCUCCAAUACUUCUCUGUCACAACUCAACUAUUAGAUGAGUACUCCAUUACAACACUUACGUACACGAGUUCAUGAGAUCAGGCCUCCAAAAUGAAUAUCGGCUAAGUGUUUAUCUACUUAGAUGAAAGACGAUAAUCGUGUUCUUGGGAAAUAUCAGCGACAUAACUCCUUACUUCCUCUGCUUCUUCCUAGUGUUUUUGUUGUUGUGAUUGAGUCGACACAGCAACAACGCUGCACUAUUACAACCAGUACGAUUAUAUCAACUAACAAUGUCUUCCUUAUAUGUUACUAUUUAUUUUGCUCAUAUUCAUUAUGCUUAAAUCACAUGUGCACCUUUCUAUUGACAUCAAAAAUAGUAUCAACUUUCUAGAUUAAAAUGCAACUAAAAGUACCUAAAUUUCUAUCAGUGGGGAUUGAGUGAUUCUUUAAACCGAUUAUUACAUAAGUUAACCACACUAAAAUUAACAUUGGUGAAUCGUGCCAUGAUUUUUUUCUAGUGCAAAAUAGCCAAACCAAGCAACACAUAUGUGGCUAUCGUUACACAUUUGUAAAGGUAUUGCAUCACACCAUUGUCACCCAUGUAUUUGGACAAUAACGAGAGGAAAAACCACUUAUUUAUUGUAUUUUAUCAAGUUUGUCUUGCUUACGUAUAAAUUAUAACCCAACAAAGUAAUCACUAAAUGUCAAAACCAACUAGAUACCAUGUCAUCUCUACCUUAUCUUACUAAUGUUCUUUUUGCAAAAUCCAAAAGUAAUCUUGCACAAGCACAAGGACUGAUAUGUGUAUAAAUAUCUCUUAGAUUAGUAGUUAAUACAUCACUCAUAUUAUUAAGACCAACUAGCAACAUAGAAAGCACAAUAGUGUACCAACAAUGGCAACCAAAAUAUUUUGCUUCCUUAUGCUCCUUGGUCUUUCUGCAAGUGCUGCUACCGCGACCAUUUUCCCGCAAUGCUCACAAGCUCCUAUAGCUUCCCUUCUUCCCCCAUACCUCUCACCAGCGGUGUCUUCAGUAUGUGAAAACCCAAUUCUUCAACCCUACAGGAUCCAACAGGCAAUCGCAGCAGGCAUCUUACCUUUAUCACCCUUGUUCCUCCAACAACCGUCAGCCCUAUUACAGCAGUUACCUUUGGUGCAUUUGUUGGCACAAAACAUCAGGGCACAACAACUACAACAACUUGUGCUAGCAAACCUUGCUGCCUACUCUCAGCAACAGCAGUUUCUUCCAUUCAACCAACUGGCUGCAUUGAACUCUGCUGCUUAUUUGCAACAACAACUACCAUUCAGCCAACUAGCUGUUGUCUACCCCCAGCAAUUUCUUCCAUUCAACCAACUAGCAACAUUGAACUCUGCUGCUUAUUUACAACAGCAACAGCUACCACCAUUCAACCAGCUAGCUAAUGUGAGCCCUGCUGCCUUCUUGACACAACAAUAGUUGUUGUCGUUCUACCUGCACGCUGCGCCUAACGCUGGCACCCUCUUACAACUGCAACAAUUGCUGCCAUUCAACCAACUUGCUUUGACAAACCCAGCAGCGUUCUACCAACAACCCAUCAUUGGUGGUGCCCUCUUUU
Molecule: long non-coding RNA, 126736 nt
Filed under: Zea mays
Lineage: Eukaryota; Viridiplantae; Streptophyta; Magnoliopsida; Poales; Poaceae
Description: long non-coding RNA (ZMAY_LNC002213)
Source: RNAcentral